This 125811-nucleotide long non-coding RNA is filed under the name Coffea arabica (coffee). RNAcentral's name for it is "long non-coding RNA (CARA_LNC004585)". Lineage: Eukaryota; Viridiplantae; Streptophyta; Magnoliopsida; Gentianales; Rubiaceae. The record is from RNAcentral.
GCGAGACUAAGCCUAUGAAGGGAGAAUCCAAGGCUUGUGCCACAUCCUACGAGUCAUUGGUAGAUUUUGCACGAAAGAUCUUGGGAUUGAAUACCGAUAUUGAAGUUUUAUCAACGCAUCGCCUCGUAAAAUCUAAUGCUGCUAGAUUACAGAACUAUACAAUCACAGAAGCUCCUAAACGAAUUUCAACUCUAAAGAUGGUUGGCUGUCACAGCAUGCCAUAUCCUUUCAUAGUUUUCGGUUGCCACUAUCAGCCGGGUGAUAAUCAUUUAUACAGGACUGUUCUAUCUGGAGAGAAUGGUGAUAGGGUUGAAGCUACUGCAAGAUGUCACAUGGAUACCUCCCAAUGGAGCCAUGAUCACGUUUCCUUCCGAGUGCUUGGUAUCGAACCGGGCACUGCCCCUGUUUGCCAUUUCUUCCCGGCAGAGGACUUUGUAUUGGUUCCAUCUACUUCUUCAAUCUAGUAAUAUCCAAGAGCUCAAGUGCUUUCAGCAUUUUAGUUGUUUAGCUUAAGUCGCCUUGUCUGAAUGUGUAAUACUAGAAAUCAAUAAAUUCGUGUGCCUCAUGUUUGAUUAUCUGUAUUCGAAUAAAACUCCGUGGAGUAGUAGCGCUACUUUUGACAAUCAAAGUUUUAUAUACUUCAAUUUCUUAGAGCAUCUCGAACACGUAUGUUACUAGAUUGCAGCCUACAAUUUUUUUCCCCUAUUUUCUGCUAAUGUAUCCCCUAAUGUAGAAUUUUUUUUUCUUGGAGCGGAGGUUUGUUAGGAGAGUAUCAAUUCAAACAAUUUACUUAGAAGACAAUUUUCAGGAGCCUGGAUUAGAAACUAUUUUUAAUUGGUGAACAAGUGCUUGUCUCUUCCUAAUUAGUCACUAAUUAGUUUAAGCAAGUCCUGGGAGGAUGUUGAAACAAUUGAUAAUUCUUCAUUAUAAUCUAUCAGUCACAAAAAGACAAUGAUUAAGAAUAGACAAAUACUAAAAAUGACGAACAUUGUGGAGGAUACAAAAAUGAAUGACACUUUUAGUAGGACAAAAGAAGUAAAAAUUAAUUUUGUGAUCGGCAUAGCUCUUAUUUUGAGUUAAAUUAUAUUGAUUCCACCAAUAAUGUAUCCUCUUAAAAAGUAAACAUUUUAUUCUCACUAUGGUAAAAUGGCAAACAUCCGUGCAUACAUUGAUUGAUAUGUAGACAAUUUUUGGACUAAUACAUAGCAGAGUUUUGAAAUUCAAGCUGACACAUCGACUCAAUAGAAUUUAGGGUCAGGAGUCAAGAGGUUAAAGUGAGUAAUGUGAGUAUGAAUCCUUAGUAUGUGAGUAAUGAAUCAUUAGUAUCAUGUCCUUUCACGUGUGUAGUUAUGUGAGUAAUGAAUCCUUAGAAUCACCGGUUAUAAUGAAUCCUUAUGCACAUUUAAUUGACUUCAUAUUUCGUACCCACAGAUAAUCAAAGAUAUAACUGGGUGAUUCACGAGUUGAUUUUCAAGUACAUGUUUCGUGAGACUAUGAGCCGGUUUAGAUUGUAAUUUUUGGGAAGUUUUACAGAAAAAUAUAAAUCGUAUCUACAAAAAAAAAAUUAAUCAAAGAUAUAACUGGUGAUUCAUGAGUGGAUAAAAGAAUUGAGUGUUUCCUAAUUGAUAAAGGACAGAGUUUUUCUUAUGUAGUAGCUUGACUUCUUGAUCGCAUAAUUGUGGCUGUCCAUCUCUUUGAUUUGGAUUCCGAUCUUAUUCAAAUACUUUUGGAGGGUAUCCUAUAAUUAGAGUUAGAGGUGGAAUUGUCCCAAGUCCCAAUGAGCUACCCAUGUCCAAAAGAACUUUGGGCGGGAUGGGUAUUGUAAUUUGAUAUUGGGUUUAAAAUGGGAUGCAUCCCAAUUAUACCAUUAUUUGAUGGAAAAUGUUGGGAAAUACUUGGGUACCCAUUGGGCCUAAAUAUCUUCCAAAAAAUUUCAUUUAUCCAAAAAUUCAUCUUUGAUUUUUUUUUUGGCAAAAAUCUGAUUUUUUUUCACUUCCAUUUUCUUUCUUUUCCUUUCUUCACUUUCCUACAAAAGAAAACCAGUUAAAAAAUGAUUUCAUUUAAACAACUUUAAAAAAAUAAAGAUAACAAUAACAAUAAAAUGAAUUGGUAAAAUUUUGGUGUCUACAAGAAUUAAUGCUUUACUAACAACUGUUAGCAUCCUUUAUGUUGAUUUUAUGCUAAUUGUUGAGCUAUCUAUAUAGAUUUCUAUAUGCAACCUUGUUAUCAAUUUUUAAUCAGUUUCUUCGUUUCUGUGCUAGCUUUAUUCAGCAUUUAAUGUGAAUUUCUUUUGUAUCAAAAUUUGGAAAUUUUAAGAAUGUCAGUAAGAAUGAAUUUGGUGUUAAAAAAUCUUGUUUCUAGUCCUUGUGUCAGACAACAUUAUGGGUAAGGUUGGAAUAUGGCUGUAUAUCUAUCUUUUUCUUUAUUUGUUAAUCCAAUUUUUGGUUUAAUCCAGGGAGAAGAUAUGUUCAUUCUUACCAAAAUGUUAUGUCUUUUAAAAGUAACUGUUGAUCGUUUUAGAGUGUAAAUGAAUUCAGGAAAAUAUAAAUUCACAAUAAGAUCAAAAGAAAUUUAAUAAAUAAAAAUAUUAAAGUUAUAUAAAAAAUAAAAAAGAAUUAAAGGGAAAAAAAUAUAGAAAAUAGAUUUGGGUAUUGGGCGGGAUCAAUCUAAACCUAUCUCAAUGUGAUCCCGCCCAAGUUAGUUCCAAAACACAUAUGGGCAAGGUUAGGUCCAUACCCAUAUGAUUCGGUUCCAUUUCGAAUCCAAGCAAAUUCCGCCCAUCCCGCCCAUUUUGCCACCUCUAAUUUAGAGUGUCAAUCACAAACUUAAUUAUGUUGAUUCACCCAAACUCACGCUUCAAUAACUCGUUCAAACCCACCCACUAAUUUUAAAUAAGUCUAAAUGGGCAUGAAAUUAAACUCAUUUAAUUAGUAGGCAGUGGAUUAACUCGAAUCACUUAUUUAUACCCAUUUAAAAUAAUUAUAUAUUUAAACUCAAGUAUUAAACAAAUAAAUUUGAAUUUAUUAUCAAUCUAAUAAUAAUAAAAUUAUUAUUUUUUAUCAGACAAUAUGUAAAAAAAUAAAAAAUUAAAUUAUAACCAUUUAAAUUCGUUUAAAUAACCUAUUUUGAUACCUCCACAGACCACUGUCUGCUCAUUGGACAUUCCACCACCACUUGUUCAGCUGUUCCUUUUGUCCAGGCGGUCGCCAGUGUCUAUCAUUUUCGAAUACCAGGUAAGGCUCUGACAUUAGGGUCCACCUGCCAUAGUGCCAUCCCAUUGAUUAACCAAGUUACAGCGCUGUCAUAUUUGUCAAGCCAUCCUUCAUUAUUGGAUCUUUUAUUCUAUAUAUGGGACUGUCCUUACUGUUCCCAUGAAAGACUGGUCCAGAAAUGUAUGGCAGCUGUGAAAUACGCUGGCUCUCUGAAUCUUGUCCCAUGAAGAUAUGCAGCUGAAAAUCCAACGCAUUGGUUUCACGAGUUUUCCUAUCCACCAUGCCUGCCAAUUAUCUAUCACCAUAAUAGAGUGUUUUUAAAGUAUACGGACCGACCGAUUCUAAACAUUGAACGAGGAUUUGGUGGGUAUUCGGUCUGAGUUAAUCAAUUGAGUUGAACAGACAUUGAUCAGACCUGCUCAAAAAUUGGGUUUGAAUAAAGAAAAUUGAGUUUUUAACUACAUAUUUUGUGAGACUAUGAGCGGGUUUAGAUUGUAAUUAUUGGGAAGUUUUAUAGAAAAAAUAUAAUCGUUUGGUUGUUAACGAGUGGAUAAAAGAAUUGAGUGUUACCUAAUUGAUGAAGGAUAGAGUUUUUCUUAUGUAGUGACUGCACCUCUUGAUCACAUGAUUUUGGUGAUUAUCGAUCUCUUCGAUUUGGAUUCCAAUCUUAUUCAAAUAUUUUUUAUUCUUUCAGAUUAUGUCUUUCUUGUGCAUUUCAAUCUUUGUAAUUUAACAAUUGUUUCUUAGAUUGGAUUUUGAUUCUGUUAGACUAUGUCUUUCUUGUGCAUUUCAAUCUUUGCAAUUUAAUAAUUGUUUCUUAGAUUGGAUUUACAUGUUUAGUUCUGGAGAGGCCCCCUUGAUCUGGAUUCGAGACCUGGCCAGUUGUAUUUCUACUCAAUUACAGAUAUUUAGUAAUUUCAUAUUUUAUUACACCAUUGUUUCUAAGAUUGGAUUUUGAUUCUUUUAGAUUAUGUCUUUCUUUUGCAUUUCAAUCUUUGGAAUUUAAUAAUUGUUUCUUAGAUUGGAUUUACAAGUUUAGUUCUGGAGAGGCCCCCUGAUCUCGAUUCGAGGCCUGACAAAUUGUAUUUGUACUCGAUUUCGGGUAUGUAGUAAUUUCAUAUUUUAUUACAUCAUUGUUUCUUAGAUUGGAUUUUGAUUCUUUUAGAUUAUGUCUUUCUUGUGCAUUUCAAUCUUUGCAAUUUAAUAAUUGUUUCUUAGAUUGGAUUUACAUGUUUAGUUCUGAAGAGGCCCCCUGAUCUCGAUUCGAGGUCUGACAAGUUGUAUUUCUACUCGAUUUCGGGUAUUUAGUAAUUUCAUAUUUUAUUACACCAUUUUUCAACUCAAUCAAAUCAUAUUUUAACUUUUGUCACACUAUUUUCCAACUCAGUUACAUUAAAAGGCAAACUUGUGAGAAAUAAAACUUGUGAGACCCCAUCAACCCCUCUCCUAUUAAUAUUACACAUGUAGAUUAUAUUUUAAAAGGAAAAUUGCCAAAUUGGUCCCUUAAAGUUUCGGAAAAAAAGCUUUUUUUACUCCAUCAAAAUUAGAAUUAGUCAAAAUAGUCCAUCAAAUAUAACAAAAGAAAAGUAUCCUUUUAGUCCGCGAGCUCAUUUUUUGAUCGGUCUUCUAGCCAAAAAGUGUGUGCCUUUCUUAGGUACCCACAAUUUAAAUAGCAAAAUGGGAAAACAAUUUAUUUUCUUCCAAAAAAAGCACAUGACAAUCAUAUGAUCACCUCCUGAAUAGGAAAUCGUAAUUAUUAUCCAUCAAAUUCAUAAUCGAAGAAAGAGUAAACUACAGGUGACCUUUACACUUUCUUGUUUGAUUAUGGAUCUGGUGGAUAUGAAUUAAGGUUCCUUUGCUAGAGGUGUGGUUAUGUGAUUGUGAUGUAUUUUUUAUUUAAGAGAAACAAAUUGCGUUUCAAUUUUGCCGUUGAAAUUGUGGGAACCAGAGAGAAGGUGCACUUUUAGGCUUAAAAAUUGAUUGAAAGUGAGUUUUGGGACUAAAGGAGCACAUUUUUUAUAAUUAUUUUGAUGCUUAUAUCAAAACCAUACAAAUUUACACCGAAUGUAUUAAAAAUUAUACAAACUGAUUUGAACUAGAUAGAAUUUAACUUGCUGUAUAAGACAAUUUAUUAUGCAUAAUAAUGUUUCUAGAUGUUAUUCUUACAUUUCUUCUGAGCUUUGAUUUGCAUCCUAUGUGACGGAUACAUCGAAUUCGUACCGACAGAUAAUCAAUAAUGCAACUGGGUGAUUCAUGAGUUGACAAAGAAUUCAUUGCUCUUAAGUGGUAGUUGCACCUCUUGAUCACAUGAUUCUAGUUGUCGAUCUCUUCGAUUUGGACCCCAAUAUUUUUCCAAUAGUUUUGACUAUUUCAGAUUAUGUCUUUCUUGUGCCUUUCAAUUUUUACAAUUUAAUAAUUGUUUCUUAGAUUAAUAACUGUCUUUUUUAUGCCAUUGUGCUGAAGAAAGGUACCAAUAAUGACAGACUUAAGAGUAAAUCAUAAUUGAGGACAAAAUUUGAGAGUUUUUAUAUAAAAAGUAUAUUAAAUGUUCUUAAAAUGUGAUGUAUGUAAAGUAAAAAUGUAAUUAGAAUAUAUAAUAAAAGAAUUCUCACGAAAAUUCACAAAAGUUUUUGGCAAAAAAUGCAAUCCAAAGAUUUGAUGAGCUAGCGUUGGAUGCGUCGACACUGGACCUCUAUGAUUGUCCGUCUACUUACUUUUAUAAUUAAGGUUUUCUGCUAAAAAUAAAAUAAUGUCUUAGGUGCAACGUUGUUUUCUUGAGAUUGACUCCGCAGCAACCACGUUUUCUUCUGAGCUCUAACUUGGCUCGCAUGUGGUGGGUACUGUUUCCGUAUAAAACAAUUUGUUAUGUGCAAUAAUGGUUUCUGGAUAUAGAUUCUUACAUUUCUUCUGAGUUUUGAUUUGCCUCUUACAUGGUGGAUACACCCAAUUGACCUCAUAGUUCAUACCUGCAGAAAAUAAUCAAAGAUAACUGGUGAUUCACGUGUGGAUAAAGAUUUGAGUGUGUUUUCUAAUUAAUAAAGAAUGAAGUGUUUCUUAAGUAAUAGCGGCACUCUUGAUCACAUGAUUCUGCUUGUUGAUCACUUUGAUUUGGAUUAUGAUCUUAUUCAAAUACUUUUGAUUCUUUGAGAUUACGUCUUUCUUGUGCAUUUCAAUCUUUGCAAUUUAAUAAUUUUUUUAAAAUGAGAUUUACAUGUUUAGUUCUAGAGAGGCCCCUGAUUUGUAUUCGGGGCUCUGUUUUGAAACUCGGACCGGACCGGCCGGUCGAACCGGGAACCGGCCAGGUAGCCGGUCCGAGUCAUAUUAAAAAAUCGAAAUUUAAAAGUCGGUCAAAAAUCGGGUUUGACCGGGUAAAAAUCGGUUUUUUCCGGUUCAACAGUAAAUUUUGUAAAAACAAUUUUAAACUUUUUAAUAUUAUGUUUUGACCCCUAAAUUGUUAAAACUUAUUGAUAUACCUCAAAUAUUUGAUACUUUAUAAAUAUUGUCCUAAAAUUUGAUGUUAUUUUUCAAUUAAAUUCAUAAUUUUAAUUCUAAACUUGUUAAUAUUUAUUAAAUAAUAUAAAUUGCUACUUGAUUGUUCUAAUUUCUUUGUAUUUUCUUGUUAAAUAUAUUUGAAACAUCAAAUAUAUAUGAAUAUACCUUUAUUAAUAUCAAUAUAUUAUUAGAUAUUAUAUAUAUAAUAUUUUAAUUUUUAAAUAAUUUUUAUUUAUGACGUAUCCGGUUCGCCCCUAUCGACCCCCGGUCGAACCCAUUGACCCCUGACCCCUGACUCGGCCGAGUCGCUAUCCGGUCCGGUUCUGAAAACAUAGAUUUGGGGUUGUACUUUACUCGAUUUCGGGAUAAGUUAGUAAUUUCACAUUUUAUUGCACUAUAUUUCAAAUCAAUUACAAUAUAUUUAAACUUUUGUUAUACCAUUUUCCAACCCAGUUACAUCGAAGAGCAAACUUGUGGAAAAUAAAACUUAUAAAGCCCCUGAUCCCAUUAAUAUUACACAUGCAGAUACUAUUAUAAUAAAGGAAAAAUUGUCAAAUUGAUCCCUUCCAUUUUCAAUAACUUUUUUAGUUCCUCACAAUUAGAAUUAGCUAAAAUAGUCCCUUAAAUAUAUAUAAAAAAUACAUCCUUUUGGUCACAGAGCUGAUUUUUUAUUAGUUUUUUGGCCAAAAAGUGCACGCCUCUUAGGUGCCCACAAUUUUGAUGGCAAAAUGGGAACACAAUUUAUUUUCUUCCAAAAAAAAAAAAAAACAAAGCACAAGACAAUCAUAUGACCACCUCUUGAAUAGAGAAUCCUAAUUUUUAUCCACCAACCUCAUAAUCAAACAUGAAAGAGUAACCUGCAAGUGACCUUUAUGCUUUCUUGUUCGACUAUGGGUUUGGUGGAUAAGAAUUAGGAUUCCUAGAGAAGUGAUCAUGAUUGUCAUCAGUUUUUUUUUUCUUUUUUUCAAGUGAAAUGAAUGUUCCCAUUUUGCCAUUGAAAUUGUGGGAACCUAAGACACAGUGCGCUUUUUGACAUGAAAACUAAUCAAAAGUGAGUUCUGAGACCAAAUGGGCGCAUUUUUAUUUAAUAUCUAAGAGACUAUUUUGAUUGAUUUUGAAUGUGAGUGACUGAAACUGUGUUUAUUAAAAAUAUGAGGGACUAUUUUGACAAACUUCCGUAUAAUAAAGAUUGACCACUUUUUCUAGGAGUUUGGACAUUAUCCAUUUGGAAGUAUUACUAUUUUGAUCCUUUAUUGUUAUAGUUUUACUCAAUUUACACUGUUUAGCUCGUUUCCAUAAGGAAUAUUUUUUCUGGGAUCUGCAAGGAAAAUCAAGGGAGCUAACGGAGGACUUGCAUGUGUGAACCACCAUGCACGUUGCAUAACAAAUUUUGCUCUUUUAUUAUUGGGCAAAAAAAAAAAAAUGGCGACCACUAAACUAUUUCUGGCAUCUACUUGUAGCUACCAAACUAUUUCUCGUCUCAAUUUAACCACUCAACUAAUUAAUCAACAUACCCUUGGUUAUUUCAUGGCAUUUUGCUCUUAGUUUACAAAUAAACCAAACACAAAUCAAGUGUCAAAAUUUAAGGGUAAUCAUAUCCACUAAAUUUCUCAAUACAAAUCUAAAAAGUCCAACAACCACUAAACUAUUCCCCUCGUACUCUUUUGACCAUUCAAAUAUAAUCACUAAAUUCUUAAAUCAGUAUACUAGCAGUCAUUCCGUCAAAUAUUUCUGUUAAUGCUAAAGGAAUGAGUUCUAUGUUCAUUUCACAUACCCAAAACAGGACAAUUUUGUAAGGUCAACUUUUUAGAUUGUUUAAAUUUUUUCCCAUUAAUAUUACACAUGCAAAUAAUAUUACAAUAAAGGAAAAUUUGUCAAAUUGGUUCCUUCCAUUUUUGAUAAUUUUUUAGCCCCUCGCAAUUAGAAUUAGCUAAAAUAGUCCCUUAAAUAUAAAAAAAAAAAUGCAUCCUUUUGGUCACAGAGCUCCUUUUGGUAAAUUCCUUCUUAUACCUUGACAUUAAAUUUUAUUUAAUAUGAACGACACAUAUUAUCUAGACGUCCAAAUAAAGGAGAUCAUUGUAACCUUUCAAAAACUUGAAUGGAGCAACAUGAAAUUGUUAUAAACCUCAAAGGUGUUUUACAUAAAUAUCCCCAUACAUUGGAACACAUUUACAAGCAGAUUUUAUCAUGCUAGUACCUUUAUAGUCAAUGAAAGCAAUACACUCAGUGCCACAUUGUUCCCUCUCCCUCUCUCUCGUUCUUCUCACAAGUUGUCUAGCGUGCUGCUUUGCUUCUCAGGACACGUUGAAGCUUUUGUUCUUUGCUAGCUAGGUAAUUAUUAUAUACCUGGCUCUCAAUUUCUGUGGUCCACUUCAUUAAUUGAUUUUUUUUUGUAAAAAUUUUAGGGUAUCAAUUUCAGACGUUUGUUUUUCUUCGUUAUUGGAAAAAUCCAGCAGCUGUUUGCAUGCUAAUAUAUGGGAUUUCUCUUUUGCUUAGAUCUGGAACACUUGCUGUCUAGCAGGAAAGAAUUAGUACCUGCAUAUUAUGUGACCCUGAAAAAAAAAAAACCAUCUUUCUUUCUGUCCUUCAUUAGUUUGGCACUAAAACUUGAGUAAGGUUAACAGGAUUGUGCGGUACAACCAACAAUAAUGGAGGGGAGAAGAUGGAUACAGAGGGAAAGGUGGAGACAGAGAAGAUGAACAAGGCAAUUGCGAUGGCAUAUGAUGUCCAAUCUAAAAUAGUAGAGGAUCUAGUUGGCGAUCACUUUCAUGUUGGCUUCUAUGACUCUAGCUCCGUUGUCCCUGGUUCUGAUGUCCAUUCUGCUCAGACUCGCAUGAUCGAGGCGGCCCUCCGUUUUGCCUCUGUAUCAGGUAUAUUCAACGCACCACUCUUAAGUUAUGGAUUGGCAGUUUAUCUCGAGUUUUCUUCUCUAAGUACAAAUGCUGUAGUUAUGAAACAAAACUGUAUUUUGCUGCAGAGCUAAGCUUUUUACUUGGGUGCAGAUUAAUUCCCAUUAAUUUCGAUUGUGACUUCGUUGAGUCAUCUACCCCGGCUAUCAAUUUGUAUAGUCUCCGACCCGUUUUGGACGUGAAUCUAAUUAGUAUAGAUAGUUUAAUAAAGGGCAAAUUCCACUUUACCCCCGGGAUUUAGCAUUUUUUACAUGACCCCCCUUAUAGUUUCAAAAACUAUACAUAACCCCCUCAUGAUUUGGAUUAAAGUGUCAAAGUGAUGGGAAUGAUCAUUCGCAACGGAGUCACCUAAAAUGUCAAAAAUACCCUUAUGUAAAGUUGAAAAUUAUUUAGGAUAAAUUCCACUUUACCCUCCUGUAGUUUAGCAUUUUUUUACAUAACCCCCCUAUGAUUUCAAAAGUUAUACAUAACCUCCCUAUCAUGAACUUUGAACUAAAUAAAUUGAUAAAACAUUUCUAAUAGAAAAGGCACUUAUGUAACCUUGCACCCAAAUGAUAAAAUUGAACACUAAAUAAGUGCUCUUGUCAGAAUCUCUACUACAUGAAAUACUUCGUCGUAAUCUUAAGGAUUAAUUUUAUAAAUACUGUCAGUGUAUAUACUAUUACCAUUAAAUAUAUAAUACAUGUGCAAAAUUUGAAUUUGACAGUAUAUAUACUUACAAUGUAUAUAAAUUUAUUCUAAUCUUAAACAGCCACCUAAUAUUAAAGAAUUAUCUAAGAUGGAAUAGCAUUUCUCUCAUGGUUGUUAAAAUCGCGAUCCGGAUCGUAGGAUCGUACGAUCCUAUGAUCCGGAUCGGCAAAAUCGAUCCGGAUCACACUCAGAAUCGCAAAUUCCUUGAAUCUAUAUAGGAUCGAGGUAGGAUCGGUAGGAUCGCAUAGAAUCGUACGAUCCUACGAUCCUACUUCGAUCCUACAAUUUUUUGCUAAUUUGUGGAAUACAAGGUUCAUUUUGCAAGUAAAAAUCGACAUUUGGGGUAGGCUUGUAAGUUCACACUCAAUUGCAGGCCUUAGUUGCAAUGUUUUAACAAAUUUUGCCUCAAAGUCAAAAGAUUCCGUCAAAAAGCUUCGGGCCUUCUUCAUCUCCCCUCAAGCAGAGCUUUGACGUUUCUCUUCUCCUCUCCGCUGCCCAAAUCAAAUCCCUAAUUUUAACCAUCAAACCACCUCAAGCUUCGGCUACAGCUCUUACCAAGAACCCACAAGACAAAUCGCUGCGGCUUCUACCAGGAACCCACAAGCUACAGUCGACAGCUAUUGCAGAAAAAGUUCAUCUUCUGCAUUGGGUGAAAAGCUGAGCAGCAAAAUCAUCAUCUUCCUCUCUCAUACUCAUACUACUUUGUAAGCGUUUAAACAUGAAUGCAAUAGUGACUAAUUAAUGGCGUGUGAAAUUAGGAUCGAAAUGUACAAAUUUUACCUUUUCUCAAGCUUUUUUCGUUUACAUUGUAGGAAAUUAUAUGAUACCAGGAAUUCUAUUCUGUUGGAUGGUGCUCCUAUUUUUUUUCUCAAUAAUUGAAAUUUGUAUUUGGCAACUUUAAUUAGUGAAACCACAGGAAGUUUUAAAUACUUGAAUUAAAUGAUGAAAUGAAAUCUAAUGCCAGAACUUUUUCUGCCCAUUUAAUAUUUGAGCUUUAUAUAUAUAUAUAUAUAUAUAUAUAUAUAUAUAUAUUAAGUUUUUGUAAUGAAUGUUCAAUAUUUGAUCGUUAACACAUUCAAUUCACACCUAUUAUGUAUAUGCACUUCUAACACGCAUAACCUUUUUUUAUAUUCAUAUAUAUACCUUUUUUGAUUAAUAUUACUUUUCUAAAAAUUUCAUUCUUCAACUACGUACAUAUUUUUCAUUAAUUCGAAAUUGUAAACAUAUUAUUGAUCUUUUGUGAUUGGCAAUUGGCAAUCAAAACAUUCUUGAAAUGCUGUCGGCUGUAACUUCUUCAUCUUUUUAUUACUUGUCAGAUAGUAAGUAAAAAAUGCUAUAUAUUGAUGAGUAACUUAUUUAUUUGAUAUCUUUUAGGAUGUACAAAAUGGUAUAUGAAUUUCAAUUUCAUUAAUUUAGUAAAUUUAGGAGCUUUUGGUGGGAUCUACGAUCCUACGAUCCGAUUUUGUGAAACUAAAAUCGAUCCUACGUGGAAUCCUGAUUUUACAAACCUUGAUUUCUCUGCCAAUUGCGAUAGUCAUGCAUCUUGUUCUUAACAACACAAAAUAUUGCUUACCUUCGAAAAAUCAACACAUAAUUUUAUUGGUAUCACUCAAAAUUGGGUCAAUUUCAAUCAUAUUUCCUGAGAUUUGACCUAAUUAAAAAGUAUGCCUUGUGAUUUGAUCAGAUUACAGUCGAAUCCCCCAGUAGCAAAACAUUUGUCAAAUACCUGGCCCUCACUUUAAAUACAAUAUUGGCAAUUAAACGCAGCCCUCACUUUAAUUCUAUUAUUUCCUUUCAAGUCAAAUACUUCUUCACACAUAAGAAAGAAAAUAAAACUUUUAGUUCAUGACCAAACAACACCAUUUCAACUUUUUUUUAUCAAUCAGUAAUAUCUAUACUAUCUUACCCUAUAGGGGAGAAAUCCAACUGCGUUGUAUAAAGGGCUAGAGAGCAAGCAAGUUCAUCUAAACCAAAGAGGUGCUCUGACACACUUUUUGAAAUUUUUUUAACUAUAAGUUCUGGAUGUAGGGUUUAAACUUCCGACGUACAAUCUAAAGAGGAAUUUUAAAUCCCUUAGUUUGAAUUGAAGUACCAAAUUCUACACCCAAUAGUACAUGCACAUGUAAAUGGGGAUAAUCAAUUGGGGAAGGAUAAAAACAGAAGCAACAUUUUGUUUUUCUUUUUUCUGUUGGUCUUUCCUCAUUUUAGUGGUUUUAGUUUUUCUUUGACUACAUUUGCAAUGGAUUUAGGUAUUUGGCUAUUCAAAAGGUUAGAUUACAAAUUGGUCAAAGUACAGGAUUAGUUCUAUAAUUUGGACAAGCCUGAUGCAAUGUGAAUAUAAAUUAAGCAUAGAAUUUGUUUUUUGGGGCAAUCAUAUGCAAUUUCUGUAAUUGAUACUCUGGGUUUAGGUCAUGCACACAUUGAAAAAAGAAAUGGUUUGAUUGCUUUUCAAUGUGUCUAUUUUCUUUCCUAGUGAAACAUCCUCCUCAUAAUUUCUAGUUUUUUCUCCUCUCCAACUUGGUCGUUUUUUGUUUCAUUUUUUUGUUUAGUAGUCAACCAACGGGCAUUAUUUAUCAUGAAAUAAUAUGCAGAGGAUCCAUCGAAGAAACCAAGAAACAUACUUGAUGUUGGAUGCGGUAUUGGUGGCAGCACCAGGUACCUAGCAAGUAAAUAUGGUUCUCAAUGUAAAGGCAUCACCCUUAGCCCUGUUGAGGCUGAAAGAGCUCGUGUUCUAACUGCUGCCCAAGGAUUAGAAAGCCAGGUUUGUAUGAACUCUCCGUCUUACAAUUUUGAACGAUUUGCAAGAAGUUAUCAAUUGUUAAAUCACCCUUGCCGCUCACUCUUUUUAUGCAAGUGCACAAUAAGUAAAAAUUUUCAUUCCUCCAUUUCUUAAGGAAUGAUGACAGAGUGCAUACUACUACUAUGGUUUUGAAAAAAUAAUAAAUUGUGUUCAUGAAAGCAAACCAGAUACUCAAAAGUUUCAAGAAUCCUAAUUUGUGAUAGUUUUGUUUUGAUUAUCCAUCCUCACCUUUACUUUUUAUACACUAAAAAUGCAAAAUUUUUGAAUCCUGAAUUUUAGGGGAUAAAAUUAUCUCAUAAUAGAAUUGAAUUCAAAUAUGUAUUAUCAAUAAGCUUAGGUAAUGAUGUUAACUCUUGAAUUUGGAUACAUACGUAUGUGUGUACAUAUACAUAUACAUACAUAUAUAUGUGCGUGUGUGUAUGUGUAUGUGUAUAUAUACAUACAUAUAUAUAUAUAUACAUGUACAUAUACAUAUACAUACAUACACACACACAACAUGCACACACAUGCACAUAUACAUGCAUAUAUAUAUAUAUAUAUAUAUAUAUAUAUAUAUAUAUAUAUAUAUAUAUACACAUAUAUGUGUGUAUGUAUAUAGAUGUAUGUAUGUAGAAUUAAUCUUCUAUGCAAUAACUAAUAAUUUAUACACUAUUAGAUUUAGAUGAAAUUCAAAUUAAGAUUAAUUAUUAUGCAUGUCAGUAUAGAGAAGAUUAACAAUAUAUUAUUGAUUAUGCCAAGUUUUAAAUUCAGAUCAAGUCACAUUUCAAAUAAACUUUGUAGAAUGACUCGGAACUUUACUCCAAAUUCCAAGUAAAAGCCACCACAAUGCUAGAAAGAGAAGUAAGAAAGAAAAAGAUGCAAAAUCAUUAUGCAGAUAUAUAGUAGUGCUGCUUUCUUUUCCUAACAGCUGCUAAAACGUACAUAGCAGGUUUCCUUUGAAGUGGAAGAUGCAUUGAAUCAGCCAUUUGAAGAUGGUUCAUUCGAUUUAAUUUGGUGCAUUGAAUGUGCAGAUCACAUAAGCGACAAAACAAAGGUUAUAUUUCUUGUCGCAGCUUCCUUUACAAUUACUAUUUCUCUUUUUUUGUUUUUUUGUUUUUAUCAAUCACGUGGCUGGUUGGUUCGAUUUGAGAAGUUGCUGCCUUCGUACACCAAUCCACAAAUUACCAAAAAUUUUGCAUUUUCCUAAAAUCAUCCGUCGAUUUCAAAUAACAGUACAUUGCCAGUGUUUUCAAGACUCAACUUAGUUCAUAGAGAUAUUCACAUUGUAAUUAAUGAUGAAUAAAAAGUGUCACUAUUUUGAAAAUUUACAAGUCAUUAUUUUGGUAUAAAUGCAUAGCCCGAUUUUAUUCAAUCACAUUAACAGAAGAAGUGGUGGUAAAGAACCCUAAUAGAGAUGGUUUUAUAAUUAAGCCCCUUAAUUAACCUUUAUUACCUAAAAGUAAAGGUAGUAUGGGAAUUUCAAACUUUUCUUUAUAUCAAUAUAGACGGUUUUCAUCCACCUUACCUAUCAGUUUAAACCAAUAAAGUCUUUUGGAUAUUUUUGAAUGAGAAGGGGGUUCAAUAACGUGCAAAUCAUAGGAAAGUUUUGUGCAUUUUACUCAAAAAGAAUAAAUUCCAGAUUGAUCCACCAUAUUAUCUAUAAAAAUUAGAAAAAAAAAAAAGAUUGAUCCAUAUUGAAUGCGGAUCCAUACGGAGGCCGUGGAAUUGAUGCAAUGACUCAUAGGUGUACCACUUGCUUUCUUGUGGAGGGAGGGAAGGGGAGGAAAGGAGGGAGGGAGAAGGGGAGUCAGGAGGGAAGGGGGAGGAAUGGUGGUGGCAGUGAAGAAAGGGAAGUGCUGGUGGCAGCGGAUGGUGAUAGGCAGUGAAUGGAAGAAGAAAUGGCUGGUAGUUUCUUCUUUUAUAUAUAUAUAUUUUUUGUUAGGUGUAUUUGAGAUCGUGUGUAUUUGUAGUGAUUUUGAGACUAUUUUUGGAGCUUGUUACUAUAGAUUCCAAAUAUAAAAACUAGUUUUCCAAAAAAACUCAUUUUAAAAACAUAGGCCAAGAUGAGACAUUACAUUAGAAAACAAAGAUGUAAUUUUCAAGGGGUAAAAUUGUAAUUAUAAUAUGUUAAAGAAGAAUCAGUUCCUCGAGCACGCUUCAUUGUAUCCAUAUAUAUGUAUUAUUUGCUUCUUGUCUUGUGAAAACCUUCAAAAGAGGACUUGCAAGGGAAAUAAUACCUACCAACUGAUGGAUUCCAAAGCACUUGUUUCUUGUGUUCUCCUCCUUCAUCUGUUGAUUGUCCUGGUAAGUUACUUUGACAAUAAAUUGUUUUUUGUGAUUUAUAUGCUGUGGACUUAAUUCUCGCUGUCUUACAACACUAUACAACCUGUACAGGGAGCCUGUGAUAUCAUACCCAAGGCCAAGGAUAGUGGUACUAAUGCAAUCAGGCUCCAGGGCAUGGAUGCUAAUAAUCCUCAUCGAAAUGAUAAGACACAUCAUGUUGCUCACGUCCAUGAAAAGAAGUCAAUGCACGAUCCUUCUCUUUCCUCAUCCCACAUGAUGCAUCAGAUGGAUCCAAGAGCAACCGUGUUUUUCGUUUUAGAUGAUCUCAAGUUAGGCAAAACAUUGAGUAUCCUUUUCCCUGACGGAGAUCCUAGUCCUUUGUCCUCUCCUUAUCUCUGGCCUAGAGAACAAGCCGAUGCUAUCCCCUUUUCAUUGGCAAAACUCCCACAGAUUCUUCAACACUUUUCAUUCCCUCAAGGAUCUCGCAAAGCCCAAGUGAUGGAACAUACACUCCGAGCUUGCGAGACUAAGCCUAUGAAGGGAGAAUCCAAGGCUUGUGCCACAUCCUACGAGUCAUUGGUAGAUUUUGCACGAAAGAUCUUGGGAUUGAAUACCGAUAUUGAAGUUUUAUCAACGCAUCGCCUCGUAAAAUCUAAUGCUGCUAGAUUACAGAACUAUACAAUCACAGAAGCUCCUAAACGAAUUUCAACUCUAAAGAUGGUUGGCUGUCACAGCAUGCCAUAUCCUUUCAUAGUUUUCGGUUGCCACUAUCAGCCGGGUGAUAAUCAUUUAUACAGGACUGUUCUAUCUGGAGAGAAUGGUGAUAGGGUUGAAGCUACUGCAAGAUGUCACAUGGAUACCUCCCAAUGGAGCCAUGAUCACGUUUCCUUCCGAGUGCUUGGUAUCGAACCGGGCACUGCCCCUGUUUGCCAUUUCUUCCCGGCAGAGGACUUUGUAUUGGUUCCAUCUACUUCUUCAAUCUAGUAAUAUCCAAGAGCUCAAGUGCUUUCAGCAUUUUAGUUGUUUAGCUUAAGUCGCCUUGUCUGAAUGUGUAAUACUAGAAAUCAAUAAAUUCGUGUGCCUCAUGUUUGAUUAUCUGUAUUCGAAUAAAACUCCGUGGAGUAGUAGCGCUACUUUUGACAAUCAAAGUUUUAUAUACUUCAAUUUCUUAGAGCAUCUCGAACACGUAUGUUACUAGAUUGCAGCCUACAAUUUUUUUUCCCCUAUUUUCUGCUAAUGUAUCCCCUAAUGUAGAAUUUUUUUUUUCUUGGAGCGGAGGUUUGUUAGGAGAGCAUCAAUUCAAACAAUUUACUUAGAAGACCAAUUUUCAGGAGCCUGGAUUAGAAUACUAUUUUUAAUUGGUGAACAAGUGCUUGUCUCUUCCUAAUUAGUCACUAAUUAGUCACUUUAAGCAAGUCCUGGGAGGAUGUUGAAACAAUUGAUAAUUCUUCAUUAUAAUCUAUCAGUCACAAAAAGACAAUGAUUAAGAAUAGACAAAUACUAAAAAUGACGAACAUUGUGGAGGAUACAAAAAUGAAUGACACUUUUAGUAGGACAAAAGAAGUAAAAAUUAAUUUUGUGAUCGGCAUAGCUCUUAUUUUGAGUUAAAUAUAUAUUGAUUCCACCAAUAAUGUAUCCUCUUAAAAAGUAAACAUUUUAUUCUCACUAUGGUAAAAUGGCAAACAUCCGUGCAUACAUUGAUUGAUAUGUAGACAAUUUUUGGACUAAUACAUAGCAGAGUUUUGAAAUUCAAGCUGACACAUCGACUCAAUAGAAUUUAGGGUCAGGAGUCAAGAGGUUAAAGUGAGUAAUGUGAGUAUGAAUCCUUAGUAUGUGAGUAAUGAAUCAUUAGUAUCAUGUCCUUUCACGUGUGUAGUUAUGUGAGUAAUGAAUCCUUAGAAUCACCGGUUAUAAUGAAUCCUUAUGCACAUUUAAUUGACUUCAUAUUUCGUACCCACAGAUAAUCAAAGAUAUAACUGGGUGAUUCACGAGUUGAUUUUCAAGUACAUGUUUCGUGAGACUAUGAGCCGGUUUAGAUUGUAAUUUUUGGGAAGUUUUACAGAAAAAUAUAAAUCGUAUCUACAAAAAAAAAAUUAAUCAAAGAUAUAACUGGUGAUUCAUGAGUGGAUAAAAGAAUUGAGUGUUUCCUAAUUGAUAAAGGACAGAGUUUUUCUUAUGUAGUAGCUUGACUUCUUGAUCGCAUAAUUGUGGCUGUCCAUCUCUUUGAUUUGGAUUCCGAUCUUAUUCAAAUACUUUUGGAGGGGUAUCCUAUAAUUAGAGUUAGAGGUGGGAAUUGUCCCAAGUCCCAAUGAGCUACCCAUGUCCAAAAGAACUUUGGGCGGGAUGGGUAUUGUAAUUUGAUAUUGGGUUUAAAAUGGGAUGCAUCCCAAUUAUACCAUUAUUUGAUGGAAAAUGUUGGGAAAUACUUGGGUACCCAUUGGGCCUAAAUAUCUUCCCAAAAAAUUUCAUUUAUCCAAAAAUUCAUCUUUGAUUUUUUUUUUGGCAAAAAUCUGAUUUUUUUUCACUUCCAUUUUCUUUCUUUUCCUUUCUUCACUUUCCUACAAAAGAAAACCAGUUAAGUAAAAAUGAUUUCAUUUAAACAACUUUAAAAAAAUAAAGAUAACAAUAACAAUAAAAUGAAUUGGUAAAAUUUUGGUGUCUACAAGAAUUAAUGCUUUACUAACAACUGUUAGCAUCCUUUAUGUUGAUUUUAUGCUAAUUGUUGAGCUAUCUAUAUAGAUUUCUAUAUGCAACCUUGUUAUCAAUUUUUAAUCAGUUUCUUCGUUUCUGUGCUAGCUUUAUUCAGCAUUUAAUGUGAAUUUCUUUUGUAUCAAAAUUUGGAAAUUUUAAGAAUGUCAGUAAGAAUGAAUUUGGUGUUAAAAAAUCUUGUUUCUAGUCCUUGUGUCAGACAACAUUAUGGGUAAGGUUGGAAUAUGGCUGUAUAUCUAUCUUUUUCUUUAUUUGUUAAUCCAAUUUUUGGUUUAAUCCAGGGAGAAGAUAUGUUCAUUCUUACCAAAAUGUUAUGUCUUUUAAAAGUAACUGUUGAUCGUUUUAGAGUGUAAAUGAAUUCAGGAAAAUAUAAAUUCACAAUAAGAUCAAAAGAAAUUUAAUAAAUAAAAAUAUUAAAGUUAUAUAAAAAAUAAAAAAGAAUUAAAGGGAAAAAAAUAUAGAAAAUAGAUUUGGGUAUUGGGCGGGAUCAAUCUAAACCUAUCUCAAUGUGAUCCCGCCCAAGUUAGUUCCAAAACACAUAUGGGCAAGGUUAGGUCCAUACCCAUAUGAUUCGGUUCCAUUUCGAAUCCAAGCAAAUUCCGCCCAUCCCGCCCAUUUUGCCACCUCUAAUUUAGAGUGUCAAUCACAAACUUAAUUAUGUUGAUUCACCCAAACUCACGCUUCAAUAACUCGUUCAAACCCACCCACUAAUUUUAAAUAAGUCUAAAUGGGCAUGAAAUUAAACUCAUUUAAUUAGUAGGCAGUGGAUUAACUCGAAUCACUUAUUUAUACCCAUUUAAAAUAAUUAUAUAUUUAAACUCAAGUAUUAAACAAAUAAAUUUGAAUUUAUUAUCAAUCUAAUAAUAAUAAAAUAUUAUUAUUUUUUAUCAGACAAUAUGUAAAAAAAUAAAAAAUUAAAUUAUAACCAUUUAAAUUCGUUUAAAUAACCUAUUUUGAUACCUCCACAGACCACUGUCUGCUCAUUGGACAUUCCACCACCACUUGUUCAGCUGUUCCUUUUGUCCAGGCGGUCGCCAGUGUCUAUCAUUUUCGAAUACCAGGUAAGGCUCUGACAUUAGGGUCCACCUGCCAUAGUGCCAUCCCAUUGAUUAACCAAGUUACAGCGCUGUCAUAUUUGUCAAGCCAUCCUUCAUUAUUGGAUCUUUUAUUCUAUAUAUGGGACUGUCCUUACUGUUCCCAUGAAAGACUGGUCCAGAAAUGUAUGGCAGCUGUGAAAUACGCUGGCUCUCUGAAUCUUGUCCCAUGAAGAUAUGCAGCUGAAAAUCCCAACGCAUUGGUUUCACGAGUUUUCCUAUCCACCAUGCCUGCCAAUUAUCUAUCACCAUAUAAUAGAGUGUUUUUAAAGUAUACGGACCGACCGAUUCUAAACAUUGAACCGAGGAUUUGGUGGGUAUUCGGUCUGAGUUAAUCAAUUGAGUUGAACAGACAUUGAUCAGACCUGCUCAAAAAUUGGGUUUGAAUAAAGAAAAUUGAGUUUUUAACUACAUAUUUUGUGAGACUAUGAGCGGGUUUAGAUUGUAAUUAUUGGGAAGUUUUAUAGAAAAAAUAUAAUCGUUUGGUUGUUAACGAGUGGAUAAAAGAAUUGAGUGUUACCUAAUUGAUGAAGGAUAGAGUUUUUCUUAUGUAGUGACUGCACCUCUUGAUCACAUGAUUUUGGUGAUUAUCGAUCUCUUCGAUUUGGAUUCCAAUCUUAUUCAAAUAUUUUUUAUUCUUUCAGAUUAUGUCUUUCUUGUGCAUUUCAAUCUUUGUAAUUUAACAAUUGUUUCUUAGAUUGGAUUUUGAUUCUGUUAGACUAUGUCUUUCUUGUGCAUUUCAAUCUUUGCAAUUUAAUAAUUGUUUCUUAGAUUGGAUUUACAUGUUUAGUUCUGGAGAGGCCCCUUGAUCUGGAUUCGAGACCUGGCCAGUUGUAUUUCUACUCAAUUACAGAUAUUUAGUAAUUUCAUAUUUUAUUACACCAUUGUUUCUAAGAUUGGAUUUUGAUUCUUUUAGAUUAUGUCUUUCUUUUGCAUUUCAAUCUUUGGAAUUUAAUAAUUGUUUCUUAGAUUGGAUUUACAAGUUUAGUUCUGGAGAGGCCCCCUGAUCUCGAUUCGAGGCCUGACAAAUUGUAUUUGUACUCGAUUUCGGGUAUGUAGUAAUUUCAUAUUUUAUUACAUCAUUGUUUCUUAGAUUGGAUUUUGAUUCUUUUAGAUUAUGUCUUUCUUGUGCAUUUCAAUCUUUGCAAUUUAAUAAUUGUUUCUUAGAUUGGAUUUACAUGUUUAGUUCUGAAGAGGCCCCCCUGAUCUCGAUUCGAGGUCUGACAAGUUGUAUUUCUACUCGAUUUCGGGUAUUUAGUAAUUUCAUAUUUUAUUACACCAUUUUUCAACUCAAUCAAAUCAUAUUUUAACUUUUGUCACACUAUUUUCCAACUCAGUUACAUUAAAAGGCAAACUUGUGAGAAAUAAAACUUGUGAGACCCCAUCAACCCCUGCUCCUAUUAAUAUUACACAUGUAGAUUAUAUUUUAAAAGGAAAAUUGCCAAAUUGGUCCCUUAAAGUUUCGGAAAAAAAGCUUUUUUUACUCCAUCAAAAUUAGAAUUAGUCAAAAUAGUCCAUCAAAUAUAACAAAAGAAAAGUAUCCUUUUAGUCCGCGAGCUCAUUUUUUGAUCGGUCUUCUAGCCAAAAAGUGUGUGCCUUUCUUAGGUACCCACAAUUUAAAUAGCAAAAUGGGAAAACAAUUUAUUUUCUUCCAAAAAAAGCACAUGACAAUCAUAUGAUCACCUCCUGAAUAGGAAAUCGUAAUUAUUAUCCAUCAAAUUCAUAAUCGAAGAAAGAGUAAACUACAGGUGACCUUUACACUUUCUUGUUUGAUUAUGGAUCUGGUGGAUAUGAAUUAAGGUUCCUUUGCUAGAGGUGUGGUUAUGUGAUUGUGAUGUAUUUUUUAUUUAAGAGAAACAAAUUGCGUUUCAAUUUUGCCGUUGAAAUUGUGGGAACCAGAGAGAAGGUGCACUUUUAGGCUUAAAAAUUGAUUGAAAGUGAGUUUUGGGACUAAAGGAGCACAUUUUUUAUAAUUAUUUUGAUGCUUAUAUCAAAACCAUACAAAUUUACACCGAAUGUAUUAAAAAUUAUACAAACUGAUUUGAACUAGAUAGAAUUUAACUUGCUGUAUAAGACAAUUUAUUAUGCAUAAUAAUUGUUUCUAGAUGUCUAUUCUUACAUUUCUUCUGAGCUUUGAUUUGCAUCCUAUGUGACGGAUACAUCGAAUUCGUACCGACAGAUAAUCAAUAAUGCAACUGGGUGAUUCAUGAGUUGACAAAGAAUUCAUUGCUCUUAAGUGGUAGUUGCACCUCUUGAUCACAUGAUUCUAGUUGUCGAUCUCUUCGAUUUGGACCCCAAUAUUUUUCCAAUAGUUUUGACUAUUUCAGAUUAUGUCUUUCUUGUGCCUUUCAAUUUUUACAAUUUAAUAAUUGUUUCUUAGAUUAAUAACUGUCUUUUUUAUGCCAUUGUGCUGAAGAAAGGUACCAAUAAUGACAGACUUAAGAGUAAAUCAUAAUUGAGGACAAAAUUUGAGAGUUUUUAUAUAAAAAGUAUAUUAUAAUGUAUUUCUUAAAAUGUGAUGUAUGUAAAGUAAAAAUGUAAUUAGAAUAUAUAAUAAAAGAAUUCUCACGAAAAUUCACAAAAGUUUUUGGCAAAAAAUGCAAUCCAAAGAUUUGAUGAGCUAGCGUUGGAUGCGUCGACACUGGACCUCUAUGAUUGUCCGUCUACUUACUUUUAUAAUUAAGGUUUUCUGCUAAAAAUAAAAUAAUGUCUUAGGUGCAACGUUGUUUUCUUGAGAUUGACUCCGCAGCAACCACGUAUUUCUUCUGAGCUCUAACUUGGCUCGCAUGUGGUGGGUACUGUUUCCGUAUAAAACAAUUUGUUAUGUGCAAUAAUGGUUUCUGGAUAUAGAUUCUUACAUUUCUUCUGAGUUUUGAUUUGCCUCUUACAUGGUGGAUACACCCAAUUGACCUCAUAGUUCAUACCUGCAGAAAAUAAUCAAAGACGUAAUUGGUGAUUCACGUGUGGAUAAAGAUUUGAGUGUUUUUCUAAUUAAUAAAGAAUGAAGUGUUUCUUAAGUAAUAGCGGCACUCUUGAUCACAUGAUUCUGCUUGUUGAUCACUUUGAUUUGGAUUAUGAUCUUAUUCAAAUACUUUUGAUUCUUUGAGAUUACGUCUUUCUUGUGCAUUUCAAUCUUUGCAAUUUAAUAAUUUUUUUAAAAUGAGAUUUACAUGUUUAGUUCUAGAGAGGCCCCUGAUUUGUAUUCGGGGCUCUGUUUUGAAACUCGGACCGGACCGGCCGGUCGAACCGGGAACCGGCCAGGUAGCCGGUCCGAGUCAUAUUAAAAAAUCGGAAAUUUAAAAGUCGGUCAAAAAUCGGGUUUGACCGGGUAAAAAUCGGUUUUUCCGGUUCAACAGUAAAUUUUGUAAAAACAAUUUUAAACUUUUUAAUAUUAUGUUUUGACCCCCUAAAUUGUUAAAACUUAUUGAUAUACCUCAAAUAUUUGAUACUUUAUAAAUAUUGUCCUAAAAUUUGAUGUUAUUUUUCAAUUAAAUUCAUAAUUUUAAUUCUAAACUUGUUAAUAUUUAUUAAAUAAUAUAAAUUGCUACUUGAUUGUUCUAAUUUCUUUGUAUCUUCUUGUUAAAUAUAUUUGAAACAUCAAAUAUAUAUGAAUAUACCUUUAUUAAUAUCAAUAUAUUAUUAGAUAUUAUAUAUAUAAUAUUUUAAUUUUUAAAUAAUUUUUAUUUAUGACGUCAUCCGGUUCGACCCCUAUCGACCCCCGGUCGAACCCAUUGACCCCUGACCCCUGAUCUCGGCCGAGUCGCUAUCCGGUCCGGUUUUGAAAACAUAGAUUUGGGGUUGUACUUUACUCGAUUUCGGGAUAAGUUAGUAAUUUCACAUUUUAUUGCACUAUAUUUCAAAUCAAUUACAAUAUAUUUAAACUUUUGUUAUACCAUUUUCCAACCCAGUUACAUCGAAGAGCAAACUUGUGGAAAAUAAAACUUAUAAAGCCCCUGAUCCCAUUAAUAUUACACAUGCAGAUACUAUUAUAAUAAAGGAAAAAUUGUCAAAUUGAUCCCUUCCAUUUUCGAUAACUUUUUUAGUUCCUCACAAUUAGAAUUAGCUAAAAUAGUCCCUUAAAUAUAUAUAAAAAAAUACAUCCUUUUGGUCACAGAGCUGAUUUUUUAUUAGUUUUUUGGCCAAAAAGUGCACGCCUCUUAGGUGCCCACAAUUUUGAUGGCAAAAUGGGAACACAAUUUCUUUUCUUCCAAAAAAAAAAAAAAACAAAGCACAAGACAAUCAUAUGACCACCUCUUGAAUAGAGAAUCCUAAUUUUUAUCCACCAACCUCAUAAUCAAACAUGAAAGAGUAACCUGCAAGUGACCUUUAUGCUUUCUUGUUCGACUAUGGGUUUGGUGGAUAAGAAUUAGGAUUCCUAGAGAAGUGAUCAUGCGAUUGUCAUCAGUUUUUUUUUUCUUUUUUUCAAGUGAAAUGAAUGUUCCCAUUUUGCCAUUGAAAUUGUGGGAACCUAAGACACAGUGCGCUUUUUGACAUGAAAACUAAUCAAAAGUGAGUUCUGAGACCAAAUGGGCGCAUUUUUAUUUAAUAUCUAAGAGACUAUUUUGAUUGAUUUUGAAUGUGAGUGACUGAAACUGUGUUUAUUAAAAAUAUGAGGGACUAUUUUGACAAACUUCCGUAUAAUAAAGAUUGACCACUUUUUCUAGGAGUUUGGACAUUAUCCAUUUGGAAGUAUUACUAUUUUGAUCCUUUAUUGUUAUAGUUUUACUCAAUUUACACUGUUUAGCUCGUUUCCAUAAGGAAUAUUUUUUCUGGGAUCUGCAAGGAAAAUCAAGGGAGCUAACGGAGGACUUGCAUGUGUGAACCACCAUGCACGUUGCAUAACAAAUUUUGCUCUUUUAUUAUUGGGCAAAAAAAAAAAAAAAUGGCGACCACUAAACUAUUUCUGGCAUCUACUUGUAGCUACCAAACUAUUUCUCGUCUCAAUUUAACCACUCAACUAAUUAAUCAACAUACCCUUGGUUAUUUCAUGGCAUUUUGCUCUUAGUUUACAAAUAAACCAAACACAAAUCAAGUGUCAAAAUUUAAGGGUAAUCAUAUCCACUAAAUUUCUCAAUACAAAUCUAAAAAGUCCAACAACCACUAAACUAUUCCCCUCGUACUCUUUUGAUCAUUCAAAUAUAAUCACUAAAUUCUUAAAUCAGUAUACUAGCAGUCAUUCCGUCAAAUAUUUCUGUUAAUGCUAAGGAAUGAGUUCUAUGUUCAUUUCACAUACCCAAAACAGGACAAUUUUGUAAGGUCAACUUUUUAGAUUGUUUAAAUUUUUUCCCAUUAAUAUUACACAUGCAAAUAAUAUUACAAUAAAGGAAAAUUUGUCAAAUUGUUUCCUUCCAUUUUUGAUAAUUUUUUAGCCCCUCGCAAUUAGAAUUAGCUAAAAUAGUCCCUUAAAUAUAAAAAAAAAAAUGCAUCCUUUUGGUCACAGAGCUCCUUUUGGUAAAUUCCUUCUUGUACCUUGACAUUAAAUUUUAUUUAAUAUGAAUGACACAUAUUCUCUAGACGUCCAAAUAAAGGAGAUCAUUGUAACCUUUCAAAAACUUGAAUGGAGCAACAUGAAAUUGUUAUAAACCUCAAAGGUGUUUUAAAUAAAUAUCCCCAUACAUUGGAACACAUUUACAAGCAGAUUUUGUCAUGCUAGUACCUUUAUAGUCAAUGAAAGCCAAUACACUCAGUGCCACAUUGUUCCCUCUCCCUCUCUCUCGUUCUUCUCACAAGUUGUCUAGCGUGCUGCUUUGCUUCUCAGGACACGUUGAAGCUUUUGUUCUUUGCUAGCUAGGUAAUUAUUAUAUACCUGGCUCUCAAUUUCUGUGGUCCACUUCAUUAAUUGAUUUUUUUUUUGUAAAAAUUUUAGGGUAUCAAUUUCAGACGUUUGUUUUUCUUCGUUAUUGGAAAAAUCCAGCAGCUGUUUGCAUGCUAAUAUAUGGGAUUUCUCUUUUGCUUAGAUCUGGAACACUUGCUGUCUAGCAGGAAAGAAUUAGUACCUGCAUAUUAUGUGACCCUGAAAAAAAAAAAACCAUCUUUCUUUCUGUCCUUCAUUAGUUUGGCACUAAAACUUGAGUAAGGUUAACAGGAUUGUGCGGUACAACCAACAAUAAUGGAGGGGGAGAAGAUGGAUACAGAGGGAAAGGUGGAGACAGAGAAGAUGAACAAGGCAAUUGCGAUGGCAUAUGAUGUCCAAUCUAAAAUAGUAGAGGAUCUAGUUGGCGAUCACUUUCAUGUUGGCUUCUAUGACUCUAGCUCCGUUGUCCCUGGUUCUGAUGUCCAUUCUGCUCAGACUCGCAUGAUCGAGGCGGCCCUCCGUUUUGCCUCUGUAUCAGGUAUAUUCAACGCACCACUCUUAAGAUAUGGAUUGGCAGUUUAUCUCGAGUUUUCUUCUCUAAGUACAAAUGCUGUAGUUAUGAAACAAAACUGUAUUUUGCUGCAGAGCUAAGCUUUUUACUUGGGUGCAGAUUAAUUCCCAUUAAUUUCGAUUGUGACUUCGUUGAGUCAUCUACCCCGGCUAUCAAUUUGUAUAGUCUCCGACCCGUUUUGGACGUGAAUCUAAUUAGUAUAGAUAGUUUAAUAAAGGGCAAAUUCCACUUUACCCCCGGGAUUUAGCAUUUUUUACAUGACCCCCCUUAUGGUUUCAAAAACUAUACAUAACCCCCUCAUGGUUUGGAUUAAAGUGCCAAAGUGAUGGGAAUGAUCAUUCGCAACGGAGUCACCUAAAAUGUCAAAAAUACCCUUAUGUAAAGUUGAAAAUUAUUUAGGAUAAAUUCCACUUUACCCUCCUAUAGUUUAGCAUUUUUUUACAUAACCCCCCUAUGAUUUCAAAAGCUAUACAUAACCUCCCUAUCAUGAACUUUGAACUAAAUAAAUUGAUAAAAUAUUUCUAAUAGAAAAGGCACUUAUGUAACCUUGCACCCAAAUGAUAAAAUUGAACACUAAAUAAGUGCUCUUGUCAGAAUCUCUACUACAUGAAAUACUUCGUCGUAAUCUUAAGGAUUAAUUUUAUAAAUACUGUCAGUGUAUAUACUAUUACCAUUAAAUAUAUAAUACAUGUGCAAAAUUUGAAUUUGACAGUAUAUAUACUUACAAUGUAUAUACAAUUUAUUCUAAUCUUAAACAGCCACCUAAUAUUAAAGAAUUAUCUAAGAUGGAAUAGCAUUUCUCUCAUGGUUGUUAAAAUCGCGAUCCGGAUCGUAGGAUCGUACGAUCCUAUGAUCCGGAUCGGCAAAAUCGAUCCGGAUCACACUCAGAAUCGCAAAUUCCUUGAAUCUAUAUAGGAUCGAGGUAGGAUCGGUAGGAUCGCAUAGAAUCGUACGAUCCUACGAUCCUACUUCGAUCCUACAAUUUUUUGCUAAUUUGUGGAAUACAAGGUUCAUUUUGCAAGUAAAAAUCGACAUUUGGGGUAGGCUUGUAAGUUCACACUCAAUUGCAGGCCUUAGUUGCAAUGUUUUAACAAAUUUUGCCUCAAAGUCAAAAGAUUCCGUCAAAAAGCUUCGGGCCUUCUUCAUCUUCCCCUCAAGCAGAGCUUUGACGUUUCUCUUCUCCUCUCCGCUGCCCAAAUCAAAUCCCUAAUUUUAACCAUCAAACCACCUCAAGCUUCGGCUACAGCUCUUACCAAGAACCCACAAGACAAAUCGCUGCGGCUUCUACCAGGAACCCACAAGCUACAGUCGACAGCUAUUGCAGAAAAAGUUCAUCUUCUGCAUUGGGUGAAAAGCUGAGCAGCAAAAUCAUCAUCUUCCUCUCUCAUACUCAUACUACUUUGUAAGCGUUUAAACAUGAAUGCAAUAGUGACUAAUUAAUGGCGUGUGAAAUUAGGAUCGAAAUGUACAAAUUUUACCUUUUCUCAAGCUUUUUUCGUUUACAUUGUAGGAAAUUAUAUGAUACCAGGAAUUCUAUUCUGUUGGAUGGUGCUCCUAUUUUUUUUCUCAAUAAUUGAAAUUUGUAUUUGGCAACUUUAAUUAGUGAAACCACAGGAAGUUUUAAAUACUUGAAUUAAAUGAUGAAAUGAAAUCUAAUGCCAGAACUUUUUCUGCCCAUUUAAUAUUUGAGCUUUAUAUAUAUAUAUAUAUAUAUAUAUAUAUAUAUAUAUUAAGUUUUUGUAAUGAAUGUUCAAUAUUUGAUCGUUAACACAUUCAAUUCACACCUAUUAUGUAUAUGCACUUCUAACACGCAUAACCUUUUUUUAUAUUCAUAUAUAUACCUUUUUUGAUUAAUAUUACUUUUCUAAAAAUUUCAUUCUUCAACUACGUACAUAUUUUUCAUUAAUUCGAAAUUGUAAACAUAUUAUUGAUCUUUUGUGAUUGGCAAUUGGCAAUCAAAACAUUCUUGAAAUGCUGUCGGCUGUAACUUCUUCAUCUUUUUAUUACUUGUCAGAUAGUAAGUAAAAAAUGCUAUAUAUUGAUGAGUAACUUAUUUAUUUGAUAUCUUUUAGGAUGUACAAAAUGGUAUAUGAAUUUCAAUUUCAUUAAUUUAGUAAAUUUAGGAGCUUUUGGUGGGAUCUUACGAUCCUACGAUCCGAUUUUGUGAAACUAAAAUCGAUCCUACGUGGAAUCCUGAUUUUACAAACCUUGAUUUCUCUGCCAAUUGCGAUAGUCAUGCAUCUUGUUCUUAACAACACAAAAUAUUGCUUACCUUCGAAAAAUCAACACAUAAUUUUAUUGGUAUCACUCAAAAUUGGGUCAAUUUCAAUCAUAUUUCCUGAGAUUUGACCUAAUUAAAAAGUAUGCCUUGUGAUUUGAUCAGAUUACAGUCGAAUCCCCCAGUAGCAAAACAUUUGUCAAAUACCUGGCCCUCACUUUAAAUACAAUAUUGGCAAUUAAACGCAGCCCUCACUUUAAUUCUAUUAUUUCCUUUCAAGUCAAAUACUUCUUCACACAUAAGAAAGAAAAUAAAACUUUUAGUUCAUGACCAAACAACACCAUUUCAACUUUUUUUUAUCAAUCAGUAAUAUCUAUACUAUCUUACCCUAUAGGGGAGAAAUCCAACUGCGUUGUAUAAAGGGCUAGAGAGCAAGCAAGUUCAUCUAAACCAAAGAGGUGCUCUGACACACUUUUUGAAAUUUUUUUAACUAUAAGUUCUGGAUGUAGGGUUUAAACUUCCGACGUACAAUCUAAAGAGGAAUUUUAAAUCCCUUAGUUUGAAUUGAAGUACCAAAUUCUACACCCAAUAGUACAUGCACAUGUAAAUGGGGAUAAUCAAUUGGGGAAGGAUAAAAACAGAAGCAACAUUUUGUUUUUCUUUUUUCUGUUGGUCUUUCCUCAUUUUAGUGGUUUUAGUUUUUCUUUGACUACAUUUGCAAUGGAUUUAGGUAUUUGGCUAUUCAAAAGGUUAGAUUACAAAUUGGUCAAAGUACAGGAUUAGUUCUAUAAUUUGGACAAGCCUGAUGCAAUGUGAAUAUAAAUUAAGCAUAGAAUUUGUUUUUUGGGGCAAUCAUAUGCAAUUUCUGUAAUUGAUACUCUGGGUUUAGGUCAUGCACACAUUGAAAAAAGAAAUGGUUUGAUUGCUUUUCAAUGUGUCUAUUUUCUUUCCUAGUGAAACAUCCUCCUCAUAAUUUCUAGUUUUUUCUCCUCUCCAACUUGGUCGUUUUUUGUUUCAUUUUUUUGUUUAGUAGUCAACCAACGGGCAUUAUUUAUCAUGAAAUAAUAUGCAGAGGAUCCAUCGAAGAAACCAAGAAACAUACUUGAUGUUGGAUGCGGUAUUGGUGGCAGCACCAGGUACCUAGCAAGUAAAUAUGGUUCUCAAUGUAAAGGCAUCACCCUUAGCCCUGUUGAGGCUGAAAGAGCUCGUGUUCUAACUGCUGCCCAAGGAUUAGAAAGCCAGGUUUGUAUGAACUCUCCGUCUUACAAUUUUGAACGAUUUGCAAGAAGUUAUCAAUUGUUAAAUCACCCUUGCUGCUCACUCUUUUUAUGCAAGUGCACAAUAAGUAAAAAUUUUCAUUCCUCCAUUUCUUAAGGAAUGAUGACAGAGUGCAUACUACUACUAUGGUUUUGAAAAAGUAAUAAAUUGUGUUCAUGAAAGCAAACCAGAUACUCAAAAGUUUCAAGAAUCCUAAUUUGUGAUAGUUUUGUUUUGAUUAUCCAUCCUCACCUUUACUUUUUAUACACUAAAAAUGCAAAAUUUUUGAAUCCUGAAUUUUAGGGGAUAAAAUUAUCUCAUAAUAGAAUUGAAUUCAAAUAUGUAUUAUCAAUAAGCUUAGGUAAUGAUGUUAACUCUUGAAUUUGGAUACAUACGUAUGUGUGUACAUAUACAUAUACAUACAUAUAUAUGUGCGUGUGUGUAUGUGUAUGUGUAUAUAUACAUACAUAUAUAUAUAUACAUGUACAUAUACAUAUACAUACAUACACACACACAACAUGCACACACAUGCACAUAUACAUGCAUAUAUAUAUAUAUAUACAUAUAUGUGUGUAUGUAUAUAGAUGUAUGUAUGUAGAAUUAAUCUUCUAUGCAAUAACUAAUAAUUUAUACACUAUUAGAUUUAGAUGAAAUUCAAAUUAAGAUUAAUUAUUAUGCAUGUCAGUAUAGAGAAGAUUAACAAUAUAUUAUUGAUUAUGCCAAGUUUUAAAUUCAGAUCAAGUCACAUUUCAAAUAAACUUUGUAGAAUGACUCGGAACUUUACUCCAAAUUCCAAGUAAAAGCCACCACAAUGCUAGAAAGAGAAGUAAGAAAGAAAAAGAUGCAAAAUCAUUAUGCAGAUAUAUAGUAGUGCUGCUUUCUUUUCCUAACAGCUGCUAAAACGUACAUAGCAGGUUUCCUUUGAAGUGGAAGAUGCAUUGAAUCAGCCAUUUGAAGAUGGUUCAUUCGAUUUAAUUUGGUGCAUUGAAUGUGCAGAUCACAUAAGCGACAAAACAAAGGUUAUAUUUCUUGUCGCAGCUUCCUUUACAAUUACUAUUUCUCUUUUUUUGUUUUUUUGUUUUUAUCAUUCUUUAAAAAUGAUUAUCUACCCUACUUGUUGAACGUAGGUAUCACAUAAAUGUCAAUAAUGUAAAAUUCUGCUGAUGUUAUUUUCUUCUUGAUGAAGUUUGUUCAUGAGUUGAAUCGGGUGGCUGCCCCUGGUGCUACUAUCAUUUUAGUUACUUGGUGUCAUAGGGAUCUUUCGCCCCUUGAACAAGAUUUGCAUCCGGAUGAGAAAAAGUUACUGACCCAAGUGGUGAGCGGAAGUCGUGCUAAGUGGAUUUCUGCUGCUGAUUAUAUGAAUUUAUUCAAGUCAUGCUCUUUUCAGGUAUUCAAUUGCGUUUACUUUUUGCGGCUCAUUUAUUCGACCAGAAUCAUUAUUUUUCUUCAUCACAAAGUUUUCCUUUUCCCGAUUAUCUAAGCCUCCUGUUGUUAAUUAGGAGAUCAAGUAUGCAGACUGGUCUCCACACGUUGCUCCACAUUAUGCAGAAAUGAGGAAGAUAACGUUGUCAUGGAAGGGAAUCAUGUCGUAUGUUAGACAUGUUGGUAAGCAUUGUGUAUUUCACUGGCAUAUAUAGCCAAUUCAUUACCAUUAUCUACCUUGUAAUUGUAUGCUAUAAUUCUUAACCAUUUCUCCAUCUUUUCUCAAUUUCAAUUAAUAGGAUGGAGGCAAAUGAGCAUCAAGUUUCUGAUGAUGCCGUCAGUGUUCGACACAUUCAAAAAUGGUCUGCUUAAGUAUUGCAUUCUUACGUGCCAGAAACCUCAGUAGUUCAGUUCCAGUGAUGUUUAAUGUGCAUGCAAAAAUAUCACUCCACAGUCGAUAAUUCCUUGUUUUUCUUUCUCAAAAGCUAAUUUGUACUUGUAUUGUUCCUCAAAACUUGAGAAUCUUUCUGAUUUUGAGAUUUACCAUUAGAAUUGAGAUCUACUAUAUUCUGCAUAUGCGUUGCACAAGAUCUUGAUAUUUGAAAUUGGAGUUUCGAAUAUCAAAACUCAUGUCAUUUCACCCAUAAUUUGUAAGUACUUUUAAGUUCAGGAGAGUAAGAGGAGCCCUAUUUUCCAUCCACUUUAAGGACAAAAGAAAGAACUAAAAAAAAAUAAAAAACUGGUCAUUGGUCAAAAAGUUUAAAAUGAAAAAAAAGAAAAGAAAAACUAAUAGUUGGUCUAGUCUCUAGUAUGUUAAAAAAUGCUUGAUUAAACCCAUUCGCUGUAUACCUGUCCUUAGACCUUCCGGUGAAUACUUGGUUGCAGUCAAAAGCAUAAAAAUUUACUAUUUCUUCUUUUUUUUUGGGGGCUGGGACCACAACUGAGCGCUUUGACUCAACUUGUAAUACAUGUUAUACCGAGAACUAGCAGACUUGGUCCACCUAAAAUUGAAAUAAAAAGAAAAAGUUCCAGUCGAGUUGUCAAAGCUGAGGUGGAACUUUUAGUUGCAUAUUAAUCCAAGUUUUUUUACUUUUCUUUUAAGAAAAGCAAAUUAGUCUAAGUUGAACUCUCUUAAUUAAAUGCUUAAAUUUGCAUGUCUCAUUCUUGACAAGUCUCUUAGUGCCUGAAGCAAGUAUAACUUUGAGAAAAGUCAAAAUUUAGUCUCCAACGGCUGGAGAUGAGAAAACCAAAUAAAAAUGUAGAAAAAUUAAGAUGCCAAGAUAAAUGAAAAGAGGCGUACCCACGGCCACGGAUGGUACACUGCAGUUUCCAAAAGAGACAUCCAAUAAAAAGUUUAAUUCUAACAAUUUGAUAUCUAAGUGAAAGAUGUCUUUCUUUUUCAAUACUUGGAAUAGUCUCUUUUUUUUUUUUUUUGAAUAAUGGCAAACCCCAUACAUGGGGGAGGGAUGUCACCUCUAAAUUUUAUUAAAAAUUUAAAUUUGAAAAGAAAGUAUUGAUUAUUCAAUACUUGGAAUAAUCAAUACCACGUAUAAUAGACAUACUGAAAUUCGUCCGGUUUAGAUUGUAAUUUUUGGGAAGUUUUAUAGAAAAAUAUAAUCGUAUUGAGUGUUUCCUAAUUGAUGAAGGAUAGAGUUUUUCUUAUGCAGUGGCGGCACCUCUUGAUCACAUGAUUCUGAUUAUCGAUCUCUUUGAUUUGGAUUCCAAUCUUAUUUAAAUAUUUUUUAUUCUUUCAGAUUAUGUCUUUCUUGUGCACUUCAAUCUUUGCAAUUUAAUAAUUGUUUCUUAAAUUGGAUUUUGAUUAUUUUAGAUUGUGUCUUUCUUGUGUCUUUCAAUCUUUGCAAUUUAAUAAUUAUUUUUGAGAUUGGAUUUACAUGUUUAGUUCUGGAGAGGCCCCUGAUCUAGACUCAAGGCCUGACAAGUUGUAUUUCUACUCGGUUUUGGGUAUUUAAUAAUUUCAUAUUUUAUUACACCAUUGUUUCUUAGAUUGGAUUUACAUAUUUAGUUCUAGAGAGGCCCCAUGAUCUGGAUUUGAGACCUGACAAGUUGUAUUUCUUCUUGAUUUUGGGUAUUUAUAAUUUCAUAUGUUAUUACAUCAUUUUUUAAUUCAACCACAUCAUAUUUCAACUUUUGUCACACUAUUUUCCAACUCAAUUACAUUAAGGGUCUGUUUGUUUGGGCGAAAAUGUUUUCUGGAAAACAUUUUCCACAUUGUCCAAUGUUUGGUUGUUAAUUAAUUUGGGAAAAUGAUUUCCAAUGGAAAAGAACUUACACCUAGAGAAGGAAAAUAACUUCCUUGUCUAUCAUUCUGAAGUUAUUUUCCUUUCACACAGCUUUCACCGAAAGAUGGAAAAUCACGGCCUCACUCCACCUCCCAUUGAGACAAUUGAAGACCCACUCCACCACCCAGCUUCCCCCCCUCUCUCUCUCUCUCUCUGGGAUAUCAAAACACUUAUAAUUAUCUUUUCUUGGCCCCUAGCAAUUCCAAACUUGAAUAAUAUUUUGAAGAGUUAAGAACUCUGGUUUCCAUAUAUCAAGAAAACAGAGUAGUGUUACUUUGAGUUCGGUCAACUUUGAUUAGUUUUCAUGAGGUACUAACUACAUAGUGGCAGCGACUUCUGGUAUCAUGUACCUUUAAUUUACUACCUUUAGUUGCCACAGUUCACUUAAUUAACGAUUAUAUGCAUGCAGUCAAUUAAUAAUUAUAUUAAAUUUUCAUUGAUGGAUCUCGGUAGUGAUCAUCAAUUAAACUUUCAAAUUUUCAUAAAAGAGACUCUUCUCCCCUUAAUGAUUUUUUUAAAAGGAAGAUAAAAAGUCAAUUAGUUAGUAUCAUUAAUAAUUCCAUUUAAGAAUUCAUGGUGUAAUAUGAAUAAAUAUUUUAUAAAAAUGAUAAUAUGAUUAUAAUGGAUAGAAACUAAAAAUAACUUGUAAUAAAUUGAAUGUUUUGAAAAUAGAAAACAUUUGCAACAUAUCAACAAACACAUCAGAAAAUAUUUUACUGACAAACCAAACACCGGAAAAUAAUGAAAAAAGGGAAUUUGGAAAAUAUUUUCACUAAAUAACCAAACACUGGAAAAAUAUGGGGAAGGAAGUGAUUUUCCAGGAAAAUGACUUCUAUCGAAAAUAUUUUCCUCAAUCCAACCAAACGGACCCUAAAAGGCAAACUUGUGAGACCCCAUCAGCCCCUGAUCCUAUUAAUAUUACACAUGCGGAUUAUAUUAUAAUAAAAGAAAGUUGCCAAAUUGGUUUCUUAAAUUUUUGGUAAAACUUUUUUUAGUCCAUCAAAUAUAAAAAAGAAAAGCAUCCUUUUAGUCCGCGAGCUCAUUUUUUGAUCGGUUUUCUAGCCAAAAAGUGCGUGCCUUUCUUAGGUACCCACCAUUUAAAUAGCAAAAUGUGAACACAAUUUAUUUUCUUCCAAAAAAAGCACAUGACAAUCAGAUGACCACCACCUGAAUAGGGAAUCCAACUUAUUAUCCACCAAAUUCAUAAUCGAAGAAAGAGUAAACUACAGGUGACCUUUACACUUUCUUGUUCGAUUAUGGAUCUAGUGGAUAUAAUUAAGGUUCCUUUCCUAGAGGAGUGGUUAUGUGAUUGUCAUGUAUUUUUUUUUUAAGAGAAACAAAUUGUGUUUCAAUUUUGCCGUUGAAAUUGUGGGAACUAGAGAGAAGGUGCAUUUUAGGCUUAAAAAUUGAUUGAAAGUGAGUUUUGGGACUAAAGGAGCAUAUUUUUUAUAAUUAUUUUGAUGCUUAUAUCAAAACCAUACAAAUUUACACCGAAUGUAUUAAAAAUUAUACAAACUGAUUUGAACUAGAUAGAAGUUAACUUGCUGUAUAAGACAAUUUAUUAUGCACAAUACUGGUUUCUGGAUAUCGAUUCUUACAUUUCUUCUGAGCUUUGAUUUGCAUCUUAUGUGACGGAUACAUCGAAUUGACUUCAUAAUUCGUACCGACAGAUAAUCAAUAAUGCAACUGGGUGAUUCAUGAGUUGAUAAAGAAUUCAGUGUUUCUUACGUGGUAGUUGCACCUCUUGAUCACAUGAUUCUAGCAAUAGUUUUGAUUAUUUCAGAUUAUGUCUUUCUUGUGCCUUUCAAUUUUUACAAUUUAAUAAUUGUUUUUUUGGAUUAAUAACUGUCUUUCUGAUGCCAUUGUGCUGAAUAAACGGAACCAAUAAUGACAUUUUUAAGAGUAAGGUUCCAUUUGAUAAAACUGAAUCUGAAUUCUGAAGUCUGAAUUCUGAAAUCUGAAUACUAAAAUAAUUAAUUUGCUGAAUUUUAAGCACUGAAAAGAAAUAUAUGAAUGUUUGAAUUUUAAUGUUAAACUAUUUAUACUGUUUGAUAAAUAUUUAUAACUGAAUGCUUAAUAAAUUAAAUUUGACAAAUUUGCCCUUAUGUCUUUUCAUCCAAAAAAGAAAUAGAACCUAUGAUUUAAUUAGCUAAAAAUGUUUGGUAUGAAAAUGACAAUAUUUAUUUUUAAAUCAAAUUAAUAUAAAAGAUGAAAUAUAUUAUAUGAGGAGUAUGGAGAAGAUGUGAAAAUCAUUCAAAAGGGAGAAAAAAGAAAUAAAAAAUCAUUAGAUAGAGAAUAUUAGAUUGUUUAAUUAGAUAAGAAUUUUGAACAUAAUUAACAAAUAAGGGUAGAUUUGGUAGAUAAGAUAAGGUAAUUGAAGUAUUUCUAUUGAUUCUUAUCAGAAUUAAGCAUUCAGUUAGGAUUUUUGUGCUGAAAAAAUUACACACAAGUUCAGCAUCACUUAACAAGUUCAGCAAAUGGAUUUUCAUUUAUCAAACUCUCAAAACAUCUGAAUGUCUGCAAAAAUUCAGAUUCAACACUUUUUUAUGUUAUCAAACAGACCCUAAAUCAUAACUAAGGACAAAAUUUUACUUCCUCAAGUACCAAUUCAAAUAAAAACAUUCAAAUUUACCUAGUAGAUGUAUGCUUUCAACCAAAAAAAAAAAAAAAACUGUAUACUUUAAUGCAAAAAAAAAAAAAAAAAACACUUACAACUGCCUUGUUGAGGCUUCACAUCAUUAAUAAGGCUCCAAAAAGUGUGUUUGGAUAGUAGAUUAUUUGGAAUAUUUUGUGAAAAAAAAUACUAUAAUACUUUUCGAUGUGAUGCAUGUGAGAUAAAAAAAUAAUUAAAAAAUAUAUUGAUGAUACAAGUAAAUAAAAUUUGGCAAAAAUUUACUAUCCAAACAAGUAUCUAUUAAUUUAUGGGAUCUUAAUUUGGCCAGGUCACAUGAAAUCACUACGUUCUCAAUUUCAACUAUAUAUUUAGUGAGACUAAGAGUUGGUUUAGAUUGUAAUUUUUAAAAGUUAUUAUAGAAAAAUAUAUUGUAGUACUUUUUUUAAAGAUGUAUAUUAUAAUUUUUGAGAGUUUUUAUAUAAAAAAUAUUAUAAUACUUUUCUUAAAAUGUGAUGUAUGUAAAGUAAAAAGGUAAUUAGAAUACAUAAUAAAAAAAUUCUCACGAAAAUUCACAAAAGUUUUUGGUAAAAAAAGCAAUCCAAACAUGGCUGAUUUGGUGAGCUAGUGUUGGAUGCGUCGACACUGGAACUCUAUGAUUGUCCGUCUACUUACUUUUAUAAUUAAGGUUUUCUGCUAAAAAUAAAAUAAUGUCUUAGGUACAGCAUUGGUUUCUUGAGAUUGACUCGGCAGCAACCACAUAUUUCUUCUGAGCUCUAAGUUGGCUCGCAUGUGGUGGGUAUUGUUUCCGAAUAAAACAAUAUGUUAUGCGCAAUAAUGGUUUCUGGAUAUAGAUUCUUACAUUUCUUCUGAGUUUUGAUUUGCCUCUUACAUGAUGGAUACACCCAAUUGACCUCAUAGUUCAUACCUGCAGAAAAUAAUCAAAGGUAUAACUGGUGAUUCACGUGUGGAUAAAGAUUUGAGUGGUUUUCUAAGUAAUAAAGAAUCAAGUGUUUCUUAAGUAAUAGCGGCACUCUUGAUCACAUGAUUCUGGUUGUUGAUCACUUUGAUUUGGAUUAUGAUCUUAUUCAAAUACUUUCGAUUCUUUGAGAUUACAUCUUUCUUGUGCAUUUCAAUCUUUGCAAUUUAACAAUUUUUUUAAAAUGAGAUUUACAUGUUUAGUUCUAGAGAGGACCCUGAUUUGGAUUUGGGGUUGUACUUUACUCGAUUUCAGGAUGAGUUAGUAAUUUCACAUAUUAUUGCACUAUAUUUCAAAUCAAUUACAAUAUUUAAACCUUUGUUAUACCAAUGUCCAAACCUUACAUCAAAGAGCAAACUUGUGGAAAAUAAAACUUGUAAAGCCCCUGAUCCCAUUAAUAUUACACAUGCAGAUAAUAUUAUAAUAAAGGAAAAAUUCUCAAAUUGGUCCUUUCUAUUUUCGAUAAUUUUUUUAGCCCAUCACAAUUAGAAUUAGCUAAAAUAGUCCCUUAAAUAUAUAUAUAAAAAAAUGCAUCCUUUUGGUCACAGAGCUGAUUUUUUAUUAGUUUUUUGGCCAAAAAGUGCACACCUCUUAGGUGCCCACAAUUUUGAUGGCAAAAUGGGAACACAAUUUAUUUUCUUCCAAAAAAAAAAAAACAAGGCACAAGCCAAUCAUAUGACCACCUAUUGAAUAGAGAAUCCUAAUUUUUAUCCACCAACCUCAUAAUCAAACAUGAAAGAGUAACCUGCAAGUGACCUUUAUGCUUUCUUUUCUUUUUUUUUUAAAUUUAACUUUUUGUUCUUUAUUUGCAAGGCAAAUGAAAAAGGAGGGGGGACAUGGACCUUACCUCCGAAUAACUCCAGGUUGUAAAGAAAAAGCUAGAAAAGAAGGCGAUACUAUUCCCUUUACAUCAUUUGCACUUACAUUUCCUAAUUGAAGGCAAGCCUAUUCUAUCUAAACGAAACGCCCCACGAGCUCUAAUAGGGAGGUCCAAAAGCUGAAGGUACGUUGUAUUGAAACCCUGAUCACACCCUACGUUUGAUAAACAAUCAGCAACUUGAUUACUUUCCCGAAAGCAAUGAGAAAUUUCAAGAAAAUUAGACAAACUUUAAAAGGUGCUUAACCUCUGUAAGAAUACUCCAUGGACAAUUAGAUCUCUUUUUUAGGAUGUGAACAAGUACCAAAGAAUCCACUUCAAUGUGUAAGUUAACAUAACCACGAGAAAGACACAACUUAACCCCAAAGAGAAGAGCGCGCGCCUCAGCUUGAAUGCUGGUUCCAUUCCCAAAAAACGAGGAGAAAGCGAGCAGGAAAUUUCCUCCAUCAUCACGCAAAACCCCACCACCACCUGCCCUCCCUGGGUUACCUCUUGAGCAGCCAUCCGUAUUAAGUUUAAACACACCCAAAGGUGGCCGACACCACCUUACAAUCUUAAAUGAAACUGUUUUAUAAAGAGAAGAGAGCGCAGAAUAAAACUCCAUCCACGUUGAGGAAAUGAACGGGUGCCUAGGGAAUUGCAACCUGAAGAGAUAUUUCACAUCCUCAAAAACAAACUCACAAAUAGCAACAUGAGAAAGAAUUUUCCCUUAGAAACGGGCUAAAUUUCUAGACUUCCAAAUAUUCCAGCAAAUCAAAGAAGGUAUAAUAAAAUGAACAAAUGCAAGGAAACCAUUCCUUCGUGCGCUAUACCACCAACCAGCAAUAUAUGCCCGAACAGAACCACCUAAAUUAAGCACGCCUGAAGCAGAGCCAAAGAAAUUCCAAACAAAUACCGCUACCUGUCCACUACAAAAAACAUGAUCCAAACACUCAACAUUUGCCUGGACACAACAAAAACACUUCGAUGGUCCAGAAAUACCAAGUUUGCGUAUCGUCAAAUCCAGGGGUAAUCGAUUUCGCAACAAGCAAAGAAGAAAAAUAGACACCUUUAGAGGAAGUCUUGGAUGCCAGAUUUUUGUAAACAUAAAUGACCUUUGCAUAUGUGGUCGCACCAGGUUAAACGCUGAGCUUAGUGUGACAACUCCUGAUUGAGACGGAGCCCAAAUCAUCAAAUCUUCCACCCCGUACUCAAAUUGAGGGAGAGAGAGCAGUCGGAUCUCGUUGAUAAUAGAUGGAGGGACCCAUAAUCCCAUUAACCGAAAAUUCCACCCGCCAUCAAUUAAAAAAUCAGACACCUUAUGAUCCGAAACACUGCCUAACCGCAAAGCCAAAGGUCCUGAACCUAACCAAUUAUCGAACCAUAAAUUAGAGCUCCCAGAAUAGACAAUGAAAGUUAUAUGUUGUUUAGCAAUUUCCCGCACGUGUAACAUCCUAUGCCACGUAUAAGAGGCCCCUUCCGAGCAAACAACCAUACCUGGAUGGGCAUUGCAGCAAUAUUUGGCCAUCAUAAACUUAGCCCAAAGAGACGCAUUUUGUCGAACCCUCUACCAUAACUUAAUGGAAAAGGCAUGAAAAACAUCAUCCAGCAACCUAACGCCAAGCCCACCCUCCUCUUUUGGAGCACAAAGAUCCUUCCAACGAAUCCAAUGGUAUUUUAAACCACCCUCAACUGAACCCCAAAAGAAAUUAGCAAACAAACGCUCAAGGGUAGCAAAAACAGAUUUUGGAGGUGAUACAAUAGCCAGCAAAUGCAAUGGAAUCGAGGACAGUACAUUUUUAAUAAGUAUAACCUUACCUCCUGGUGACAACAAACAAUUUUCCCAAGAAGUAAUCCUAGCAGCCACAGCCGUCACUAAAUCCUGGAAGUAGGUCUUCUUAUGCCUCCCCACGAUUAGAGGACAACCAAGAUAGCGAGUAGGAAAUUUCUUUGGAGAAAAACCCGUUAUGCUCUGAAUUGACGCCUUCCUACUCUGGGAUAGUUGCGGGUGAACCAAGAAACAACUCUUUGAGGCAUUUAUCCUCUGCCCCGACGAAACAUUUUCAUACUUUUCUAGCAUUUCCAUUAACAGCUUGAGGGAUACUAUUGAUGCAAUAGAAAAAAUAAGAAUAUCAUCUGCAUACCCUAGGUGACUAACUAGGGGACACCCUUGAGGAACCUUGAAACCAUUAAACCGUGGAUGCAACAGAAGUUGAUUCAAUAGCCGUGACAGAACCUCUGCGCCUACAAUAAACAAAGAAGGAGACAAAGGAUCCCCUUGACGAAGACCUCGAGAGGAUGAGAAAAAACCAAACGGCAUCCCAUUAAUCAAAACAGAAAACCAUGGAUUAGAUAUAAGACGCCAAACCAUAUCAAUACACCUUUCGCCAAACCCAAAAGCACGUAACACAUUGAUCAAAAAAAUACAAGAAACCCUAUCAUAAGCUUUAGUCAUAUCCAAUUUGAGAGCAACAUUCCCUCCCCUAUUCUUCUUACCAAUACCCAUAAUAAUUUCUUGAGCAAAUAAGAAAUUAUCAGAAAUUAACCUCCCAUGAACAAAUCCACUUUGAUUUGGAGAGAUAAUUUGAGGAAGCAACUGAGACAACCUAUCAGCUAGGAGCCGCGAAAAUACCUUAUUUAUAAAAUUGCAUAAACUAAUUGGACGAAACUGAGAAAAAUCCUUUGGAUUCUUCACCUUGGGAAUUAAGACCAGUAGCAUAGAUGCCACAUUUUUCGGCAACUCAGCACCACAAAAAAAACUAACAACAGCCUUAUACAAAUCUUGAGCAACUAUAUCCCAAGCAAAAGUGAAAAACUUUCCAGUAUACCCAUCAGGACCUGCCGCACUAUCACCAUCCAUAUCAGAAACCAUCCGCCGCACCUCCUCCAUUAUAGGAAUUUGUUCUAACUUAGCAUUAUCUGCUGGCUGAAUUAAUUUUGGGAUAAUGGCAGAUAAAUCCCAACAAGAUGUAACCUCGGCUGAAAAUAAAGAAUGAAAAAACCUGACAGCUUCAUGCCCUAUAUCAGCUUCAGAACAUAACCAGUUCCCUCUCUCAUCUUGGACUCGGUGAAUAACCGAUUGUAAUCUCCUCUUCUUUACCACUAAAUGAAAAAACAUAGUAUUUUUAUCUCCUAAAUCUAACCAACGAACCCUUGCUUUUUGCUUCCAGAAGCUUUCUUCCACUAGCAAGCUCUGAUGAAACUUCGCCUGGGCUCUUCGUAAGGAUUCCUGAGCACCAACCGAGAUAUUCCCCUCCACACGUUUCUCAGCUACAAACACCUCCUCCUCAGCUCUUUGCACAUUAUUAAAAAUAUUACCAAAACAAUGUUUGUUCCAACGACUAUGGGUUUGGUGGAUAAGAAUUAGGAUUCCUAGCGAAGUGAUCAUGCGAUUGUCAUCUGUUUUUUUUUUUUUCGUUUUUUCAAGUGAAAUGAAUGUUCCCAUUUUACCACUGAAAUUGUGGGAACCUAAGAUAGUGGCGCUUUUUGACAUGAAAACUAAUCAAAAAUGAGUUCUGAGACUAAAUGGGCACAUUUUUAUUUAAUAUCUAAGAGACUAUUUUGAUUGAUUUUGAACGUGAGUGACUGAAACAGUGUUUAUUAAAAAUAUGAGGAACUAUUUUGACGAACUUCCGUAUAAUAAAGAUUGACCACUUUUUCUAGGAGUUUGGACAUUAUCCAUUUGGAAGUAUUACUAUUUUGAUCCUUUUUUGUUAUAGUUUUACUCAAUUUACACUGUUUAGGUCGUUUCCAUGAGGAAUAUUCUUUCUGGGAUCUGCAAGGAAAAUCAAGGGAGCUAAUGGAGGACUUGUGAUGACCCAGAAAAUUAUUUUUCUCACCUCCCAACUAUUUGCAUCUCUAUUUAAAUUAAAUUUUUGUAAAAUUUGCAUUCAUUAAGUGAUUUACUUGUUAAUUGAUAAAUGAGUUUCUUUUACUUGCUUCUUUUAACUUUCGAGUGAUUAAUUUCUUAAAAAUUGUUAAUUCGUGACUUAUUAGUGAAUUUGGCUAAAAUCUUAGAAAGAUGUGAGGGCUCUAAAAUUUCAUUAUUUUUUAAAGGUAAAUAAUAAUGAUAGAAAUAUUUAUAUUAUGUGAUUUUUUCAAAUUUUUGGUAUUCUCAUUUAUUAAAAUGUCAUUUUUCAACUUAGUUGAAUUUUUAUUAUUAAUUUCCCGAUUAUUGUGUAGAGACUUUAAAGAAAUAGAAAAAUGAUAGGAUAAUGUUGGAUGUAGGAAAUUUAGUUAUAGAUAAGAUGUCGUAUGAGAAUGCGACACAUAAGCGAGUAGGUGAGAUGGUUCCUUACCACACUUUAAAGGAAGAAACUAGACUUGAGAGUUCAUUCUCUCUUUUCCCCUUUGAGCCAACCGAAAUUUUAGAAAGAGAGAGAGACUUGAGAGCUCUCAAUUUCCUCCUUCAUCUUACUCUUGAAGAUCACUUGAAAAUCCAUCACCCACCACAAUUUUUCCUCUUCUUUUUCUUCUUCUCUUGUUGAGGGAGAGAGAGAAAAUUGAGAGAGAGAGAGAGUGAGACCAAGAAAGAAGGGACACCAUCUAUCUUGCUCCUUGUGGAUUUGUGGAAGAAAUCACCCAAUCAACCUAGAAGAUUUGACCUUUCUUGAGGAAACUUGAAGGGUGAAACUUGGAAGGAAAUUUUGAGAUUGAAUCACACUAGAUCUAAUUAGAUCUUGAGGUAAGAAGCUAAAAUCACCCUUAAUCUUUAAUUUCUAACCAUGGGUAUGUUAGAUCCACUUGAUUUAAGUAAGAUCUAUGGUAGAUCAAGUAAAUCUCUUAACGUUAUAUCUCUAGAUGUCUAGUGGUUAAAAUGCUAGUUUAGCUCUUAAUUUGUUAGUUGGAUUUGCUUGAAAAUUAUCUUUUGAUGACCAAGGGCUAAUGAUUGAUGAAACCCAUAUGGAUUUGAGUGAGUUUUGUUGACUAGAUGGUUGUUUUGUUGAUGAAAAUGGAAGAAAACCCCAUGCCCACCAAGUGUUUGAUCUUUUGUUAAGGGUUGUUUAUAUGCAAAUUUUCAUGGUUCUUUUUGUUAGUAAUCUUGGCUAUAUAUUAUUUGAUAUGUUCAUGGCUUUGUUAUGGAAAAAAAUUGGGAAGAUUUGAUGGGAAAAGUAUUUGGAAAGUUCUUGUUAGAAAGUUUGCAAAAUGGACUGAAACUUUGAGUGCAUUUUCAGUCAACUUGUCAGAUUUUUUGGUAUUGAUUGAAAACAAAUUAGAGCCUAAAUUUUAUACCGUUGGAAAGCCCUUUGAGCCUAGUUUCAACGCUACCAACGGAUUUUUCUACGUUGAGUUAUAACCGUUUUCCCAAAACUGCUCAAAUGCCCUGUUAUGACGCGAUAGCUUUCUUGUGCCUCUGUGAUUGCUAUUUUUGACCAUGAAAAUGCGUAAACUGAAUUUCGAUGUAUUCAUAAGAAACAUAGAGCUAUGUCUUAGUUUCGAAACACCAUAAACCAUUUCCAAUUUUGACUUGUGUAACGUUAGUUAUAGCCCGAUUUCAAAACUGUGACAAAGCUUUAUGACUGAGAAUCUGCGAAACAGGUUGCCAAAAAACUAGUUUUCUUAAAGCCGUUGUAUCUUGGUGUUGGAAAAUCCGAAUUGACUUCUGCUUUUUACAUUUGAAACUUGACUUGAAUUUCUUUCUAUGUUAUAAAUUUCAAAGGCUAAUUCAAUUCCUGUGAAUUUUGCCGUAUUUUCAAACUUUACUAAAAAUCAAGACUGUUUCUGCCCUGUUUUAAUAAAACAGCAAGUUUGAGCUGAGAAACGAAUGAUUUCUGAUUAGAAUCUGAGAAAAGUGUCUUCUCAAAAAUUUUAGUACUUUGAAUCCAGUUCCAACGGUGUAAAGUUUCCAAUUUUUGAAGUUACUGAACUCAAGAUAUGAAUUUUCAAGUGUUGUCGCAUAAAGUUGAAAAUUUCCGAUUUCCAACAAAAUGAACUUUUUUGAACUUCCGACUUUCUUUUGAGAUUGAUAGUUCAUUUCAAACUUGAUUUCAUGGAUGAUACCAAUUCUCUUGUGACUUUAAACCUUCAUUUUGAAUCUCGGUUUUCGAUGGAGUAAAACAUUUUUGAGGCGUUGUCCUAAGUUCUGAACUUUCUUCUUUGUAUGAUCAAUGAUCUAGGGUAUCAUGAAUGAUGAUUGAUUAUAUUUCUUCAGGUGCUCAAGAGGGUUUCAAAAAGAAUCCCGGCGAGGAAAUGUAAAGGAAUUUCUUGCUCACUUGCUUUUGAAAUUGGUGAGUGUCAAGUGUAUGACUUGUUGCAUAAUACUUGAACUACUUCUGGUUGAAUAUGUGAAUUGGACUUGUUCAGACGAGUGUGUAAUUUAUCGCACUCGUUCUCUUUUACUUGACUUGAUAAUUGACCUGCUCGUACUUGACAAUUAUACUUGUGAUUGAUUUGGUGUCGAUUUGAGAGCAAUCUCUUCGACUUAUACUUGAACUUGUGGGGACGUCCAAAACCAAUGGCUAGCCAUUCAACUCAAGCCAACAAGGGCUUGGUUGAGGAGUUUGGUGAACCUUGAACACUUACUUGACUUGGAUAUACUUGAGCAAUAUCAAAAACUUGUUUGACGUGCGGGCCAGAUAGGGGGUGUAACGGUGGACGAAAUUUUGGUGAAAAGUGGGGUUCUACGGACUUGAUACUUGCUCGGUUGACGGAAUAUCAAUAUUUGAAAUUUUGGAUCAAGAUCUUGGCAAAACAGUGUGGAGUUAGCUCCUGAGAGCUUCUGUAUCCUUUAAUGAUUGUGUCUUGGUUUCUUUUGUGAAUUACAUGAAUAUUAUGUUACUGCCUUUCUAUUAUAAGUUUAAUACUUGCUGUACUUGCUUGCUUGCCUGUUUUCUUUCUUGGCCUUACUGAGCGUUAGCUCACCCCUAUAGACACAAAAAUUUCAUUUAUUUGAUUUUUAGCUUUAUUUCUUAUUUAAUUCAAUGUUAGCAUUAUUUUUUAUUAUUAUUCCUAUUAUUCUUAUUUUAUUUUAUUUUAUUGAUUAAAUGAUAGUUAGUAUUCAUUUUUGCUUAUUUUUAUAAAAUAGGUUCAUAAUUUUUAUUUUUAAGAUAUUUUUGUAUUAAAAUUUUGAAAAGAAAAAUUUUCACAAAAAUAUGUUUUAAUCAUCUUAAAUUCAAUUUCUUUAAAAUAAAUGAAAAUCUUGCAAUGCAAUUUCAAUUAGGAAUUAGCAUUUUCUUUUUUUAUCUAAAUUGAUUUUGGAAAAUAAAAAUAUAAUAAAUAAAUAAAAAUAAGAAGAUAGGUGGAGGGUUUGCAUGUUGAACAACUGGGCUAAAGGAGUAUUAAACAAGUGUAUUAGGGAAGUAUUGGACAAGUGUUAGUGAAUGCAAAUAGGAUAAGUGUCCCCAUUUUAUUGAUACCACUUGUAAAGGGAGGGAGGUAGGUGGAAGACACUUGGGAAGCUUAGGAAAAUUGGAAGAAAAAAAGAAACACAAAAAAAGGGAAAACAAUAGAACCUACGGGCAAGAGCAAAACUAAGGGGGGGGGGAGAGAGAGAAACCAAGGGGGAAUGGAUUGAUAGUUUGGCGGCUAGGGUUGAGAGAAGGGCAGCGGGAAAGAAACUAGAAGAAGAAAGGCAGGAGUGAAAAAACAAGGAUUUUGGGGAGAAGAAAAAAGGAAACCGAGGGAGAAAGGGAGGAGCUUCGGGAAAGUAGGAGAAAAAGGAAAAAACCAGAAAGCAAGGGAGAAGGAAGGGCUGCGGAAAAGGAACAAACAGCAAGAAAGAAGGAAAAAGAGGAAGGAAAAAAGCGUUUUGUGGGAGGAGGUAUAGGGACGGCGACUGGGGAACCAGAAAAGAGAAGAACAAAGCAACAAAAACUAGAGAGAAUAGGAAGAUCGAGGGAGAUUCAAAGGGAGUGAAGGGAGUCUUUGAAAUCUGGGACAUCUCACGUUCAUUUUACUUCGUCAGGGUCGAAAGGUAACUAUCGUUUCUUCCUUGUUGAUCUAACAAGAUUUUAUGAGAACCCAAGCCCGGGGACAUGAAUCUUGGACUGUUUGUUGAUGGUUUGAACUUUCGUUGGUGUCAAAACUUUGCCAUGCUUGUGUGUUUGAUAACCUCUGAUUCGGUAGAAGGUCAUGGGAUGAUUGCAGGUUUGGGGUUUGGCAGGCUUGAACUUUACCAUGCUUGAACUUUUGAAAGGAAACGGGUUUGGAGUUUUCUAUAGUUUUUUUAUCUGAUGAAUCCGUGGGGUUUUGCCUGAGACAUGGCUGGUUUUUGUGUUUGAAAACGAUAAACCCAGAAGAUUGCAAAAUUUUCUUUUCUCGCAAAAGAUUUGCCUGUUUGUAUGAUGAGUUUCUGUAAUUUUGAUGCAUUCGAAAAUUUUGCAUUUCCUCUUCGUGGUUGAGCUUGUCCUUGUCUUUUCUCUGAUUAACUAUCAUGUUUAUGGUUGUUUGGUUUAGAAAAUGUCCAGUCAAAGUUUUCCUAGAAGGAUGGAGUCUUGUUUAAGUCAGUUUUUCGAACCUGUGGGUUACCCAUGAAGAUAGAUAGCAAACCAUCCGCUAGUUUGUAUGCACCGCUUUCUCUUGUCUAUUUCUAUUGUUUCAUGGGUUCUCUUUGUUUCAUGCCUUGCUCUGACUAACCUGCUGAAUGUUAAGAUUCUCUUUGAUGAAUGUGAGUCAUGCCCAGAAUGCAUACAACAAAAGUUUGCUGGUCUGCACUUGCAUUCGCUGAUGUGUUUCCCCAUUCCUUCUUUGAUUACUUGCAUGUCCACGUUUCUGUCCUUGUUCUCCUGGCUCGCAUUUGUUUGCAUUGAAGUUUACCAUUUGGUUGAUGAUUGUUUCACCAUGUCGGUUUCCAGUUCUCUAAGAGUAUAAAAAAUUUCGCUGUUCAUUUUUGCUCACUUGCUGUUUUUAUGCUCGCUCGAUAGUGUUGUUUUUUGCCCUCACUUUCCUCUUGCUGUGAGCAAGUUACCUUGAGCCCAUAAAGCAAAAACUUGGUCAAAAGUUGGGGGGAGCUUCCUGACUUGUUGCAGCAGUAGACAUUGUCCUGCAAUGCUGAAACGUUAGCUGCUCCAAGUUCAGGUCCCUUUGCUGAAUUUUAUGUUCAGCUUCCUUGUUGGAUUUUUUGGGGGGUAGACAAUUGCAUUUGGGCGAUGUUAACAACAUGGGUUGGAAGUUAUAGCAGUGGGGUUUGGUAAAUAAAUCGAUAGGCUUUACAUGAGCAUGUUUCGGCUGCAUAAGAGAAGUUGCAGAACGAAUGGUGGCUGGAAUCUGCAGAAAGCAUAAGCUUCUUCGUGGGUUUGCAUGGAAAAUUUUCAAAAAAAAAAUACAUUCUAAACCCUCAAGUUUCCCCCUGUUUCACUACGGCCCAAAAUUUGGAAAAACAUGAUCAAUUUUGUCACUUCAAAAUCUUAAUUGCUUUUGGCAUGUUUUAUUAUGAUCUUUGAGUAUUACGGCCCAAAAUUUGGAAAAACAUGAUCAAUUUUGUCACUUCAAAAUCUUAAUUGCUUUUGGCAUGUUUUAUUAUGAUCUUUGAGUACAUUAUUUGUAACUUUUAGGAUGAAUUUUAAAGGCUUAAUAACUUUUGAUAAAUUUAUAGUUUGAUUUGUUUUAGUAAAAUAAUUAGGAAUUUUGGGUAAUUUUCUUGUUUAACUUUUUUGUGAAUUUUAGCAUUUGGGUUUUGGUAGGUUUCAUCUUAAGCCAUAAAUUUUGUUUAAAUCCUUAAUUUUUGUAAUAAUAAUGAGUUAAUCCCUCAAACUUCUUUAAUUCUUUCAAUUGGGUCAUUGCUUGUCUUAAUUUGAUGAAUAUGGGUUGUUUACUUUCGUUUGAAUGCUUUAAUUGGUUCAAUCUCAUGUUUAUUUUCAUUUCUUGUGAUUAUUUGUUAAUUAAAGUGAUGCUUUGACCUUUUUCUUUGUUUUGGAGGGUACACAAGAAAAAUUUCAUUUUAUUAGGUCACCAAUUCAAGGGAGGUACACUCUAUUCCUUUAUUUUGAUUUUACUUUAUCCUAUGUGCUACUAUGUGAUUUUAUGUUUGUAAUUGCAUGUUUUUUUUAAUGUUUUUUAUUUCAUCUAUUUAUUUAUUCAUUUCAUUUGUUUUAAUUUUGUAUAUUUAUUUUAAUUUAAUUUUUAGUUAUUUGAGAGGCAUUUAAAUGCCAAAUUGUAAUAGUUAGGUUGUUAUUUCAUUUCAUUUCAUUCUUUCUCCUUUUAGAUUGUAGUUAGGGCCCCCAAAAUAGUUAGGUCUUUAUUCGCUUUAUUUGCUUUGUGUGUUUUGCGUGCUUGUGUGUUACGUGUUACUCGAUUUUUUAGGGUCUUGCAUCUAGAUAUCAUGCUUAUGUGCUACGUGUUUAUGUGAUCUUAUGUGUUUACUUGCUUUGGUUAUGUUUUAUAUGAUUGGUUUAGUUAUAAUCAAUGUGUGACGUCACCACACUAGUCCAACGCUAGUUGUGGCCCUAUUUCCCUUUUUUCUCACUAGUCCAAUACUAGUGAGAACUCAUAAACAUGGACUAGUCCAACGCUAGACUCUUAGGGACCGUUCACACGUUAGACCAUGUUUGUGUGAUAAAAUCACUACAUUUUCAUGCAUAUUUUUACUUUUUAGGUUUUUUUUUUCAUUUGGCAUGAUAUUUCCCCCAUAUGUAUGACCCUUAUCCCUUAUAUUCCCCAUAUGUAUAUCCCUUAUUCCAUAUUCCCCCUAUAUAUAUAUCUCUUAUCCCCAUAUGCGAUAGAUGACGUUAGACUUGCAUUUCAUUUAAGAAUUAGAACUAGGUUAGUACAUUUGCAUGAUUAGAUAGGAGAAAUACCCCUCGAAUAUGGGAUAUGGACGAGUUAAUUGGCUUUCUAACUUUAGCAUGCUCGUAUUCCCUCUAUAAAAAGGGAAAAUCUAGUCACGAAUCUUAGUUCCCCGCACCCGUACGUUAUGAUGUAUUCCUUUAGGUCAUGUAUAUGUGUAUAUUAUUAUUUUCCUUUCUUUUCUUAGAAUCUCAUAUUUUUGCAUAUUCGUGAUCUCUUCGAAGACUCAUUCUUGGGUAUCACAAUUAAUGUGAUUUGCACCAAUUAAGCUUUGAAGAGAUAUUUCGACUCCCCGAUAUCCUUCUAGGUUUAGGUUUUGUAUCCAUAUGUGAUAAAUUUUUAGGUUAAAAAUAAGAAAAUCUUUGACUAAAUCACGCAACUAGCUUUGGCUAGGUUGAAAGGGUGUUUUGGAUUUUAUCCUUGCCUUCCAUUUCUUCAAAUGUGACUCCCGAACACUUUUCUCUGAUUUUCGAAGACUUGGAAUCGUUUAAAAAAGGGUUUUCUCUACUUUUCAUUUUAAAAUUUAUUUUAGAUGACUUGGUACACCUUAACUCAAUAUCAAGUGACGACUCCUUUUUUUUAUUAAAAAUCCUUUUUAAACUAUUAUUUUGGGGCCAAAACCGUCGCACUUUUAAGUCCCAUUUUGCUUUAUUUAUUUUUCUAAAAAUAAAAAACUCAUUUAACUCAUUUUCACUUAAAACAAACCAAAAUUCAUUUUAUAAAUUCGUAAUUUAAUUUUUUCAAAAAAAAUGGGGGCGCGACAACCCUCUUAAGUUUAUUUUUCUUAACAGGAAUUUGAAGUGGAAAGAUUUUGGAGAAGCUGGCUUUGAUUGUCCUUUGGUCCAUUUGGGGAUGUAAAUGAUUUAGUCAACUUUUGGUGGUUGUAUUUUGGAAAAAUUGAUGUAACUUUUGAAAAUAUUAUGAUGUAGAACUGGAUGACUAUUGAAUGAAGCGACUUUUCUUUAUAUUAGUUUUCGUAUUGCUUGAUUAGUUCUAAGUUAUACUCUUAGCUUGUAUCGAGUCCUGGUGAGAGUUAGGCAGGCGGCCCGCCGAAACCCUAGAGUUCGCCCUAAAGUGAAGUGGGGUCGUCACAGUUGGUAUCAGAGCUUUAGGCUUCAGAUCUUUGUAAUAUAUCCUAAACUUGAAAUUUAGGAUGUCGGACUGUGGGAUUAACUUGAAUAUUACAUGAAUUGGAGAACCUACUAUAUCCUAGUGGUUAAAGAGAAUUGUUACGUGAGAGUUUCUUAUAUGGAAUUGGUGAAAACAAAACUGAGAAAUUAUGUGGUGCUACAUCGAAAGAAAACAUUAUGUGAGAGAUUAGUAGUGAAAGAUUGAAUGAGAUUCAAAAUAUCUUUGUACUUGUAGGAAUGGAAGGAAUUGAUGCAAAUAUUGGUAUUAGUUAUAGGAGAUAAGAAACCGAGAUUUGCUAGUUAAUUCCAUAUAUGAUGGUUUUGAACCAAAACAAAAGCGUUUUCAAGGGAAUAAAAUGCAUUUUUCAUUUGUUUACCUACUAGAAAAUUUCCACUUUACUAAGAUGUAUUAGUUUUAUUUUCAAACGGUAGUUGGAAAUAACACCUAUGUGCUCCAAGUACUUUAUAACAUACCAAUCUUGACAAGUAUGUGAAUUCCACUUAAUUUACAAAACUAGAAAUUGGUGAGCAAUUGAUGAGUUUUGUUGGAUUUUUAUAUAUGCUGAACCCGAGAAAGAGGUUGAAGUUUUCUAACCAAAUCUUCCAAUUCUUGAAUGACACUGAUAUAUUCUCGCACCUGAAUUUCCCUAUGCUUUGAACAAGAAAUCCUUGAGUUUUUGGAAGAAUUGGGAACUCGGGCUCUGGUAAUGUAAAUCUUGAACUUGAUGAGAUUUUAUUACUUUGAUUGCUCUUCUUAGCAUUUUCAAAAAACUUAUCCAAGAUUUGAAUAUGAAAUUCUUGGUUUUCAAGGAGAGAGCUUAUCUUCAAGUGUAAGAACUGAGGGAGCUUUGAAGAUGUAGAGUGAUUGCAUCUGAGAGCCUGAAGUUAGUGUGACCGAGGAGUAAGAGAGUACUAAUGAUUUCGUAGAUAGUUCUAGGAGUUCCAUAACUGCAUUGACUAAAGGGAAAGACAACUAAGAGAUAAAAUGGAGAGGCUAAAGUUUGAUAAAAUGUAAUGACGAAGGUUAGGACAUGAAGGAUCUGAGUGCUAGAUCUAAAGCUGAACAAAUUGAAGAGAUUGGAAUUAUGAAGAUUGUCGUAGCCUAGGCGAGUAAAUCCCUGGUUAAGGUUUCUAUCGAUGGUUGUUCGAUUUGAAAUUUAAUAUUUAUCUUGAAUGUGUAUUGUGCUAGUACUGCAGACUUGCUUAAUUUCUGAUAUCUUUGGAUAUUUCUUGUUAUAUGUUUACUUGUACUUGUUGUGAUCGUAUACAUCAAUCUUGUGAAAUCUGAUAAUUGUACUUUGAAUUAUGAUUGACUUUGCAUCUAUGAUUACGUGAUCCUUGCCCUUUUAUACCUAUAUGGCCUUAGACUUGUGUGAGAAAUGGAAACCGGAGAAUGGCAUUGAGAAUAUAGGUAGUAUAGAGUACGGUUUAAAGAUAUAUGUUGAAGAUAUUGGUGUCUGAUCAUGAUUUGAGUUAGUCAUUGUUUGGGGUGCAAAGUAACUUGAUAAUUCACUUUAGUCAAUGGGACGAAUGAAUGUUAGUAUUGAUGAUUUAGUACUCUAUUUACGCUUGAACAUAAUGGUCUGUGUAUGAAGAUGAUCCAGGUUUAAGAGUUGUAAACUUUCACUUAUGUGUUGGUGAAAGACUUUUGUCCUAUGAGUAGUAGUUAAGUUUCAAUGAUCCAUGAGUAAACGGGAAUGUAAAUUGGUUCUUCGAGUCUUAGAUAUAAGCUAGAUAGUUUAUGAGAAGAAAUUUAAUCUAUCUUUUGACAAUGGAACCUGUUAUACCUGACUUUAAAAUAAUAAUAAUAAUAAUAAUAAUAAUGAUAUAUUCAAAAAUUUUCAAUUUGAUAAUAUAUUUCUUUGCCUUUCUACGUCUUUUAGAUACUGAUAUUUAAAUUUGCUAUAAAUGAGCUUGUAAAAGUAAUUUAAAAUUUUUGAUCUUGUUUUUUCUUGUUUAAGUUAUUUGGGUAAUUCUUUUGUACAGUAUUUUCAUGAAAUUUGAGUUAUAAAGAUCAUAUCUUUUAUAAAAGAAAAUGUUUUAUCCAAGUAUUUUAUGUCCUUCCCAUCUUAACUUUUCACUUUAGAGUUAACUAAGAGAGUCUCUUUGCAAACAACCAAGAAUUUAAGAAUUUAUUCUUAUGAGUGUUAUUUUGAAAAUUUUAUAUCUUUCUCUUAAAAACUUCAAACAUUUUUAUUUUUGUUAUAAAGUAUAUUUUCUUUGUGGAGAGGAAUGAACUCAAGAGCCUUAUUAUAUCUUAAGUAAGGUUUGAAUGUAUUGGAGUAAUUGACUAGAGGAGUAUGAUAAGAUAUUAUUGAGUUUAAGGUUUAUCCUUUAGUGUUUUGAUAUUUGUAUAUAUUUGUAUGGAACUGGAUGUGAUUUUUUUUAAGUUAUUGAUUACUUGAGAUUUCUUUCUAACCGUUUUGAAAGAUUAAUAGGGUUAAGACCCAGUAGGACAAAAUUACUGUGUUGUUAAGAUCUUAUAGAAUUUGAUAUACGAGACAUUAAAGUUCAUUGAGAGUACUUAGGGACCAUUGGAAUAUUGAGAUAAGGAUUACAUGAUUUGUUCUUGGAUUGGAAUACGUAGAUUGACAAAUUUCUUGAGGUGAUUUUUAUCACUUAUGAUUGGCUUAUUAAUGAGGUAAUUGAAUUUGCGAAAACUCAUGAAAAGAUUUAAGGAUACAUGACUUACGUGAUAUCUAGUAUAGAAUAGGUUUUACAAUUCUUAAGAACGGGACGCAGAAGAGAUAUCUGGAGUCUUCGAGCUAAGGUGAGAAUUUCGAGGACGAAAUUCUUUAAAAGGGGAGAGGAUGUGAUGAUCCAGAAAAUUAUUUUUCUCACCUCCCAACUAUUUGCAUCUCUAUUUAAAUUAAAUUUUUGUAAAAUUUUCAUUCAUUAAGUGAUUUACUUGUUAAUUGAUAAAUGAUUUUCUUUUACUUGCUUCUUUUAACUUUCGAGUGAUUAAUUUCGUGACUUAUUAGUGAAUUUGGCCAAAAUCCGAGAAAGAUGUGAGGGCUCUAAAAUUUUAUUAUUUUUGAAAGGUAAAUAACAAUGAUAGAAAUAUUUAUAUUAUGUGAUUUUUUCAAAUUUUUGGUAUUCUCAUUUAUUAAAAUGUCAUUUUUCAACUUAGUCGAAUUUUUAUUAUUAAUUUCCCGAUUAUUGUUGGGCUAGCAUUAAGUGCGAAAUUUUGGAGUGGUGACAUGGAAUUUAGUUUUAAGAUGAAAUUUAGAGCAUGUAGAGAUUUUAAAGAAAUAGAAAAAUGAUAGGAUAAUGUUGGAUGGAGGAAAUCUAGUUAUAGAUAAGAUGUCGCACGAGAAUGCGACACAUAAGCGAGUAGGUGAGAUGGUUCCCUACCACACUUUAAAGGAAGAAACUAGACUUGAGAGUUCAUUCUCUCUUUUCCCCUUCGAGCCAACCGAAAUUUUAGAAAGAGAGAGAGACUUGAGAGAUCUCCAUUUCCUCCUUCAUCUUACUCUUGAAGAUCACUUAAAAACCCAUCACCCACCACAAUUUUUCCUCUUUUUUUUCUUCUUCUCUUGUUGAGGGAGAGAGAGAAAGCUGAGAGAGAGAGAGAGAGAGAGAGAGACCAAGAAAGAAGGGACACCAUCUCUUAAAGUUAUAUCUCUAGAUGUUCUAGUGGUUAAAAUGCUAGUUUAGCUCUUAAUUUGUUGGUUGGAUUUGUUUGAAAAUUAACUUUUGAUGACCAAGGGUAAUUGAUUGAUGAAGCCCAUAUGGAUUUGAGUGAGUUUUGUUGACUAGAUGGUUGUUUUGUUGAUGAAAAUGGAAAAAAACCCCAUGCCCACCAAGUGUUUGAUCUUUUGUUAAGGGUUGUUUACAUGCAAAUUUUCAUGGUUCUUUUUGUUAGUAAUCUUGGCUAUAUAUUAUUUGAUAUGUUCAGGGAUUUGUUAUGGAAAAAAAUUGGGAAGAUUUGAUGGGAAAAAUAUUUGGAAAGUUCUUGUUAGAAAGUUUGCAAAAUGGACUGAAACUUUGAGUGCAUUUUCAAUCAACUUGUCAGAUUUUCUGGUACUGAUUGAAAACGAAUUAGAGUCUAAAUUUAUACCGUUGGAAAGCCCUUUGAGUGUAGUUUCAAUGCCACCAACGGAUUUUUCUACGUUGAGUUAUAGCCGUUUUCCCGAGAUUGCUCAAAUGCCCUAUUAUGACGCGACAGCUUUCUUGUGCCUCUGUGAUUGCCAUUUUUGACCAUGAAAAUGUGUAAACUGAAUUUUGAUGUUUUCAUAAGAAACGUAGAGCUAUGUUUGAGUUUCGAAACGCCAUAAACCAUUUCCAAUUUUGACUUGUGUAGCGUUAGUUAUAGCCUGAUUUCAAAACUGUGCCAAAGCUUUAUGACUGAGAAUCCGCGGAACAGGUUGCUAAAAAACCACUUUUCUUAAAUCCGUUGUAUCUUGGUGUUGGAAAAUCCGAAUUGACUUCUGCUUAUUGCAUUUGAAACUUGACUUGAAUUUCUUUCUGAAUUAUAAAUUUCAAAGGCUAAUUCAAUUCUUGUGAAUUUUUCCGUAUUUUCAAACUUUACUAAAAAUCAAGACUGUUUCUGCCCUGUUUUAAUAAAACGGCAAGUUUGAGCUGAGAAUCGAAUGAUUUUUGAUUGGAAUCUGAGAAAAGUGUCUUAUGGAAAAUUUUAGUACUUUGAAUCUAGUUUCCAACGGUGUAAGGUUUCCAAUUUUUGGACUUACCAAACUCAAGAUAUGAAUUUUCAAGUAUUUUCACAAAAAGCUGGAAAUUUUUGAUUUCCAACAAAAUAAACUUUUUUGAACUUCCGACUUUCUUUUGAGAUUGAUAGUUCAUUUUCAAACUUGAUUUCAUGGAUGAUACAAGUUCUCUUGUGACUUUAAACCUUCAUUUUGAAUCUUGAUUUUCGAUGGAGUAAAACACUUUUGAGGCAUUGUCCUAAGUUCUAAGCAAAUGAACUUUCUUCUUUGUAUGCUCAAUGACCUAGGGUAUCGUGAGUGAUGGUUGGUUAUAUUUCUUCAGGUGCUCAAGAGGGUUUCGAAAGAAAUCCCGGUGAGGAAAUUUAAAGAAAUUUCUUACUCACUUGCUUUUGAAAUUGGUGAGUUUCAAGUGCAUGACUUGUUCCACAAUACUUGAAUUGCUUCUUGUUGAAUAUGUGAAUUGGACGUGUUGAGACGAGUGUGUGCUUUAUCGCACCCGUUCUCUUUUACUUGACUUGAUAAUUGACCUGCUCGUACUUGACAAUUAUACUUGUGAUUGACUUAGCGUCGAUUUGAAAGCAAUCUCGUCGACUUAUACUUGAACUUGUGGGGACGCCCAAAACUAAUGGCUAGCCAUUCAACUCAAGCUAGCAUGGGUUUGGUUGAAGAGUUUGGUAAACCUUGGACACAUACUUGACUUGGAUAUACUCGAAUAAUAUUAAAAACUUGUGAAGACUUGCAGGCCCGGUAGGGGGUGUAACGGUGGACAGAAAUUUGGUGAAAAGUGGGGUUCUACGGACUUGAUACUUGCUCGGUUGACGAAGUGUCAACAUUUGAAAUUUUGGAUCAAGACCUUGGCAAAGCAGUGUGGAGUUAGCUCCUAAGAGCUUCUGUAUCCUUUAAUGAUUGUGUCUUGAUUUCUUUUGUGAAUUACAUGAAUAUUAUGUGACUGCCUUUCUGUUAUAAGUUUAAUACUUGUUAUACUUGCUUGCUUGUCUGUUUUCUUUUUUGGCCUCACUGAGCAUUAGAAUACCCCCGUAAGUUUGUUUUCUUUAGCAAGAACUUGAAGUGAAAAGAUUUUGGAGAAGCUGGCUUUGAUCGUCUUUUGGUCCAUUUGGGGAUGUAAAUGAUUUAGUCAACUUUUGGUGGUUAAAUUUUGGGAAAAUUGAUGUAACUUUUGAAAAUAUUAUGAUGUAGAACUGGAUGACUAUUGAAGGAAGCGACUUUUCUUUAUAUUAGUUUUCGUAUUGCUUAAUUAGUUCUAAGUUAUAAUCUUGACUUGUAUUGAGUCCGGGCAAGAGUUAGGCAGGCGGCCCGCCGAAACCCUAUGGUUCGCCCUAAGGCGAAGUGGGGUCGUCACAGGACUUGCAUGUGUGAACCACCAUGCACGUUGCAUAACAAAUUUUGCUCUUUUAUUAUUGGGAAAUAAAUGGCGACCACUAAACUAUUUCUGGCAUCUACUUCUAGCUACCAAACUAUUUUUCGUCUCAAUUUAAUCACUCAACUAAUUAAUCAAUAUACCCUUGGUUAUUUCAUUGGAUUUUGCUCUUAGUUUACAAAUAAACCAAACACAUGCAAAUCUAAGUGUCAAAAUUUAAGGGUAAUCAUAUCCGCUAAGUUUCUCAAUCCAAAUCUAGAAAAUCCAACAGCCACUAAACUAUUCCCCUCGUACUCUUUUGGCCAUUCAAAUAUUUUUCAUUUCAAUAUAAUCACUAAACUCUUAAAUCAGUACACUAGCAAUCAUUUCGUUAAAUAUUUCUGUUAAUGCUAAAGGAAUGAGUUCUAUGUGCAUUUCACAUACCCAAAACAGGACAAUUUCGUAAGGUCAAUUUUUUAGAUUUUUUCCCGUCUAGAGUUUUAGAUUUUUAAUUAACAAAAAAAAUUAGAAUGUUUAAUAGUUGAAAUUAGUAGAUUUAAUGAUAAAAUUUGAAUGAAAGAUCGGUAAUAUAAAAUUUAAUGUUAAAUUUAAUAUAGUAGAAGACGGGUUUUUACUUUAAGUGCAAGUUUAAUUCCGAAUUAUACCCGUUUUACUGCAAGCAUAUAGGCCAAAAUCGUAAUAUUGGGUAUGUAUCGGGUCGAUUCCACGAGGAGCAAUUAAAACAAUUAUUAGAUACUAAUUUACUCUAUUAUUUAGACUCACAAUAAAUUUGAGCAGAAAAUUCAGAAUUUAAUUCAACUACAAAAAUUCUUAACUAGAUAAAUGCAAUUUCACAAUAGGAGUAGAAUUCACUAAAUAUUAAGAUCUAGGGAUGUAGAUUCCACAUAUGACACAAAAGAUCUAAAACGAAUGAAUUUAACACUUGUUACUACUCUUGUUUAACCAAGGAUUCAUUUCCAACAAUACCAAAAUCACAUUCUCAUGAUAAUAAUGGGUUAAAACAGAUUAGUUUUUCCUAAUCUCUUGGUAAAUACUAAAUCUGUUUUGUGCGUACAUGAAAUGUAGAUUUCAUCCACUUGAAUGUAUUUCUAUUCUCAUGAAUAUACUACUCAAGCUCUACUUAUGUCAUUCCAUUAUUGUUACCAUUUCUCAAUGAGUAAAAACAACUAUAAACCUGCUAUCGGUGAUCAAACAACAACAAGUAAUCCCACAUACACAAGUAGAUAAGUUAAUACAAGAUAUAACAAGUAUAAAUCACAAUCACUUCAUAUCACUUGGCCAUAAGUUUCAUCUACUCCCUGGAUAAAGGAAAUUAGCUACUCAUGAAUGAUGAAACACUCAUAACUUCAUUAAUGUAAAUCAUCAUGAAUUACAAAUACAAAAAGAGUAAAGAAAGUCUUAGCCAAGAUAUGGUGAAGCCUUCCAAAAAUCUCCUUUGUCUUGAACUUAGAUGAUUACAAGAUGAAACCUCAAUUGCCCCUUGCAAGUUUCCAGCUAGAGAGAAUAUGUUUGUUAGUAAGAAUACUAGCUACCGAUGGAUGUCAGACCUCUCCCAAAGUCUUUGCAUAAAAACUGCUCAAAGGCUCCAUUUUUCCAAGUCAAAUUCCAACCCUUGAUUCCCAAAUCUCCACUUUGUUAUCAUAGUCAAUAACCAAUGUUUUUGACUUGAAAAUAUGCCACCUUUCUUGCCCUAUUGUCUUCUAAAGCAUGUGCACCGAAUUCCCUUGCAUCUUAUAGCUGGAAAGUGGUAUGAACACAAGAGAAAUGGCUGAGCAAAUUGCAGAAUUUCGGCUACAAAACGCUGCAUCAACUCGCAUUUUGUCUACUCGCGUUUUCACUCUGGCCUUAUUUCAACUACAAAUUUCUCCAUGAUAAAGGCCGAACUAACUUUUGUACAAAACAAGAAAGUUGUAGCCCUUUGAGUUAGCUUUCCAAAUCUUUAAGAAUCAUCCUAAUCGGAGUUUUGUAGCCUGAGAUAUGAUUGAAAUACUAUGACCUGGUCAAACCUCUGUUUUAACUUUCGACCACAGAAUGCAGCUUCUGUAUUCUGACUUUUUUUCCAUGAAAAUGGCAGAAUUUGAUUUCGAUGUCUUCAUACGAAUUGUAGGUCUCUUUCUUACCUUUAAAAUGGUAUAAAGAACACCUCAAUCGGCUAAGUGUAGCUCCAUAUAUGGUCGAAAUACCGAAGAGUGUCAAAACUGACUUGUAUUGCAUUUCCUCACUUGAACGUUUUUCACUUCAUUCUUCUUGUUACCACUUAAAUUCAUCACCAAAUAUCUAUUUUUCACCUCAUUUGACAUCCUUUGGUGAUUGAAUCAUCAUUCCUGCAUAAAAAUGAAAUUUUUACCAUUAAAAUCAAUAGAAAUGCAAUAUUAUCCACUUUAACCAAAAAUAUAUAGUUUUACCAAAAACCUCUUUAUUUUAAUUAUAAAACUAAAUAAUCAACUCAAAAUUAACUAAUAAAAUGCACUUAAAAAUACGUAAAAUAAACUCUUAUCAGUAGAUUUAAUGAUAGUAGAUUUAAUAUAGUAAAUUUAAUAUAGUAGAUCGCUAAUUUAAUAGAUUUAAUGAUAAAAUUUAAUAGUUGAAAGGUCGCUUAUUUGGUGAGUUAAGUGACCAAUUUGAAUGAAAGAUCACUAAGAAUAUAUUAUCUGUAUAGUUCAAUAGCUAUUUAAGAUUUUUGUCUCAUAUCUUUGGAUGAACUCGCCUAUAGUUUUUAGUGUGUGCAGAGCACCUGCAACUCAUUCCAUUAGGUUUAACAUCGAAGCUGGACAAAACGGCCACUAAUAUACAUAUUUGUGAGUUGAGUGGUCAUUUUGAUUAAAAAAAAAUAAAUGAGUGGUUUAAAGUAUACUAUUAGAGCAGUUUAGUGGCUGUUGAAAUUUUUUAUCUUCAAGUCGAGAAACUUAGUAGAUAUAUUUACCCUUAGAUUUUGACACAUGAUUUGCACAUGUUAGGUUUAUUUUGUAUAUUAAGAGCAAAAUCUAAUGAAAUGGCUACAGUGUACUGAUUAAUUAGUUGAGUAGCUAAAUUGAGACAAAAAAUACUUUGAUGGUAAAAAGUAGAUGCAGGAAAUAGUUUAAUGGCCAUCGAGAUUUUUGGCCCUUUAUUAUUUGCCUUUUAGCAAUAUUUUUCAAAUUAUAUAGUUAGGAAAACAGAAUGAUAACUGGAUACAAAAAGGAGUUUGCAUACUCUUUAGAAUAUAAUAACCAACCGUAAAUUAAAUGUAAAAUGCCUUACUUUUUUUUUAUAUACGAUACGCUUUAUGUUGUAAUAGAAAGUUCAGGGUUUGACUUAUUAAGAAGGAAGAAUAGUUUAAAGAAUAGAGUAAAUCUUAUAUAUACACUAAUAAAAUAUACAUCAUCAUUGUUCGAUCCAUAACAUAUAUAUAAAAAUUGAAUUUCAAAUUCAAAUUUUUCUUAAUUAUCACUCAUCCAAUACUGACAGUGUAUACAAUAUCAGUAUAUGAAAGAUUAAUUCUAAAAACUAAGGUAUAAUUCCAUUUUCACCCUCUAAUUAUUUCUCAAAUCUCUUUUUGGUCCCUAGAUUAUUAACUAGGACAUUUUGUCUUUAAACCUAAGCAAAAUCAUUAACAAAUCUCCGAAACUAAUAGGAUAGUAGUCAAGUGAGAAGCAUGUUUGCAUGUUGUGAGGGUAUAAAAAAAAUAAAAUUAAACAAGCCAAAAAAGAAUUCUAGAAUUAGAGGGAAAAAAUAAAUUUACAAACCAAAGUAGGAGUCUGAGCAUAGCCAAGAACUAAAGUGUCUCAAUUUAGAACUUAGGGGCCCAAAAAAAUUUAUAGCUUAGGGAUCAAAGUAGAAAUCAUGGUAUGGAUUAGGGAUUAAAGAAUUAAGGAACAAGUAGGAAUCAAAAUACAGUUGAAGAGUGCAAUAUGAAAUCAACCAAAAAAAAAAAAACUCUUAAGAGCAUAACAAGGUUGAUUUUGUAAUUAAAAUCCAACUUGUACCUUCGGGAUUAAUGUUUAUUUAGUAUGAACCCAUUCAAUGAAGGACGUAAGUAUAAACUUUCAAAAACUCGAAGGGUGCUACAUGGAAGGUAGUAAAAGAUUGUAUCGUGUUACUACCUUUACAGUCUGAGAAGACAAUAUACUCGGCACCACAUUGUUCUCUUUCUCUCUCUUGCUUCAUCGUUCUUCUCUCAAGUUUUCUUGCCUGCUGCUUUGCAUCUCGAGGAGCAUAGAAGCUUUGUUCUUUGCUAGGUACUUAUGAUGCACCUGUUUCUCAAUUCCUGUAGUCCACUUUAUCAUUACUUGAUUUUAUCCUAAAAAUGUUGUGGGCUAUCAGUUUCAAAGGUUUGUUUUUCAUAGUUUUGGGAGAAUCCUGUGCUGUUUGCUUACAUGUUACUAUCCUCCAAAUAUUCAAUCUCGGUUUGGUAGAGUAAGCUGAUAAUACGUGAGAUUUCUCUUUUGCUUAGAUCUGCAAUAAAAAUUCCAGGUUACAUCCAUUUGGUAAUGUCAUACUAAUGCAAAUUUUGUUAUUCUUUCCUUUGGGGAAAGAGCGGGAAUUGUUCCCUGAAAUGAGAACAUUUCCUUGCAGAAAUACUCUUUAAGAUUCCACACCUAAGACUCUCCCAAAAGUAUUCCCAAAGUAACACUUGGUGUCUUGCAGCAGGAAAUUAGUAUCUCCACAAGGAGCAACUAGAAAAAAAACUUUUGUGCCCAAUAAUUCAUAUUGCUUUAGAAAUUGUAUAUGCUUCUGAAGAAAGUUCUUAAGGUAAUCUUGUGCAUGACAUUUCCUGUUUGACAGUCUUAAAAUUAAAAAUUCAAGUUUUAUACAUAUUCUUACCUUAAAAUAAGCAAAUAAACGUAGGUUUUAGUCCACCAAAAAAAAAAAAAAAAUUGUGCCGGGCUUUGUGGAUCAAGGGAGUACUUCACCAUAAAAGCAAUUAUGAGUCCUGUAAAAAGCUCAUCUUUUGUUCAGCUCUUCAUUAGUUUGGCACUAAAAAGUUGUUGAGGAAUGAACGUCAACAGGAUUGUGCGAUACAACCAACAAUAGUGGGAGGGAAGAACAUGGAUACAGAGGGAAAGACGGAGAGUGAGAAGAUGAAUAAGGCAAUCGCGACGGCAUAUGAUGUCCAUUCCAAAAUACUGGAGGAAAUAGCUGGGGAUCACUUUCACAUCGGCUUCUAUGACUCUAGCACCAUUAUCCCAGGUACUGAUGUCCAUUCUGCUCAGACUCGUACAAUUGAGGCGGCCCUUCGUUUUGCCUCUGUAUCAGGUAACUCCACCCCUCCCUCCUCUGCUAAAGUAUAUGCAUUGACAGCUGAAAUUACGAAAUGUAACUGUACUUUGCACAGCUAAGCUUUUCACUGGGUUGGAGAUGCCCAUUAAGUUUCGAUUCUUGACUUCGUUUUGUCAUUUCCCAUGACAAUCAACUUGUUUUAGGCCGAAGAUGUAGGGAGUCAGACCGGUAGGCAAGGCGAUGAAGCUUUGGAUAGAAUCUUUCAUUCAUGAAGUCAACAUAUUCAAAGUCCUAAAGAAUUAAGACUGAGGGUAAUCCGACGCUUUUAAUAAAGAAACUUUUGGGCAAUAGAAGAAAUUUAGGGGCAGAGGUUUUGAUCUCAAAGCACUUUUAGCCAAGUUCAAAAUAGUGAUUUUGAAAUAACUUUUGUGUCUUGAAAAAAAUAAAAUUUGACCACCUUAUCAUGAAUUUUGAACCAAAUAAAGUGAUAAAUAUAUUUCAAAUAAAAAAGACACUUGUAUAAUUAUGCACUCGCGCAAUAUAAUUAGAAACUUAAUAAGUACUUUUUUCAAAAAAUCUACCAUGUGAAAUAUUUUUUAGUAAGCUUCCGUAAUCCCAAAUAGGAACCUUACAUUGCAGAAUUAUCUAAGAUGAAAUAUUAUUCCUCGGCCAAUAGCAUUAGUCAUGAAUCUUAUUUGAAACAAGAAAAUCCUAUACCAUGUGAUAAACGGCUUAUAUGAUAAACGCAAACUAAAUUAUGGUUCAUCUUCUUUAUUUUAGAAAUUCUCAUAUUUAUAUCCGUCACUUAUAUAUAUCGUGAUUUUCAAUAGCUUUUUGUAAGUAAACUCUUUAAAAUAUUAUUCCUUCACCAAUUCCAUUAGUCAUGUAUCUUAUUUUUCGUAUCACAAAAUAUUUGUUACCUUUGAAAAAUCAACACAUAAUUACAGUGGUAUCACUCAAAAUUGGGUUAAUUACAAUUACCUUCAAUGAGAUUUGUCCUAAUUAAAAAAUAUAUAUCUUGUGAUUUUAUCAUAUCACAGCCGAGUCCCGUGAUAGCAAAACAUUUGUCAAAUACGCGGCCUCCUCACAUAAGAGUUGUUAGAAUUGCUUCUCAAAAUCAGAUAUUUCCAAAAGAUCCUAAGUACUCAUUUGCAAUUCAAGCCAAUUACAAAAUUUUGCCGUUGAAGUUUGUUCAGUUUUCUAAACUAACGUUAUGGUAUGUGCAAAGCACAAUCCAACAUUUUGAAUACAUGUAAUUUUGUCAAGUAGCCCUCUUCCCCACCCCACCUAACCCCUGACCGGCCCCGCCGCAAAAAAAUGAAAAAAAUUAGUUAGUUGCUGUUAACUUGAAGUUAUGUCCACAAUUAUUAAAUCUAAUGAAGCCAUCCAGCUUGGGGUAAGGGCUAAGUCAGUGGGAUCGUGGUUGAACUAGUAAGUCACUUAUUGAAUUGAUGGAAUUCUAUAAAGUAAUAAAAUAGUAUAAUGAAGUUAUUGGAAAUUAAAAAUAUGAAAAAGUAAAAAGAUAAAAGCUAAUAUCUUUACAAUAAUAAAGGUUGUGUAGAUAGUUAAUUUGGUGUUAAUUUUAUGCAUUUUCAAAUUUACCCUUAUAUCUAUUAUUCAUUAACCCUUAUUUCUAUUAUCAACUGACACAUAAAUCUUAUUCAACCAAAGUUACCUGUCUCCAAUUUUCACGUUCUCUCUAAUCAACAGUUUUUAUUACUUCCCAAACCAUCUUCUAAAGAUAUCCAUUCUUCUCUAGUCAAUCAACCAUUUCUCCCAAAUCUUAAUGCCGCUUCAUAUGGUACAUUGCUGUAUAAUACACUUUUGAUUAUAUAUUACAUAAAAUAGUUAUAUUUACUUGAGCUAUUUAUGUGAUUCUUUCAAUUAAAUUUUUUUUUGAUAAAUUGCACACACAUCGAAUGUGUCUCGAUAGCUACUAUGGAUAACUCUAACUUGUAUUAGCUUGAAUAGUUUAACUUUUAAAUCACAUUAUACUUGUCCCAAUAAUGUCAUAUUUGUGCUUUUAUAUUAUAAUAGGUACAAACUAUAGUGUAGUAGAAGCAUGUUUGGCAGUUCUAAUAAAUCUAUCGAAAAUUUUGAAAUAAUGUGUAAAUAUAUAGAAAAGGCCAUAGCAUUCUCGCUUGAAAGAAAAUUUUUUGCUUAUAAUAGUAUUUUGGGAUUACCUCUCAAAUAAAAUUUUUUUCAUUUUUCCCCCCAAAAAUGCCCAGAUUUUUGGCCUUCCAAUUUAACCGCAAGCCUUCACCGAGCUUAAACGAAUGCCUGCCUUAUCCAGCUAAUCGGUUUAAUUAGACCAGCCUAGUCCCAUGGCUGGUAGUGGCUGUCAAACUACCAAAAAUAAAAUUUAUAAUGAGACCUACUUCCAAAACUGAAUGAGUAUAGUGAUGAGUAGGGUCGUCUCCUCAAGCAACUGAUAAAUUUAUCACACACAGAGAAUUUCGGGGAUUUUAGGAAGGAAAAUAAAAAUAACAAAUUAAAGAUUUAAGGUACUGAAUUUAAAUUCGCAAGAGUGCAGUAGUUAAAGAAUAUAAUAAACAACUAAUUGACAUGACCUAGUCAAGAAAAUAAUUUCGGCAUCGAUUCACGCAAUUGAUCAUAGAUAUCAAGAAUAAUUCACAUGCUUGCAAAUAAAUUGGUUCUAGCAAUUUAGCAAUCGCCAAACUACCAAUCUCUCCUUAAUUUUACAGUAGUCCAGAGACGCUCUUAAACUACUCCCUUGUAAAAUAGCUAACCCUAGAGACGUUCGAAAGAUUUAAUCUAUUCACAUCCUUACGAAUUAGAGAGACCCAAUUCUAGUUAACAAAUACACAUGCGGGUUCAUUUAAACUAGAUUAACUAUUCCUAUGACCCAGAUUAGACUGCUUACGAGGCAAUGAAAUUGUGUCGUUUACCACUAAUUUAAGACAAUCAAGUGAUACGCACCCUUGUCCUAAUUGGCAGUAUACUAUUCAGAUAAUUGAACAACUGGUCACAUUGAUCCAAUAAAUCCAAACAAUAAUAGACUAUUAAAACAAGGAAUAAUCAAAUACUCACAAAUGCAGAAUUUAAAAUAAUUAAAAAAUCUCACAAUUGUCCGUGCACCGGGUGUUGUUUGUUCCUCAACUAGAUAAAGGAACUAGCCUUGCCUCAUAACGAUGAAGCAAUUGAAAACUUUCAUGGAGUUUUGUUGAUUGAAAAACAAAGAAGUUAAAAAGACGCGGCCGCUAGUUUUCUAACUUAGGUUUAGGAGGAAAAAAAAACCAAAUAAAGACUCCAGUUACCAGAUAAGAUACUAAUCUAUCGCUUGUCCUAUUUAUAGUGUCUCCGCCGCUGCCAAAUUCGUUAAUCGAGGUGCUUGUUCCUAUAAGGAUUCCCUUUCUUUAUUUCUCUUCUUUAGUUGUUGCCAAAAGGGACUCUGAAGAUAUUUCCUAAUUCCACGCAACUUCAAAAUACGUCUCCCAAGAGUAGCGGCAGCAUCCAGGAAUAGGUCACAAGGUCCGUCUUUUUAACGUAAUUCUACGGUCUUUGGCGUGGGCACGCUCUGGAAUGACUAGUCUUCUAGAAAUUUGUCUCUUUUUACCACUUUUGACACCAAUUGCCUGCAAUAGACGCAUAUACCAAUUAUGAGCAGAAACCUAUUACUCUUGGACAAUAAGUGGCCAAAAUCAAGAUUAAACAUCAACAAAUAAAAUGCACAAUUAUCUCACUAUCACUGGAUCACCUUGUUAAUUGAUUUAUUUAGCAAUGUUGAUCAAGUUUAAUAACUAUGCUUUUUAAACAAAGUCAGUAAAAUUGGCAAAAUAGCUAUUACCUUAGUCCAUUCUCCCUUCUAUUAUUGCGGUUGACUAUAAUUAGAGUCGGUUUUAGCAAAACCAAAGCCACAUGAUUUCACUAGCAAUAUCCGUCGGUCAUUGAUGUCUGGUUGCAUGGACCACCAUUUAAUUGUCCUCGAUAUUAACAAUUUUUCUUCAUGUUUAUUUACAGGUAAACAAAAUUCUUUUUUAAAUUAAAAUAUUUGAGUUUAAAUCCCAAAAGAGAGUGAUGCAUCCAAAUUACUCUAUUGGUAUAUUACACAUAAAUUUUAACGCUUCUAUGCCAAAAAAGCGUUCUAAUUGGAGACCGAAGUAGAAAUUCAAGAUAAAUACUUAUUUAGAGCUAAGAAAGAAAAUAAAACUUUCAGUUCAUGAUAAAAUGGACCAUUUUCAAUUAAAGCACCAAAUUCGACACCCAAAAGGAUAUGCAGAUGUAGAUGAGGAUAGUAAACUUGGGAAGGAUCUGAGCAAUAGCUGUUGUAGGCCUAUAGGCAUAAGAAAAAGAAAAAAAAAACAGAGAGCAAAUUUUUUUUUUUGGUCUUUCCUUUUCUUUCUCAUUUUUAAGUAGUUUUAAUUAUACUUUAGGGCAAAAUACACUUUACCUCCCUCUGAUUUAACAAGUUUUCACAUAAUCCUCCUAAAGUUUCAAAAGUUAUAUAUAACCUCUCAUAGUUUGAAUUAAAGUAUCAAAAUGACGGAAAUGAUAAUUUAUAACAGAAUCCAUAAAAAAUGUUGAAAUUACUCUUUUUUAAAAAUUAAAAUAGUUGAAGUAACUAAAAUAUAUAAAUAUAAUAUGCAUAACACUCUAACCCUACAUGAUUUUAUGUUUUAUUAUAAAACCCCCUUAUGGUUUAGUACUUUACCGUAUUAUCCCCUUAUAGUUUUCAAAAUAUAUGCAUAAUCUCCCGUAGUUAAUAAAUAAUUUUCAAAUUUACAUAGUGGUUCUUUUAACAUUUUAGUUGACUCCAUUGUGGAAUGUAAAUUCUAUCAUCAUUUUGACACUUUAAUCAAAAUUAUGAGGGAUUAUGUAUAACUUUUGAAUCAUAGGAGGUUUUGUAAAAAAUGCUAAACCCCAGGGGGUAAAAUGUAUUUUGCCCUUUAACUUUCUUCACAAAUAUUUGGCUAUUUAAAAAGGUUAGAUCACAAAUUGGUCAAAUUACAAGAUUAGUAUUGUAAAUUGUACAAGCCAGAAGCAAUGUGAAUAUAUAUUAAGCAUAGACUUUUUUUUUUGAGCAAUUAUAGGCUAUUUCUGCAGUUGAUACUCUAGGUUUAGUUCAUGAACACCUUGGAAAAAAAAGUGGUUUGAUUCUUUUUCAACGCGUUUAUUUUCUUUCCUAGUGAAACAUGCUCCUUAUAAUUUCUAGUUUUUCUCCUCUCCAACUUGGCUAUUUUUUUGUUUCAUUCCUUUGUAGUGGUUAACUAACCGCCAUUGUUUAUCAUGGGAUAAUAUGUAGAGGAUCCAUCUAAGAAACCAAGAAACAUACUUGAUGUUGGAUGCGGUAUUGGUGGCAGCACCAGGUACCUAGCAAGUAAAUAUGAUGCUCAAGUUAAAGGCAUCACCCUAAGCCCUGUUGAGGCCGAAAGAGCUCGUGUUCUAACUGCUUCCCAAGGAUUAGAAAGCCAGGUUUGUAUGAAUAUAUGCAUUACAAUUUCCAAUCUAGUCUACUUCCUACUAGAAUAUGAUUUUCUUAUUGUUUCUCACUUUGCAUUCUUACUUUUGUUUUGAACGAUUAGCGUGCUAAAAUUGUUGAAUUGCCAAACCACCCUAGCCGCUUACACUUUUAUGUAAGUACAUAUUCUGAUUUUUCCAAUUAUUAAGGAAUAAUGACAGAAUAUAUGAAUACCACCACUAUGAUUUUGGAAAAAUUGGUGAGUGUAUAUAUUUAUGAAAAGGACGCACUUUUUAGAUUUUGACUAUGUAUAAAAGAUACUUGUAUUCACUUUUGUAUAUCAUGCGGACUUGUUUGUGCACAUUUACCAGUAAAUUUUGUGAAAAAGUUGCUACAAUCAUUUUUCUUAAAUUCCCCAAUAUUUUCUUUAAUAGAAAGCAAGACUUGUAUCUUCAUGGAAUUUAUGCCAAGUCUUAAAUUUAGAUCAAGCUGUACUUCAAUUAAAUUUAGUAAAAUAACUGGGAACUAGGUUCCUUUACACAUGAUUACCAUUGGUUUCCCUUCCAAAUUCCAAGUAACUGCCACCAUGACACUAGCUAGAAAGAAAAAUUAAGAAGAAAAUUUUUAAUCGUGAUCAAGAUAUAUCAGUAGUGUUUCUUUCUUUCCCUAACAACUGCUGAAACAUACGUAUCAGGUCUCUUUUGAGGUGGCAGAUGCCUUGAAUCAGCAAUUUGAAGAUGGUGCAUUCGAUUUAAUUUGGUGUAUUGAAUGUGCAGAUCACAUAAACGACAAAACCAAGGUUUUCUUUUUCUUUUUCUUUUUUCCUUCUCGCAGCUUCGUUAAUUUACAAUUACUAUUCCUCUUUAUUUUGGUUCUUUUCAUUCUUUUCCAAAAGAUAUAUAUAUAUAUAUAUCUUCUUGUUGAAUGUACGUAUCACAUAAAGGUCAGUAACAUUAAAUUCUGCUGAUGCUAUUUCCUGUUGAUGUAGUUUGUUCAUGAGAUGAGUCGGUUGGCUGCCCCUGGUGCUACUAUUAUUUUACUCACUUGGUGCCACAGGGAUCUUUCACCCCUUGAACAGGAUUUGCAUCCAGAUGAGAAAAAGUUACUGAACCAAACGGAGAGUGGAAACCGUGUUAAGUGGAUUUCUGCUGCCGAUUAUAUAAAUUUAUUCAAGUCAUGCUCUCUUCAGGUAUUAAUGGCAGUUGACUUUUGCUGCUCAUUUAUUCGAUCACUAUCAUUAUCUUUCUUCAUUUCCGCAUUUUCUUGAUUUUUUAAGUCUCCUGUUGUUAAUUAGGAUAUCAAGUAUGCAGACUGGUCUCCACACGUUGCUCCACAUUAUGCAGAAAUGAGGAAGUCAACGUUGUCAUGGAAGGGAAUCAUGUCGUAUAUUAGACAUGUUGGUAAGCAAUGUCUAUUUCACUCGCAUAUAUAGCCGAUUCAGUACCAUUAUCUAUCUUGUAAUCAAUGCAUACCAUAUUUCUUAACCAUUUCUUCAUCUUUUCUCAAUUUCAAUUAAUAGGAUGGAGGCAAUUGAGCAUCAGGGCGCUGAUGAUGCCGUCAUUGUUCGACAGAUUCAAAAAUGGUCAGCUUAAGUAUUGCAUUCUUACGUGCCAGAAGCCUAGGUAAUUCUAGGGAUGUUUAAUGUCCUUGUAUAAAUAUCACUCCACAGUCGAUAAUUUGCACUUAUGCUUUUCUUCCUCGAAAGCUAAUUUGUCUUGGAAUUGGAUUCUGAUUUGUGCUUAUUUGAACAGUUUUCAACAAUGUUUUGAAACUCGGAUCAUUAAUUGAACCGGCGAAGUGAUCAAGUCAAUAUUCAAUCAUUUGGAUCGGUUCAAUCCUAAUUCGAUGAUUUUAUACACACACUUAUGCGAAGAAUAACUGUGACAGUCCCACCUCACCCUAAGGCGAACCAAAGGAUUCGGCGGGCCGCCUGCCCAACUCUCGUCGGGACUCAGUCGUUCCUCAAGCAAAAUCGAAAUAAAACCACAGGAAUAACUAUAGCAACAAUCCAAAACUUAAAGCAACUUAUGUACAUCCAUCUCAAAAGAAGUACAACCACCACUAUACAAAGGUUCUCAAUUCCUCAUACAUCCAGCCCGGGCCAAACACUAGGGCGAGAACCAUUAUAAAAGAAAUUUCAAAGAACUAGACCAAGCUAGUCUAUACAGAGCUCUCGUCCUUGCUCGCCUUCCCCUGUUAAGGAAAACAAAACUAAAGGCAUGAGCUAAAAGCUCAGUGAGCUUCCGAACACAUAAGCAACAAUAAAGCCAAUGUAUUAACCAUAGAUAACUAAUAAUUCAAGAAACAAGUACAAUGGAAAGCGAUAAACAUUCAUUAAAAGGAUACGGGCUCACAGGGAGCCAUAUAUUCGUUCGUUCGUUCAUUCUCCUGUCAUUCCUCUUAUUCCUCCAGUCAAUUAAAUAAAAUACAUUUUUGGUAAAUAAAACCCUCGUUCGUUCUUUUGUUUCGUUCACCCCCUCCUGGAAAUUGGCCAGGCCCCACCAGACUACAAGGUAAUACUCGAGUAUACCAAAUUCACCCAGGGUCACCAUAUCGCUCGACCGAGUCCACUUCUGUCUCGAGUCGAUCGGUAACGAAGGGCAGGGCCCAAUUCAGCCAAAAGGUUUACAUCAUGCGCAACUAAUGUAGCAAUCAUUAAAUCAUUGAAAAUUUCACGUUUCAUUUAGGUCGAGAGCGGUAAAGUACACGCUCGCCUAGAAAACUCGUUUUGAAAAUUCUUGAAAGCACUUAACACAUUAUCAAACAAGAACACAAGUCAUGAAGUCAAGAAAAAUAUAGCAAACAAGAAACACUCACCUAAUUAUGCAAAAUAACGGGUAAAAUAUCCUUCCGGAUAUGACCCUCAGUCACCGAGAAAACCUAAAAUUAAACGAGAGAGAAUAUUACAGUUCAUCGAGCAAACAAGUAAAUGAAAUCAAAGAAAAACCGGCAAAUGAUAAGUAAAACGUAUAAAGACGCCUUUAUAGUGAAAAGGGGAUAUUUGGACCGGAGGACGGAAAUAACUAGAGUUUCAUAAACCAAACGCAAAACUAACUCAAACGGGUUAUAAAAUGUCAGGCGGAAAACACUUGGACCAAAGACAACUCGGACUCCAACGAGAUAGGCUAAAAAUAUUGUUUUCGGAAUCGUUUAGAUAGUUCAAAAUCAACUCAUACCCAAGCAGCUAGUAUAGACUAAACGUCAUGGUAAAAAUCAUGUGAAAAGGAGGACAAUACUACCUUACGUUCACACUUAAAACCUCACUUAAAAGUGGUUCACUUAUGGCCGAGAAAACCCUAAAUCAUACCUCUAUAUUUUGGGAAGGAGUAAGUAGCAUUUGAAGUUUUAAACUAAAGAGGUAUCAUGUUUUAAAAUGGAAAACCGGUCAUGGUAUUGGCCAAACAAAAGUAUACAAGUUCAAAUAGAAACUUAGCCCUCGAGCGAAAAUUUGGGCAACACGCCCUUUGUAUUUACCUAUUUCCCAACCAUUUAUGACUUCAUUAUUUUCUCUAUCAAUUCCAAAGUCAUACACAAUAUAAACUCAUUAUAAUAGCCGUUCCAUAGGCUCCAGAUCAUACAAGUACAAAAUCAAGCUAAUGACAUGUGCGGAAAUGAAGUUUAGUUUGGAAAACAAAAGACAGUUUUAACGUUACUUAGCGGAACAGACGUAACAGGAGCUACACUUAUCGGAUUGAGGUGUAAUUUAUACCGUUUCGAAGCUAAGAUAAAGGGCUACAAUUUUUAUGAAGACCACUCAGUCUAGUUCGUGGUGUAGCUAGGUCAAAAUUCCAAUGUACCAAACCAGAAUCGCAUAAACAGGUCAGCUAACCGCAUUAUGGUUAAAUGAUCAUAUCUUAGGCUACCAAAGUCCAAUUGAGGUGUUUCUAGGGCCGUUGGAAAGCUAAGACCUAGUACUACAACUUUCAUGUUUUGGUCAAGAUCCAAUUCGGUAAGGAUCAGAGUGAAAAGGCACGGUCAGACUGGGAGAAAUGUCCACCCUGUCCAGCCAACUAUUCUUGUGGCAGUUUGCGGUAUUUCUGACUUUUCUCAGGCUACACAGCUCGGAUUGGGCUGAAAUUUUAAGGCAACUAUAAAACACCAUUUCCUACAACUUUCAUGUUUUGACCCAAAGCUAAUUCGGCCUCUAACCUAGCCAAACAGAAACGGGCAGAACAGGGUCAUAUGGAACCCUAAUCUGGAAUUUGAGUUUCAAACCAACAAUUUUGCACAAUCAAUCAUUUCCAACACAUACCAACUCCAUCUUACACUAUAACAAACCAUUAAUCCAUGGUUAACCAACACUAAUCAUAUGAAAUCAGAAAAAUCAUGAACAAAAGAAAAAUCCAUCAAUCUCAACCAUAGGUCAUGGAAUCAUCCAUAAAAUCACUUAUUCAACCACUACAAAUCACUAAUUGAACAUUAUCAAGAUUAAAGGAAAGGUUCCUUAGUCACUUACCUUGCAAACCCAAGAAAAGACCCAACUUAGCACCUUUGCUUCUCAAACCACUUCACCACACACUUUAAUCCUACCAAGAGAAAGGUUUUUAUGGAGCAAAUCAAGGUUUUAACGGUUAGUUUGUGAGAUUGAGCAAGAAAUAGAAGGAAGAAAUUGGAAGCUUUUCCUCUUUUUUUUUCUCCAAGAAGUUCGGCCAAGAGAGCAUAAGAAAUGGAAAAGUUUUGGUCAAAAUUAGCUUUAAGAAGGAAACAAAUAUCUUGGUCGACAGUUCACCCUCGAAUAGAAACGCGACAUGUGGCACCUUUUAUGUUUAAGCUUAUCUUCUAGUCUCUCCAUACUAAUUAAUCUAGCAAACCUCUAAUUAUCUCCUAGCAUCUUGUAAAUUAAUCCCAUAACGCAAAACUUAAGUUAGUUGUCCGAAUAAUACGCACUUAACGCACUAGAGGUCCCACGUCAAACUACACUUCAAAUUUAACGUACACUAAAUUAUAUCAAGAAAAUGAUUUGAAAACUAUAUUCACUUAUAAAAAUGUAUAGAAAAUUAAUAUAUUGAAGAAAAGUAUAAAUUUAUAAACAAGGAAAUAAAAUAAUGUUUAGAAAACAUAUAAAAUUUUUUUUUCGGGUUCUCAAACUCUCUCCCCCUUAAGAAAUUUUGUCCUCGAAAUUUUUACCUUCAUUUGUCUCAGACGAGUCCGGAACUGUUUGGUUGCCUAACGCAUACACUUUUGCCGGUACACUUGUUCGGUUUCCUCUUUCAUUCACUUGUCUUGAUUUGGCUCCAUCCAGUUGCGGAGUAUUACCUUCACGUGGCUGUCUCCUCGGACAAUUGCUCACCUGGUGGUCACCACUUCCGCAUAUCAAACACUUCCGCCAUUUCCGCCAACAAGCAUCCUCGGUGUGAUUAGCCUUUCCACAGUAGCCACAAGUCAAGCGAGAAGCCAUCUUUUGGUUGUCUUGAGUAAUCUCCUCAGGUCUGAUUUGGCUUCCUUUAGUAGACCUUUCAUCUACCGCCCCUAACGUCCAUGGUGGGCGGAGUAACGGGUUCAUUUUCUGCACUUUAGGAGGCGCUAUCGUUUCGCUCAAUUCACCCACUAUACUAUCCGAUGCACCCCUUUUCUGGGUCUGGGAGGCCUUUAACUGUGCCUUUGCAUUCUCGAUUCUUUGAGCUUUCUCAAGGGCUUCCGUAAACGUAUUCACUUGUACCGCUGCUAAUGCUUCUUGAAUUUUCAAAUUCAAUCCUUGUAUAAAUCGUCUCACUCUUCUCGGUUCUGUGGCUACUAAUUCGGAAGCAAACUUGGAUAGUUUGGUGAAUUUCGUUUCGUAUUCAGCCACACUUAAGGUCCCUUGGCGUAGCCCAAUAAAUUCGUCCUCCCUCCUUUCCUAGACUAAAGGUGGGAGGUACUUCUCGUUAAAUUCUCUUAGGAAGUUAGCCCACGUCCAUAUGGUCCGUUCUCUUUUCCACUUUGCUCUAAUUACGUUCCACCACGCUCGGGCUGGUCCUUCAAAUUGAAACACUGCAAAGUUUACUUGCCUUUGCUCAGUAUAGUUCAAAACUGUGAAAAUAUUCACCAUGGCCUCUAACCAUUGUUCAGCGAUAUCCAGAUCAGGCCCUCCAGCGAAUUUUGGAGGUGCAAACUUUUGAAACCUCUCAAGAGCCCGAUCUUCUCUUAUUUCCGGGUUUUGGGGUUGAUUUACAGGCAUUUGAUCUUGUUGGUCCACCAACCUUGCUAAGAUGUUUGUCAUUUGUUGAAUUGCCGUCGCCAUUUGGUCCCCAGCUUCAACCCUCGGUCCUUGCUCUUGUGCAGCUGUUGUUUCCCUUUUUUCUCUUGGCUCUUGAGCUCGUUUAUUCCCACGGUCACGUCCACGUCCACGACUACGUCUCCCGUCCAUCUAUAUGUUUUCCCUCUCUCUUUUCUUUUCCUUUCCCCCCCAAAAGGUAAUUUAGUGCAUAAACACAGUAAAUUGACUAAAGUAACAAAUUCCAGCAUACCAAAUACACAAUUAAACAUAGACACACAUAACACACCAUAUAUCAAGAAGACAGAUGAUCAAAUUACACAGAGGCAUAUCAAAUUAGACUAAAUAACCCCGUCCUAGUUUCAGUUGAGUAACCCCGUCCAGUCUCUCACGUCACUUUCUAUCCAAACCAGAUAUCCGUCGACCUCUUAUACUCAUUCUCGCCGAACAAAACCUAUUCAUGUUCCCAAAAAUGUAAAUCUCACAUACUUAGCAUCCUCAACUCUAGAGUACUCGGGCACGAGAAUCCGAGAUAAGACAAUUCACAUCUCGAGCUGGCCAGUCCCAAGAGUAAACCAUCUACAAUCAAAAUUCCUACCAGACGUACCUAUCUAUGGUUCUCAAAUACCACAAGAAAAUUUAAGGCCUAUAACAUCCACAAUUCAUAACUCAUGCUCGAACGAGCACUUACUUCUUCAUACCCAUUCACCACUCAGUCCAGGCUCACUCCGCGCAGAGACCACGCGAAACAGACUCUGAUACCAACUGUGACAGCCCCACCUCAACUUAAGGCGAACCAAAGGGCUCGACGGGCCGCCUGCCUAACUCUCGCCGGGACUCAGUUGUUCUUCAAGUAAAAUCGAAAUAAAACCACAGGAAUAACUAUAGCAACAAUCCAAAACUUAAAGCAACUUAUGUACAUCCAUCUCAAAAGAAGUACAACCACCACUAUACAAAGGUUCUCAAUUCCUCAUACAUCCAACCCGGACCAAGCACUAGGGCGAGAACCAUUACAAAAGAAAUUUCAAAGAACUAGACCAAGCUAGUCUAUACAGAGCUCUUGUCCUUGCUCGCCUUCCCCUGUUAAGAAAAACAAAACUAAAGGCAUGAGCUAAAAGCUCAGUGAGGUUCCGAACACAUAAGCAACAAUAAAGCCAAUGUAUUAACCAUAGAUAACCAAUAAUUCAAGAAACAAGUACAAUGGAAAGCGAUAAACAUUCAUUAAAAGGAUACGGACUCACAGGGAGCCAUAUAUUCGUUCGUUCGUUCAUUCUCCUGUCAUUCCCCUUAUUCCUCCGGUCAAUUAAAUAAAAUGCAAUUUUGGUAAAUAAAACCCUCGUUCGUUCUUUCGUUUCGUUCACCCCCUCCUGGAAAUUGGUCAGGCUCCACCAGACUACAAGGUAAUACUCGAGCAUACCAAAUUCACCCAGGGUCACCAUAUCGCUCGACCGAGUCCGCUUCUGACUCGUGUCGAUCAGUAACGAAGGGCAGAGCCCAAUUCAGCCAAAAAGCUUACAUCAUGCACAACUAAUGUAGCAAUCAUUAAAUCAUUGAAAAUUUCACGUUUCAUUUAGGUUGAGCACGGUAAAGUACACGCUCGCCUAGAAAACUCGUUUUGAAAAUCCUUGAAAGCACUUAACACAUUAUCAAACAAGAACACAAGUCAUGAAGUCAAGAAAAAUAUAGCAAACAAGAAACACUCACCUAAUUAUGCAAAAUACCAUGCAAAAUAUCCUUCCGGAUAUGACCCUCAGUCACCUAGAAAACCUAAGAUUAAACGAGAGAGAAUAUUACAGUUCAUCGAGCAAACAAGUAAGUGAAAUCAAAGAAAAACCAGCAAAUGAUAAGUAAAAUGUAUAAAGACGCCUUUAUAGUGAAAAGGGGAUAUUUGGAUCAGAGGACGGAAAUAACUAGGGUUUCAUAAACCAAACGCAAAACUAACUCAAACGGGUUAUAAAAUGUCCGGCGGAAAACACUUGGACCAAAGACAACUCGGACUCCAACGAGAUAGGCUAAAAAUAUUGUUUUCGGAAUCGUUUAGAUAGUUCAAAAUCAACUCAUACCCAAGCAGCUAGUAUAGACUAAAUGUCAUGAUAAAAAUCAUGUGAAAAGGAGGACAAUACUACCUUACGUUCAUACUUAAAAUCUCACUUAAAAGUGGUUAACUUAUGGCCGAGAAAAUCCUAAAUCAUACCUCUAUAUUUUGGGAAGGAGUAAGUAGCAUUUCAAAUUUUAAAUUAAAGAGGUAUCAUGUUUUAAAAUGAAAAACCGGUCAUGGUAUUGGCCAAACAAAAGUAUACAAGUUCAAAUAGAAACUUAGCACUCGAGCGAAAAUUUGGGCAACACGCCCUUUGUAUUUACCUAUUUCCCAACCAUUUAUGACUUCAUUAUUUUCUCUAUCAAUUCCAAAGUCAUACACAAUAUAAACUCAUUAUAAUAGCCGUUCCAUAGGCUCCAGAUCAUACAAGUACAAAAUCAAUCUAAUGACAUGUGCGGAAAUGAAGUUUAGUUUGGAAAACAAAAGACAGUUUUAACGUUACUUAGCGGAACAGACGUAACAGGAGCUACACUUAUCGGAUUGAGGUGUAAUUUAUACCGUUUCGAAGCUAAGAUAAAGGGCUACAAUUUUUAUGAAGACCACUCAGUCUAGUUCGUGGUGUAGCUAGGUCAAAAUUCCAAUGUACCAAACCAGAAUCGCAUAAACAGGUCAGCUAACCGCAUUAUGGUUAAAUGAUCAUAUCUUAGGCUACCAAAGUCCAAUUGAGGUGUUUCUAGGGCCGUUGGAAAGCUAAGACCUAGUACUACAACUUUCAUGUUUUGGUCAAGAUCCAAUUCGGUAAGGAUCAGAGUGAAAAGGCACGGUCAGACUGGGAGAAAUGUCCACCCUGUCCAGCCAACUAUUCUUGUGGCAGUUUGCGGUAUUUCUGACUUUUCUCAGGCUACACAGCUCGGAUUGGGCUGAAAUUUUAAGGCAACUAUAAAACACCAUUUCCUACAACUUUCAUGUUUUGACCCAAAGCUAAUUCGGCCUCUAACCUAGCCAAACAGAAACGGGCAGAACAGGGUCAUAUGGAACCCUAAUCUGGAAUUUGAGUUUCAAACCAACAAUUUUGCACAAUCAAUCAUUUCCAACACAUACCAACUCCAUCUUACACUAUAACAAACCAUUAAUCCAUGGUUAACCAACACUAAUCAUAUGAAAUCAGAAAAAUCAUGAACAAAAUAAAAAUCCAUCAAUCUCAACCAUAGGUCAUGGAAUCAUCCAUAAAAUCACUUAUUCAACCACUACAAAUCACUAAUUGAACAUUAUCAAGAUUAAAGGAAAGGUUCCUUAGUCACUUACCUUGCAAACCCAAGAAAAGACCCAACUUAGCACCUUUGCUUCUCAAACCACUUCACCACACACUUUAAUCCUACCAAGAGAAAGGUUUUUAUGGAGCAAAUCAAGGUUUUAACGGUUAGUUUGUGAGAUUGAGCAAGAAAUAGAAGGAAGAAAUUGGAAGCUUUUCCUCUUUUUUUUUCUCCAAGAAGUUCGGCCAAGAGAGCAUAAGAAAUGGAAAAGUUUUGGUCAAAAUUAGCUUUAAGAAGGAAACAAAUAUCUUGGUCGAAAGUUCACCCUCGAAUAGAAACGCGACUGUGGCACCUUUUAUGUUUAAGCUUAUCUUCUAGUCUCUCCAUACUAAUUAAUCUAGCAAACCUCUAAUUAUCUCCUAGCAUCUUGUAAAUUAAUCCCAUAACGCAAAACUUAAGUUAGUUGUCCGAAUAAUACGCACUUAACGCACUAGAGGUCCCACGUCAAACUACACUUCAAAUUUAACGUACACUAAAUUAUAUCAAGAAAAUGAUUUGAAAACUAUAUUCACUUAUAAAAAUGUAUAGAAAAUUAAUAUAUUGAAGAAAAGUAUAAAUUUAUAAACAAGGAAAUAAAAUAAUGUUUAGAAAACAUAUAAAAUUUUUUUUUCGGGUUCUCAAACUUUCUCCCCCUUAAGAAAUUUUGUCCUCGAAAUUUUUACCUUCAUUUGUCUCAGACGAGUCCGGAACUGUUUGGUUGCCUAACGCAUACACUUUUGCCGGUACACUUGUUCGGUUUCCUCUUUCAUUCACUUGUCUUGAUUUGGCUCCAUCCAGUUGCGGAGUAUUACCUUCACGUGGCUGUCUCCUCGGACAAUUGCUCACCUGGUGGUCACCACUUCCGCAUAUCAAACACUUCCGCCAUUUCCGCCAACAAGCAUCCUCGGUGUGAUUAGCCUUUCCACAGUAGCCACAAGUCAAGCGAGAAGCCAUCUUUUGGUUGUCUUGAGUAAUCUCCUCAGGUCUGAUUUGGCUUCCUUUAGUAGACCUUUCAUCUACCGCCCCUAACGUCCAUGGUGGGCGGAGUAACGGGUUCAUUUUCUGCACUUUAGGAGGCGCUAUCGUUUCGCUCAAUUCACCCACUAUACUAUCCGAUGCACCCCUUUUCUGGGUCUGGGAGGCCUUUAACUGUGCCUUUGCAUUCUCGAUUCUUUGAGCUUUCUCAAGGGCUUCCGUAAACGUAUUCACUUGUACCGCUGCUAAUGCUUCUUGAAUUUUCAAAUUCAAUCCUUGUAUAAAUCGUCUCACUCUUCUCGGUUCUGUGGCUACUAAUUCGGAAGCAAACUUGGAUAGUUUGGUGAAUUUCGUUUCGUAUUCAGCCACACUUAAGGUCCCUUGGCGUAGCCCAAUAAAUUCGUCCUCCCUCCUUUCCUAGACUAAAGGUGGGAGGUACUUCUCGUUAAAUUCUCUUAGGAAGUUAGCCCACGUCCAUAUGGUCCAUUCUCUUUUCCACUUUGCUCUAAUUACGUUCCACCACGCUCGGGCUGGUCCUUCAAAUUGAAACACUGCAAAGUUUACUUGCCUUUGCUCAGUAUAGUUCAAAACUGUGAAAAUAUUCACCAUGGCCUCUAACCAUUGUUCAGCGAUAUCCAGAUCAGGCCCUCCAGCGAAUUUUGGAGGUGCAAACUUUUGAAACCUCUCAAGAGCCCGAUCUUCUCUUAUUUCCGGGUUUUGGGGUUGAUUUACAGGCAUUUGAUCUUGUUGGUCCACCAACCUUGCUAAGAUGUUUGUCAUUUGUUGAAUUGCCGUCGCCAUUUGGUCCCCAGCUUCAACCCUCGGUCCUUGCUCUUGUGCAGCUGUUGUUUCCCUUUUUUCUCUUGGCUCUUGAGCUCGUUUAUUCCCACGGUCACGUCCACGUCCACGACUACGUCUCCCGUCCAUCUAUAUGUUUUCCCUCUCUCUUUUCUUUUCCUUUCCCCCCCAAAAGGUAAUUUAGUGCAUAAACACAGUAAAUUGACUAAAGUAACAAAUUCCAGCAUACCAAAUACACAAUUAAACAUAGACACACAUAACACACCAUAUAUCAAGAAGACAGAUGAUCAAAUUACACAGAGGCAUAUCAAAUUAGACUAAAUAACCCCGUCCUAGUUUCAGUUGAGUAACCCCGUCCAGUCUCUCACGUCACUUUCUAUCCAAACCAGAUAUCCGUCGACCUCUUAUACUCAUUCUCGCCGAACAAAACCUAUUCAUGUUCCCAAAAAUGUAAAUCUCACAUACUUAGCAUCCUCAACUCUAGAGUACUCGGGCACGAGAAUCCGAGAUAAGACAAUUCACAUCUCGAGCUGGCCAGUCCCAAGAGUAAACCAUCUACAAUCAAAAUUCCUACCAGACGUACCUAUCUAUGGUUCUCAAAUACCACAAGAAAAUUUAAGGCCUAUAACAUCCACAAUUCAUAACUCAUGCUCGAACGAGCACUUACUUCUUCAUACCCAUUCACCACUCAGUCCAGGCUCACUCCGCGCAGAGACCACGCGAAACAGACUCUGAUACCAACUGUGACAGCCCCACCUCAACUUAAGGCGAACCAAAGGGUUCGACGGGCCGCCUGCCUAACUCUCGCCGGGACUCAGUUGUUCUUCAAGUAAAAUCGAAAUAAAACCACAGGAAUAACUAUAGCAACAAUCCAAAACUUAAAGCAACUUAUGUACAUCCAUCUCAAAAGAAGUACAACCACCACUAUACAAAGGUUCUCAAUUCCUCAUACAUCCAACCCGGACCAAGCACUAGGGCGAGAACCAUUACAAAAGAAAUUUCAAAGAACUAGACCAAGCUAGUCUAUACAGAGCUCUUGUCCUUGCUCGCCUUCCCCUGUUAAGAAAAACAAAACUAAAGGCAUGAGCUAAAAGCUCAGUGAGGUUCCGAACACAUAAGCAACAAUAAAGCCAAUGUAUUAACCAUAGAUAACCAAUAAUUCAAGAAACAAGUACAAUGGAAAGCGAUAAACAUUCAUUAAAAGGAUACGGACUCACAGGGAGCCAUAUAUUCGUUCGUUCGUUCAUUCUCCUGUCAUUCCCCUUAUUCCUCCGGUCAAUUAAAUAAAAUGCAAUUUUGGUAAAUAAAACCCUCGUUCGUUCUUUCGUUUCGUUCACCCCCUCCUGGAAAUUGGCCAGGCUCCACCAGACUACAAGGUAAUACUCGAGCAUACCAAAUUCACCCAGGGUCACCAUAUCGCUCGACCGAGUCCGCUUCUGACUCGUGUCGAUCAGUAACGAAGGGCAGAGCCCAAUUCAGCCAAAAAGCUUACAUCAUGCACAACUAAUGUAGCAAUCAUUAAAUCAUUGAAAAUUUCACGUUUCAUUUAGGUUGAGCACGGUAAAGUACACGCUCGCCUAGAAAACUCGUUUUGAAAAUCCUUGAAAGCACUUAACACAUUAUCAAACAAGAACACAAGUCAUGAAGUCAAGAAAAAUAUAGCAAACAAGAAACACUCACCUAAUUAUGCAAAAUACCAUGCAAAAUAUCCUUCCGGAUAUGACCCUCAGUCACCUAGAAAACCUAAGAUUAAACGAGAGAGAAUAUUACAGUUCAUCGAGCAAACAAGUAAGUGAAAUCAAAGAAAAACCAGCAAAUGAUAAGUAAAAUGUAUAAAGACGCCUUUAUAGUGAAAAGGGGAUAUUUGGAUCAGAGGACGGAAAUAACUAGGGUUUCAUAAACCAAACGCAAAACUAACUCAAACGGGUUAUAAAAUGUCCGGCGGAAAACACUUGGACCAAAGACAACUCGGACUCCAACGAGAUAGGCUAAAAAUAUUGUUUUCGGAAUCGUUUAGAUAGUUCAAAAUCAACUCAUACCCAAGCAGCUAGUAUAGACUAAAUGUCAUGAUAAAAAUCAUGUGAAAAGGAGGACAAUACUACCUUACGUUCAUACUUAAAAUCUCACUUAAAAGUGGUUAACUUAUGGCCGAGAAAAUCCUAAAUCAUACCUCUAUAUUUUGGGAAGGAGUAAGUAGCAUUUCAAAUUUUAAAUUAAAGAGGUAUCAUGUUUUAAAAUGAAAAACCGGUCAUGGUAUUGGCCAAACAAAAGUAUACAAGUUCAAAUAGAAACUUAGCCCUCGAGCGAAAAUUUGGGCAACACGCCCUUUGUAUUUACCUAUUUCCCAACCAUUUAUGACUUCAUUAUUUUCUCUAUCAAUUCCAAAGUCAUACACAAUAUAAACUCAUUAUAAUAGCCGUUCCAUAGGCUCCAGAUCAUACAAGUACAAAAUCAAGCUAAUGACAUGUGCGGAAAUGAAGUUUAGUUUGGAAAACAAAAGACAGUUUUAACGUUACUUAGCGGAACAGACGUAACAGGAGCUACACUUAUCGGAUUGAGGUGUAAUUUAUACCGUUUCGAAGCUAAGAUAAAGGGCUACAAUUUUUAUGAAGACCACUCAGUCUAGUUCGUGGUGUAGCUAGGUCAAAAUUCCAAUGUACCAAACCAGAAUCGCAUAAACAGGUCAGCUAACCGCAUUAUGGUUAAAUGAUCAUAUCUUAGGCUACCAAAGUCCAAUUGAGGUGUUUCUAGGGCCGUUGGAAAGCUAAGACCUAGUACUACAACUUUCAUGUUUUGGUCAAGAUCCAAUUCGGUAAGGAUCAGAGUGAAAAGGCACGGUCAGACUGGGAGAAAUGUCCACCCUGUCCAGCCAACUAUUCUUGUGGCAGUUUGCGGUAUUUCUGACUUUUCUCAGGCUACACAGCUCGGAUUGGGCUGAAAUUUUAAAGCAACUAUAAAACACCAUUUCCUACAACUUUCAUGUUUUGACCCAAAGCUAAUUCGGCCUCUAACCUAGCCAAACAGAAACGGGCAGAACAGGGUCAUAUGGAACCCUAAUCUGGAAUUUGAGUUUCAAACCAACAAUUUUGCACAAUCAAUCAUUUCCAACACAUACCAACUCCAUCUUACACUAUAACAAACCAUUAAUCCAUGGUUAACCAACACUAAUCAUAUGAAAUCAGAAAAAUCAUGAACAAAAGAAAAAUCCAUCAAUCUCAACCAUAGGUCAUGGAAUCAUCCAUAAAAUCACUUAUUCAACCACUACAAAUCACUAAUUGAACAUUAUCAAGAUUAAAGGAAAGGUUCCUUAGUCACUUACCUUGCAAACCCAAGAAAAGACCCAACUUAGCACCUUUGCUUCUCAAACCACUUCACCACACACUUUAAUCCUACCAAGAGAAAGGUUUUUAUGGAGCAAAUCAAGGUUUUAACGGUUAGUUUGUGAGAUUGAGCAAGAAAUAGAAGGAAGAAAUUGGAAGCUUUUCCUCUUUUUUUUCUCCAAGAAGUUCGGCCAAGAGAGCAUAAGAAAUGGAAAAGUUUUGGUCAAAAUUAGCUUUAAGAAGGAAACAAAUAUCUUGGUCGAAGUUCACCCUCGAAUAGAAACGCGACAUGUGGCACCUUUUAUGUUUAAGCUUAUCUUCUAGUCUCUCCAUACUAAUUAAUCUAGCAAAUCUCUAAUUAUCUCCUAACAUCUUGUAAAUUAAUCCCAUAACGUAAAACUUAAGCUAGUUGUCAGAAUAAUACGCACUUAACGCACUAGCGGUCUCACGUCAAACUACACUUCAAAUUUAACGUACACUAACUUAUAUCAAGAAAAUGAUUUGAAAACUAUAUUCACUUAUAAAAAUGUAUAGAAAAUUAAUAUAUUGAAGAAAAGUAUCAAUUUAUAAACAAGGAAAUAAAAUAAUGUUUAGAAAACAUAUAAAUUUUUUUUUCGGCUUCUCACAAUAAAAUAUCUCAUGGACGAAUUUAAGACAUCGUCUGAAACUUUCGGUGUUCUCAACAUCCUUUCUCUCAACUUUCGGUGUAAAGCUGUGCAAAGUUGUGUAAAAAGACAAUAUAACUUUCGGUGCUCUUGAGGUUGAUGGCAAGUCAAGCUGCCCUCCAGCCGGAUCCGUUUCUUCUCCCACAUUCCAAAAGAAAUCUUUUUCUGAACUCUUUGGUAAUGGAGCUUCUCAGCCCAUUUUGAAUAUCAAUGCAGUGUCUUCGACUCAUUGGGGGGAACCUGCGAUUCUUUUUUCUCAAACUGAUCUGGCCACACUUGCUGCUCCAUACAAAUUUGCUUUGGUUGGUAAAUUUUCUAAGGGUCGUCCUUCUAUGGAGGAUCUCAGGAAAUUCUUCCUAUCUCUUGAUCUAAAAGAGGCUGCUAAGGUAGGUCUUUUAGACUCCAGACAUGUAGUGAUUAACUUGGGGAAUGAGGUGGAUUUCCAUCGGAUUUGGGCUAGAGGUAUAUGGUAUGUUUAUGGUGCUCCUAUGCGUGUCUUUAAAUGGUCUCCUGCUUUCCAUGUGGACAAGGUGCCUUCGGUGGUUCCAGUUUGGUUUAAGUUACCAAAAUUGCCGCUGCAUUACUUUAACAAAGAAUGCUUGUUCCAGAUUGCAGGCGUUUUGGGGAAUCCUUUGUUUGUAGAUUCUGCAACCAUGGUGGUUUCCAGGCCAAGUGUUGCUAGGGUGUGUGUAGAAGUAGACUUGUUAAAACUUCUUACUCCUAGGGUGUGGAUUGGUAAUGGUGAUCAUGAGGGCUUUUGGCAAGCUUUAAUUCCAGAAAAUCCGCCUAAAUAUUGUGCCCAUUGUUUUAAGCAGGGACAUAUCCAAGACGAUUGUCAUAUGCUAUAUCCGAUCUUAAAAUUCAGAGACCGUUAGCUUCCAAAAAACAGGAAGGUCAUACACGCUUUCAACCUAUUUCUUCACCGGGCUUGGGCAUAAUAGGCAAACAGGAUGAUUGUUUUGGAAAAGAGGUGGAUCCAAUCAUUGUAGCUAGCAAACAAAAUGAUCAAUCUGGGAAAGAGGUGGAUCCAAUCAUUGUAGCUAGCAAACAAAAUGAUCAAUCUGGGAAAGAGGGCCUGCUACUACGGAGGAGGAGGUGGGUGUGGUUGAUAAGGAGGGACCUUCAAAAACUCCUAAAGUCACAACUCCUUUUGUUGAAGAUGCAAAUAUUUGUACUGGGAUUUUCACAGAACCUGCUACAUGUUCACGUUCUGAUACUCAGGCGGUGGUGUCUCAGCAUGAUCUUGAUGGGCUGGAAGAUACUAUAAUGGUGGCUCCCACUGUUGAUCCCUCAAACAGGCAACUUGACAAUUUGGAACUUAUGGCUGGAAAGGAAAACCAGCAAGCCCGUUCUGCUUGUCAGCUGGAGUAGAAUGCGCUUGUCAUUGAUAUAUCUCAUUGUGGUGUGCAGGAGAAUUUGUAGGCAAAACAAUCAUCUGCGGUUGCGGAUAUCUUUAAUCUUGACCCGAUCAUUCAACAAGUCAGUGAAAAGCUCCAGCAUGAGGAAGGUUUACAGGUGGUUACGCAUGGCAAACCGAAAGGUAUCAGGGCUAAAUUUUCAUCUGAUCGUUCGCUGCGAUCAAAAGCCAAGGUUUCCUGAAACUCUUCCUCUUCCUUGUCUCAAUGAUUAAGUUUUUGUUUUGGAAUAUUAAGGGUAUAUCUCGCACCCCAAAUAUUCGAAGAUUGAGGUAUUUGGUAAAACAAUAUUCCAUUCAACUAGUAGCUAUUUGUGAACCGAAAACUCAAGUUGCAGAGAUCCAUUCGAUCAGGAUGAGACUUAAUAUGGAUCACGCUGUAUUUAGUAGUACGGGUGAUAUUUGGAUUUUUUAUAAAGCCUCUAUUUUUUGUCGUAUAGUUGGAGAAUCUAAUCAACAUUUGUCAUUACAAAUUGAUUCUGCAAUAUUUGCUGUUCCUAUUAUUUUUUCAUUUGUCCAUGCCAAGUGUACUGCCCUUCAAUGAGUGGAAUUAUGGAAUAGCCUUCUUGUGGACAAACCGACUCAGUCUGCCUGGUUUCUUGUGGGAGAUUUUAAUGUCAUUGUCUCGGAGGAGGAGAAAAGGGGUGGGGUGCCGUUUAGACCAGAGGAAGGUUGGGAUUUUUUGAACUUUAUGUCUCAAGCUGGGAUUUCUGAUGUGGGGUAUUCAGGGUCUAUUUUCACAUGGUGUAACAAUAGAUAUGGUCGGGCACGUAUUUGGAAGAGAUUAGACAGGUUACUUAUGAAUCAGGUUUCUUCCAAUUUAGGCUUAGGUUUUGCCGUACAACAUUUGUGUAGAGACCCAUCAGAUCACGCUCCAUUGUUAUUGUCGGCUCUUACAAAAUUGGAUAACAAGCCAAAGCCAUUUCGUUUUUUGAAUUUCUGGACAUCUAAACCAGAACUGUUGGAUGUGGUUAGGUGCAAUUGGAGCGGAAAUUUUUCAGGCCCACCAUUAAAGGUCCUUGCAGCCAAGCUUCGGAAUGUAAAGGUGGCAUUACGAACGUGGUCGCGCGAGGUUUUCGGUGACAUCUUUGAAGCUGUAAAGGUGGCGGAACAACGUGCUCUCAAUGCUGAGUUUAGUUAUGAUGCUGAUCCGUCUGAGGCAAAUUUAGUUGUAUUAAACGAAGCACAAGCCCAGCUAAGGCGUUCACAUGCACUUGAGAAUAUGUUCUGGCAACAAAAAUCCAGGAUUAAGUGGUUAAAGGAUGGCGAUAGGAACUCCAAGUAUUUUCAUUCUGUGGUGGUGGAACGACAAAGUACAUCAUUAAUCCAUUGCAUCAAGUCGUCUGUUGGGAAGUGGUUGGACAGUACAUCUAAUAUUGAGGGAGAGGCUGAAUCAUUUUUUAGACGUCUGUUCAUGGCAGAAUCAUAUGCUCAAUCCUUUGAAACUCUUGAGGUUAUCCCUAAAUUAAUUACUUCACAAGAUAAUGUGAUGUUGGAGAAAAUCCCAUCCAAGGAAGAAGUUAAGUUAGUGGUGUUUUCUAUGGAUGGUGAUAGCUCGGCUGGUCCGGAUGGCUUCUUGGGUAAGUUUUUUACGUUUGCAUGGGACAUUGUGGCUGAGGAUGUAUAUGCGGCAGUUAUUAGUUUUUUUUUGUGGGGAGGUUUUGCCUAGAAGUAUCUCUUCAACUUCAAUAGUGUUGAUUCCAAAGUUGACUUUACACAAUUUCGUCCUAUAAGUUUGUGUAACUUUAUCAACAAGGUGAUCUCAAAGGUUUUAUCGGAUAGAUUGUCUUGUCUCCUUCCUAAGAUUAUUUCGCCUCAGCAAAGUGGAUUUGUCAGAGGAAGGCAAAUUUCAGAUAAUUUUUUGCUGGCUCAAGAGCUGAUUUCUGGAAUUCGGCAGUCUAAUCAGGGGGGGAAUGUGGUUUGAAGUUGGAUAUGGCCAAAGCUUACGACAGAGUCUCAUGGCUUUUUUUGUUGCAAGUACUGCGACGCUUUGGUUUUGGUGAGCGGUGGAUCGAUAUGAUUUGGCGAUUAAUUUCCAAUGUCUGGUUUUCGGUUCUUAUUAAUGGCUCCCCAUGUGGUUUUUUCCAGUCAACUUGGGGACUGCACCAAGGAGAUCCCAUUUCGCCGGCUCUUUUUGUUAUUGGGGAAGAGGUUUUAUCUAGAUUGCUGAAUUCUUUGGUAGGAUAGAGAGGUUUCCUUCCCUUUAAAGUCCCUCUUUCAUGCCCUAUUGUCACGCAUCUAGCUUAUGCAGAUGACGUGAUUAUUUUUUGUAGUGGAGUUAAGCGUACUUUGAAGAAAGUCAUGAGUGUUUUGAAGACUUAUUGUAGUGUAUCUGGUCAGCAACUUAACUGUCAAAAAAGCUGCUUUAUUAAUCAUGAUGCUUUGACUUUACCUCGUAAGCAUGUCAUUUCACAAAUCUCUGGUUUUCACGCCAAGUCACUUCCUCUUAGAUAUCUUGGCUGUACUCUCUACUCAGGGAGAAGGAAAAGCAGUUAUUUUUCAGAUAUCUGCAUUUCAGUUGCUAAGAGAGUUUUGUCUUGGAAGGAGAAGCUUUUGUCGUCUGGAAGGAGGUUAGUGUUACUCAAAAGUGUAUUAUCAUCUUUGCCUAUACAUGUCUUAGCUGCUUCGACUCCUCCGAAGGGUGUUCUCCGCACCCUUGAGAAAGCAUUUGCAAAUUUUCUAUGGGGUACAACUGAAAAAAGGUCUCGGUAUCAUUGGAUUGCAUGUGAUUCAUUGUUAAACCCGUAUGCCGAAGGGGGUGUGGGAGUGAGGGCUUUGACUGAUGUGUUUGAUGCCUUUUCAUUGAAGUUAUGGUGGUCUUUAAGGCAAUGUCAGUCCCUUUGGGCUGAAUUUAUGCACACUAAAUAUUUACAUAAAUUGCAUGCUUGCGAAGCGGAAUUUCAGCCAUUACAAUCGGUAACUUGGAAGAGAUUGGUUACAUAUCAGUCUUUGGCAAAUUUCCAUAUUCAAUGGGUGUUGCAGAAUGGCUUGUUAAACUUUUGGCAUGAGAAUUGGACUGAUACAGGUCCUUUGUGUCAGCAGAUCGAGAUUUUUGGAGAUCACACAGUGGUGGACUUUGUUUUAAAUGGUCACUGGAACAUUCCAAUGCUUCAUCAAUGGCUCCUAGAAAAUAUUGUAUCUACGAUUCUACAAAUAACUCUCUCUGAUGUUUUUUUCUAAUCAACCGGAUACGAUGGUAUGGGAUUUAGAAAUUUCUGGUUCAUUUUCCUUUUCCUCAGCAUAUAAGGUGGUCCGCAACAUUGCUAACAUUGCUAACACGUCAAUCUUUUCAUCUAACAUUUGGGUGACGGCCUUGCCAGUAAAAAUCUCAUUCUUUAUGAUGAGGAUGCUAUCUUGGAGACUGCCGGUGCAGGAUGUGUUGCAACGCUUUGGUGUGUGCGGUCCAUCUCGUUGUGUUUGCUGCCAAAAUCCUGGGUUGGAUUCAAUUGAUCAUGUUUUCUGUAUAGGUGAAGUCCCUCGCCAAGUUUGGCAAUCGUUUCAAGUAGAGAUUGGCGAGUUUUCCACGCCUUCAACGGUAAAGCAUGUAGUCAUUCAAUGGUGGUUACGGCCAGCUAAAAACAUGAAGCUUAAAUUGGUUUAUCAGCUGCUGCCAUCGCUGAUUUGCUGGCAUCUUUGGAAAGCUAGGAAUGCUGCAGUUUGGGAAGGCAAGGUUUUGUCGGUCAUGCAGAUUCAUACUUUUGUUCUUUCUGAUCUCUAUGAUAUUUUCCAAUUACAUUUUCCAGACAUGGGAGUGGGAAGGUACUCGUGGCCAUGUUUUUACUCUUCACUGGUGAGUUGGAAAAAAACAUUUAAGUUCAUCCUGCUUAAGUGGAUCCCUCCAUUCUUGUCGAUAUGUAAACUGAAUACUGAUGGUUGUUCUCUAGGUAAUCCGGGAAGGAGUGGUGGUGGGGGGGUUUUGAGGAAUAGCUCGGGAUGUUUUUGUUAGGUUUUGCGUGUUAUUGGGGGGUCAUGUCGAGUUUACAUUCAGAGCUGAAGGCCUUGUUAUUUGGAGUUAAGCUUUGUGUUAUGUGAGGUUUCUUUUGCUUGUAUUUGGAAUUUGCUUGUAUUUGGAAUCAGAUUCUUUACUUCUAGUCCAAAUGGUUAAGGGGGUUAGUUGAUAUCCAUGGGGUUUGCAACGAGAGCUGGAUCAAUUGCUCACUUUUAGGCAUUUCUUUCAAUCCGUCACUCAUUGUUAUCGUCAAGCGAAUGUGCCUGCAGACCGCUUAUCUAAGGUUGGAACUGAGUUACAGUCCAAUAUAGUGUAUGAUUCAUGGUUGCAAUUGCCACGUUUGAUUCGUGGAGACCUCAAGUUGGAUAGGUUAGGUUAUCCUAAUUUUCGGGUUUACUAAGCAUUUGGAUUUCUGGAAUGGAAUCUAGGACGUCCACAAUCAUUCAAGCGCUGUUGCUGCUGCUAUUGUUUCACUGUUGCUGCUGUUGUUGUUUGGCUCUCCGGUUGAGCAAUUCUCUCUUUUGCUGUUUGGAUGUUUUUGCACCACUGUUUGGCAUCUGCUGAUGUAAUGUGAAAUUUAUUUCUCAAUAAAAGCUAUAAUAUUUUGCAUAAAAAAAAAGACAUCGUCUGAUAAAAAGUUAAAUAUUUUUAAAUGCCAAUAAAUUUUAAAAUUAUAAAUUUAAACAAGUAAAUUCAUCUCAAGUAUACCUACUAGGAAAAAAAUCUUAAAACCUAUGCAAACCACAACCGUAUUAUGAAAUUAAACAAAAUGCAUUGGAAUUUCUAAAAUUAAACAAAAUCUAAUAGAACUACACAAGAAAAUGGCGACUUUGAGUUUGACGGUGAGAAAUAGAGAGAGUUUGGUUAAUCUUUUAGAAAUCAAAGUUGGGAACAAAAGAUUCGAUAGCUAAGUUUUAUGUUUAAAACUUUAGGUUCAUUUUUUAAAAAAAAAAGAUGAGAAAAAUGAAAAUCUGCUAUUCAUGGAUCGAUCCAGUUUGAUUGGUUCGAUCGUUUUUUUUGUGAUUUUGACCGAUUUUUAUGAUAAAUCAACACUAGUAGUGAACCGGACUUGAGACUUGGAUGGUUAGCGGUCUGACCAAUUGAACCGGCCAGUCCGAUCUGGUUUUCAAAACUUGCUCCAUUUGAAUUAGUUGUUUUUCAAAGUGUUUUUGAAAUAUUUUACUAUAGUAAUGUAUGCAAAAAAAAUUUAUUGUAGAUGUUUUUAAUGAUAUUUCUGAAAAUAUAUUUUAGAAUAUUUUUAAAAUUUAAAAUUUUAAUGGGGUAUUUUUAAAAUUUUAUAAAACCUUACAACCACCUACCACUCACACGGGAUCCUCAGUGCCACUUCUAUAUUUAUGCCAAGUGUCCUGUUUAUUUAAAUUUCUUCUACUAUCACGUGAUAUGUGGGAUUGACACUCGAUCUAGCACCGAGUAAAGGCACAGAAGAUCCCAAUUGCCUAUCACUACCCCUUCCCUCCUCCUCCCCCUCCUUCCUCUUCCCCUUCCUUUUCUCCUCUCUUUCUUCCUCCUCCCUCGUCCUCUCCUCCCAAUUGACUUGUUCAAAGAGAUGAAAUGGCAACCUCCUAUUUUACCAAAUGUUGUAUUUUUGACAUAUAAACUAAAUAAACAAUACAACAAAACUUGGUUUAACAGAAACCCUAACGGGGUAGAAGACGUUUACUGCCAGUAUCUGGAUACAUUUCUUCUGCCAGGAUGCUAGGCAUAGGAUUCUUAUAGUGGCAUAUUACCGAAAAUUUGCCUUUUGAAUGAGGAAAAUUGAAUCAUUUUUUUCUCAUGUGUUCUGAAUUUUUACAGGAGUUCGACUUUAUAGAACUCUUUGUUAGAUUAUUAAGGUAAAGUGAUUCGCUCACUCUAUUAUUCUUGUCAUGCUCGAAUAUUGCUCAGUUUUGUACGCUUCCUACAUAUGGUAAUUACACGGUAAAAACAAAAAAAAAAGAAAGAAACAGAAAACGCACUCAACGCUGCUGACUUUCAUUUACCUAAAUCACAGAAUACUUGCUUGAAAGAAGAACGGCGUACAUUACAUAUCAGAUAUUUCGACGCAAACAAAGAAAAUGGAGAAAAACAGACCAGCUAGCUAUAUGAGAUAUAUGUCCGUACACGCAUCAAGAGGGGGCUUCCAUGGACAUUAGUUAUUUGAUUUUGAUACACACAAAUUCAGUGUCUAAGGUGGGACCAACACCAUUACUAUGGCACGUACAAAAGAAGCGAUCCAAGCUUUCACCAUGAAUCUUUCAAACUGGUUACUCAUCCGCUGGCUUUUCGUCCUUCGACUAAGCUUGAUAAAAAAGAAAGGAUUCUGGCUUUGCCUCAAAAUCUUUAACAAGAGGUUUCUCCUCUUUCGAUUUAGCAUCAUCACCAUGGUAAAAGAGAAAGGACCCAGACUUUGAGUCAAAGUCUUUCACAAGGUGCCUUUCCUCCUUAUCCUCCUUUGAUUUAGUGUCAUCACUAUAAUAAAAAAAAAGGGAAAGAUUCAGGUUUUGAUUCGAAAUCAUUCACAAGCGGUUUCUCUUUUUUAGACUUAGCAUUGUUGCCAUGGUAAAAGAGAAAGGAUUCGGGCUUUGCUUAUAAUCUUUAACAAAUGGUUUCUCCUCGUUAGAUUUAGCAUCGUUGCCAUGAUAAAAUAGAAAGGAUCCAUACUUUGCCUCAAAGUCUUUCAUGAGAGGUUUCUCCUCCUUGGCAUCCUUGCCAUCAUAAAUGACGGGUAUUUUACAUAUAUACAAGUUAAAAAAUACCGAAUUACACCCGUUCACUGCAAGUAUACAGGUCAACUAGUAGUUUAGGGUAUAUAUCGAGUCGAUCCCACAGGGAAGAGUGAACAAUUAUCGAUAUUACUAAAGCUUCUCUAUUAUUUAGACUAUCAAUGAAUCAUAACAAAUUUAACCUACUGAAAUUAUACAAAAUAACAAAUGAAAGCUCCUUGGGUUGUGGUAUCCCUAACUACUCAUGCAAGUGCUAUAUUUGGAUCAUUGAGUACUACAUCUAGGCUAGUUAUGGUGUAAUUUCCUUAUGCAUUUGAAUCCUACUUUCGUAGUGAAUCAACUAUACUUAUAACUAAUCCAUACCUAUUCUCAUGGUUAUGAAAUUAGCUACAAGUUCAUUUAUUCAAUGAAAUUACAUGAAAUGAAUCACUAAAACCACAUAAGUGCACCUCUACUUUCGUGAGUGUACUCCCUAUGUUUAGCACUUCUUGAACCAGUGUUAAAUCUCAAUUUUCAUUGCAGAAACAACACCUUAGAUAAUCACAAUUAAUGGUACCAGAUUAAUCAUGAUUUAAAGAGGCAAAGUGCUAAAUAACUUGCUCAAAUCGUAGCAAUCAAAUAACCAAACAAUUAACACUAACAAUCAUAGAAAGUUCAACCAAACCCAAGGCUUAAACUUUAAACACACAUAUUGAACACAAAAUCCAGAACUUGUAUAUUAACUAAACUUGGAAUCAAAUACAAAAGAUAAAGAGUUUGGAAGGAAUACAACCCUUGUCAUAUGAGCUUUCUUCCUUGCCUUCUUCAUCCUCCAUCUUCAUCCUAAUCUAGAUAAUAAACAAGAAUGGAAAAGCUACACUACUCUAUACUAAGCUAAACUAACACUAGGGAGAUGAAAGAGCUACAUUUCUGCAGCUUCAAGCUUUCUCCCGUAGCUCACUCUCUAUUUUUCUGCUAUGGACUCCAAUCUCUUCCUCCUUUUUCUCUUGCAAUGAAUUUGGCUAUUUAAUGAUGAAAGUUGGUCAAGAAAUGAGGCCUCCACCUUCCUUUUACAGCUGGGAAUGUUUCUCACAUGUCUAGCAUCGCAUGUGAGUUGGUGGGACUGAAAUUGAGUUUUACGCGUACAGAGCAGCCUUUUCUGACCACAAUCCGACCAUAAAUCCGGCCAAAUUCCUGCCGGAUUGCUACAGUAAUUUUGGAUGCUACAGUGAUCCGAGCUGCUACAGUACUCGGAUCCGUAUGGAUCCGAGCUCGGUUCCACUUACCCAGAAACAGCCGAGGGUUCGGAUGAAUAGUGGAUCCGAGUGCGGAUCACUUGCUCUGUUUUUUUGCCCAACUUCAACCGAUCUUUUCUUGAUGUUAGAAGCUGUACCAGCUCAUGUCUAAAACAUAAAAGUUGUAGCCUUUUGAGUUAUCUUUCCAAUGCAUCAAGAAUCACCUCAUUUGGAUCUGUGUAGGCUGAGAUAUGACGGAAAUACCCUUGCCUGCUUCAUGCCUUGUUCCAGUUUCGACCAAAUGAAAUUGGCUACUGUACUUCGGAUUUUUGACUUGGAAAACCUUCAAACUGGAUUCAGAUGUCUUCACCAAAGUUGUAGAUCUAUCUCUUAUCUUCAAAUGGGUUCAAGAAUCAUCCCAAUCCGAUCAUUGUAACUCAAGUUAUAGCCGAAAUACGAAAAUGUGUCAAAACUGUCAAAAUACACAAAAUCCAAGUAAAAAGUGAUAAAAACCUCAUUUAACCACUUAAAAGCAUUUUUCACCAAUUAUAGCCAAAAUGAUUCAUAUUCUUCCAAUAAUAUAACCAAAGUGACUAAAAAUAAUAUAAAAUGUCAUACAAUUAUUACGUAAAUUAGUCACUUAUCAAACUCCCCCACACUUAAAUCAUUGCUUGUCCUCAAGCAAUUCACACAUAAUCAAAUGCAAUGAUUCAAGAGGUGAAAUAAUAUAUGCACUUUGUCCAAUUUAAUUCCUCAAGACUUGGAAAAUAAUCAUUAUACAAUUAUUCAAUUUACACUAAAUACUCAUAAUAUCAAGUAAAGGAAAGAUAAUUAUACCCUAAAUUCAACAAGUUAAACUUAAUCUCUUACCCUAACUUAAUUUUACAAAUAAGCAAAUCACAUAGUCAAUUUAUAGCUUUCCUCCUCCUAUAAUCAUCUUUUUCUCAAAAUUCUAUAACUAAGAGGGAUUUAUUCACACAAAUUUUACUUAAAUAGUGAGAAUGCCUUUUUACGCGAAAAUCGACACUUUUAGGUGAAGAUCUCCGGUUACUCAACAUUUCACUUAUUCAAGUUGCUAUGCAUACUCUUAAUUCAAGUACCUUUUUACGCGAAUGUCGACAUUUGUUGAUGCCAACCCCCGGUUACUCGGUACAUGAAUCAUUGGAGUAGAACAAUUUUUAUUUACUUUCUUUUUUUUUCUUUUUUUUUACUUUUUUUUUCUUUUUCAGAAAUAAAGGACAAUAAAUAGAUAACCCCUCUUAGAAAAUAUAUAAGAAUAAUCAAAGGAGGAAUAUAACCUUUAUCGACUAUAUCAAUCACUUACUUGCAAAAUUAAGUAAAGAGAAGAAAUCUCAUUAAACAUGUAAAAUUAUAGGCAUAAUUUUCCUCACUUUACCAAAUAUACUUUCUAAAAUGUAAAUAUUCUAAUUGCAUAAUAUUAUUUCCAAGUUAAAUGAGGACUAAACCUUCCAAAAUACAUAUAACAUUUCAACAAUUGGAAGAAUAAGGUUGGAUCAAUUAGCCCUUUUUGAAUGAAAAUGCAAAAUUUGAAGAACUUUUGGGCCAUAGUGAAAUAUUGGAAAAGAUUUUAGAAAAAAUUUCACAGAGUUUCUCCUUAUAAAUGGAUGAAAACUCCCUGCCAACAAACCCAAUUUCAAGCAAAUUAUCCACAUGGCAAACAUUUCAAACACAAUUCCAACAUUUCUAAGCAUUUAAAUCCACAAAAUAUCAUCACAUAGGCUUAAAAUGCAAGUUCAAAUAUUUUCCUCCCCCACACUUAAACUUCACAUUGUCCUCAAUGUGAGAAAAGGAAAAUAAAUAAAGAGUAAAAGAAAAUACUGCUCAAUUGAACUUGCGCAAUCCGAAUCCAUGUCCAAGUGAUGAAUUUCCAACUGUAUUUAAGAAAGAGUGGAGAGUUCACUUAUUGCACCCUGAAAAAGACAAAAUAAAAACAAAUAAAUUUCUUAAAAAUAAAAGGUUGCAAUCAACAAAAUCAUUCAAUUUAAGGAAAAAGGAAAAAUGAUCAAGCAUGUGGAACCAUACAAUGUUCAAGGGAUAAAAACAUGAAAUGAGCUAAUCUUUGCUAAUCAAAUAUAUGCAUUAGUAUCCAAAGCAAAGGGAAGCUAAUUUCACACAAAAAAUCCACAAUCAUGAACAAAAUAAGUUCCAUUUAUACAUUUUGUCAUCAAUGAUCAAAUCCCUUCAAGUACAAAAGUAAUCUCAAAAUGGAGGCAAACACACCAAACCAAAAUAUAAAUGACCUUCGUGAAAAUUCAUGAAAUACUAAAAACUAUUGAACCACAAAAAUUAUAAGUGCAUUUAUGAAUUUCAUCAAUUAAGGCCAUCUUCAAUUCACAUCUUCUUUUAGAAUUACCUAAGAAUUCAAGAAAUCAUUCAAUCAAGCACCUUUUCAUUCAUUAGGUAAUCUAAAUUACUCACAUAACUACCAAAAACUCCCACUAAACUAAUUAAAAUGCUACAUUGGCCACUUAAUAUGCAACUUCGUCAUCAAGCCAAAUUAAGCAUAAAACUAGCAAGAAUUCACCAAUUAAGUACAAUAAAUGCAAAUCACAAAAUUUAUUCAUCACUAACAAUCACCAAUAGCAUCAAUAAGCUCAAAUAAAUGCACCUAACUUCACAUAUUAAAAAUUGCCUAAAAAUAGAAAAUAUUCAAUCAUGGCAAAAUUCAAAUAACAAAGUUAGGUGAAGAUUUGUUACCUCAAGGUGGUUUGGUGAUGUUUAGAGAUGAAUAUGAUGUGAAAACCCCCAAGAAACUUACUCCAAUUUGACCUCAAUUUAGUGAUUCAAGAAAGUACAAUCCUAACUAUUAGUAAGGUUGAAACCACUUUAGAGUUGUUUUUUGAAAAAAUAUGAACUAUGAAAUUCACUCUAGAGGAUAGGAGAAAGUGAUUUGGUGAAGGUUAUUUGAAGAUUAAAUGGUGAAAAGUGGUGUUUUAGUGAGUGAUGUGUGUUUGAGGUGUUAGUGUGUGAGUUGGGUUGAAGAAGAGAGGAAGAAGAAGCUGAGGAAGAAGAAGAAGAGAGAAAGUGCGCGGAUUCCCCUCUUGUGCGCAAAAGUGGCCAGAAUCCGGCCAGUUUCCGGCCGGAUUCUUGGCCGGAUUCUGCUGCGAAAAAUUUUCUGAUUGCAGAAGUGGAUCCGAGGCCUCGGAUCCAUUGAAUCUGCACUUAUUGCAGAAUUUUUGCAAUUUUCAGUUUGACCCCAAUUCUUCAAAAUACACCCUAGAUCAUUUCUAUGUCAAAAUAAUCGUUCACGCACAUGUAAAAUGUUCUAAACAUGCAUUCUAAACCUCUUUAAUGCAUCAAAAAUCACAAUUACUGAAUUUGAGGUAUUGAGAUCUUUGAUCAAACUUCGCCUUUUUCACCUCAUUUGGUCACUUUUGCAUCUUUUUCCAAAACCUACAAAUGAAAAAAUAACAAAAUAACUCAAACUCAUACUUUAAACAUAAAAUCACUCCAAAGUAACACCAACUUAAACAAGCAUUGGGUUGCUUCCCAAUAAGCGCUUCUUUAAAGUCAAUAGCUUGACUAUUUCUCCUCAUUUUUCAAGGAGGUUUAGUUAACGAAUAAUCCACCAUUUUAGGCCUUGGUGGAUCAUUAAAUGGUGACUUUAUAGCCAAAGCCACAUGAUCUAAUGAUGUGAGAAAUGAAAGUGACUUACCUAUCCCAAAUGUUUCAUAGAUAUUACCUUGAAUAUACACCACUUGAGAACUUACCAAAGGAAAUGUCAUGAGAGUAUCUUGGGCAGGAAUACCUUUAGAACCUAUACUUUCACUGCACUCCUCAAGAGGGGUGAAAAAUGAGUCAUUAAAACUCACCUCUUGAGGCUCAAAGUUAGUUUCAAAGGUAUUAUCAUGUGAAAUGGAUAUUUGCUCAUUGAAAUAUAAUUGAGAUUCAUCAUUUUCAUCCAAAUGCAAUCCAUUUUCACAUACAACAUUUCCACCAUUCAUGCUAGGAUCAUUUUGCAAAUUAUUAGAAGAAAUAACUUCACACAAUACAUUCAAUUGCUCAUGUAUAUCACCAAAGUGAGAAGCUAAUUCAUCUAACCUUUCUUCAAUCCUAUCAAAACGGUCAGAAGUUGCAUUUGCUAACUUUUCUAUUGCUGAAUCAAAUUGAUUAGAAUAAUUUUUUGAAGCUAGCUCCCAAAAUGCAUUAGAAUCAUUAGCUAAUGGUUCACUUUCUAACUCCCAAGGCAGAGGUGCAUUAGCUAACUUCUCUAUUGCCAACUCCCAAGAUGGUUUUGAUUCACAUUGGACACUUUCAAGUUGGUAAUCAUAAAAAUUUUCAAAAUCACUAUAUGCACAUUGAUUAUUCCAACCAUAAGCAGGAGAAUUGCUCCAAUUAGCACUAUAUUGAUCAAAACAAGGAUUGUAAUGCUCUAAUUCAUCAUAAUAAUCCACAUUUUGUGCUUGCAUACAUGUAUUAGUAGCAUGAUAACCUCCACACAAGUCACAAAUCACAUGAUAAGAAUUAAAAGCAUUAGCAUUCCUCCCUUGCUCAAUUUCAUGCAUCAUGGUGUCCAUUUGAACUUGUAACUUAAUUACAUCAAAUUUUGCCUUUAAGCACCUUAAACCAUCUUCAAAAGACAUACAUUCAGUAAAUUCUUGGUUACCUCUGUUGAAGGAGCUUUGCACUUGGUAACCAUCCAUUGCCAAACCUCCAUUUCUCAAGCAUUGUCCUCCCCUGUUUUCUACUCUCCUUGAUCCCCUAAACAUGCUCUCAAAGUAGCUCAAAAACAAGUUUAGUCAAGAAGAAUAGAUGACUUUAAACAUACAAAAACAAGACAUUAAACAUAAAAGACUCAACAAGACUCAAAACAAACAAGACACUUAACCAACAAAAACAAGUGAAAUUGUCUAAAUUAAUAAAGUUGCUUUUCACACCGAUAUUGCCAAAUCUUCCCCGGCAACGGCGCCAAAAACUUGACGGGUAUUUUACAUACGUGCAAGCUAAAAAAUACCGAAUUACACCCGUUCACUGCAAGUAUACAGAUCAACUAGUAGUUUAGGGUAUAUAUCGGGUCGAUCCCACAGGGAAGAGUGAACAAUUACCGGUAUUACUAAAGCUUCUCUAUUAUUUAGACUAUCAAUUAAUGAUAAGAAAUUUAACCUACUGCACUUAUACAAGAAAUUAACAAAUGAAAGCUCCUUAGGUUGUGGUAUCCCUAACUACUCAUGCAAGUGUUAUAUUUGGAUCAUUGAGUACUACAUCUAGGCUAGUUAUGGUGUAAUUUCCUUAUGCAUUUGAAUCCUACUUUCGUAGUGAAUCAAUUAUACUUAUAACUAAUCCAUACCUAUUCUCAUGGUUAUGAAAUUAGCUACAAGUUCAUUUCUUCAAUGAAAUUACAUGAAAUGAAUCACUAAAAACCACAUAAGUGCACCUCUACUUUCGUGAGUGUACUCCCUAUGUUUAGCACUUCUUGAACUAGUGUUAAAUCUCAAUUUUCAUUGCAGAAACAACACCUUAGAUAAUCACAAUUAAUGGUACCAGAUUAAUCAUGAUUUCAAGAGCUAAAGUGCUAAAUAACUUGCUCAAAUCAUGGCAGUCAAAUAACCAAAUAAUAAACACUAACAAUUAUAGAAAGUUCAACCAAACCCAAGGUAUAAACUUUAGAAACACAUAAUGAACACAAAAUCCAGAACUUGUAUAUUAACUAAACUUGGAAUCAAAUACAAAAGAUAAAGAGUUUGGAAGGAAUACAACCCUUGUCACAUGAGCUUUCUUCCUUGCCUUCUUCAUCCUCCAUCUUCAUCCUAAUCUAGAUAAUAAACAAGAAUGGAAAAGCUACACUACUCUAUACUAAGCUAAACUAACACUAGAGAGAUGAAAGAGCUACAUUUCUGCAGUUUCAAGCUUUCUCCCGUAGCUCACUCUCUAUUCUUUUGCUAUGGAUUCCCAAUCUCUUCCUCCUUUUCUCUUGCAAUGAAUUCGGCUAUUUAAUGAUGAAAGUUGGUCAAGAAAUGAGGUCUCCACCUUCCUUUUACAGCUGGGAAUGUUUCUCACAUGCCUAGCAUCGCAUGUGAGUUGGUGGGAUUGAAAUUGAGUUUUACGCGUACAGAGCAGCCUUUUCUGACCACAAUCCGGCCAUAAAUCCGGCUAUAAAUCCGGCCAAAUUCCGGCCGGAUUGCUACAGUAAAUUUGGGCUGCUACAGUGAUCCGAGCUGCUACAGUACUCGGAUCCGUAUGGAUCCGAACUCGGUUCCACUUACCCAGAAACAGCCGAGGGUUCGGAUGAAUAGUGGAUCCGAGUGCGGAUCACUUGCUUUGUUUUUCUGCCCAACUUCAACCGAUCUUUUCUUGAUGUUAGAAGCUGAACCAGCUCAUGUCUAAAACACAAAGGUUGUAGCCUUUUGAGUUAUAUUUCCAAUGCAUCAAGAAUCACCUCAUUUGGAUCUGUGUAGGCUGAGAUAUGACCGAAAUACCCUUGCCUGCUUCAUGCCUUGUUCCAGUUUCGACUAAAUGAAAUUGGCUGCUGUACUUUGGCUUUUUGACUUGGAAAACCUUCAAACUGGAUUCAGAUGUCUUCACCAAAGUUGUAGAUCUAUCUCUUAUCUUCAAAUGGGUUCAAGAAUCAUCCCAAUCCGAUCAUUGUAACUCAAGUUAUAGCCGAAAUACGAAAAUGUGUCAAAACUGUCAAAAUACACAAAAUCCAAGUAAAAAGUGAUAAAAGCCUCAUUUAACCACUUAAAAGCAUUUUUCACCAAUUAUAGCCAAAAUGAUUCAUAUUCUUCCAAUAAUAUAACCAAAGUGACUAAAAAUAAUAUAAAAUGUCAUACAAUUAUUACGUAAAUUAGUCACUUAUCAAUAAAAUAGAAAGGAUCCAGGCUUUCCGUCGAAAUCUUUCUCAAGUGGUUUCUCCUCCUUAGACUCUGAAAUCUUUCUCAAGUGGUUUCUUUUCCUUAAUAUCAGUGCCAUGAUAAAAGAGAAAGGAUCCAGACUUUUCCUCAAAGUCUUUCAUAAGAGCUUCUCCUCCUUAGACUUAGUAUCGUUGCCAUGAUAAAAGAGAAAGGAUCCAGGCUUCAAGUCAAAGUUCUUCACAAGGUGCUUUUCAUCCUUUUCCUCCUUUGAUUUAGUGUCAUCAGUAUGAUAAAAAAAGGAAGGAUCCAGGUUUCGAAUCAAAAUCUUGCACAAAGGUUUCUACUCAUAGUCCGUAGGGUCCUUCCUUGCUUCCGUGAUGCAUGCAAACUGCACAGUAGCGCAAAUAACAACAUAAAAUUAGAAACCAGAGUCAAUAUGGUAGCACACUAAAAGGUGACCCCUCGUAUGGAAAGAUAAUAAAUGUCGAAAGACAACUAGCUUAACUGGUUGGAAUAUUAAUUAGGUGUUCUAAAAUUCUUGAUUUUACUUUUAAGUCCUCGUCAGACGAAUUCCUCUAACUAAGAAAGUAAAUAUUGUAAAACAAUGCCAAAACUCAAGUUACAAUGAAGUUUAAGUAUCGCACUCACAUUGGGAAUAUUUGGAAGUCAAGCAUUUAUGAUAAUAGAACUAAAGAGCCAUCUAAAGAGCUUCUAUUCCCUUAGUGGUGAUGGUUAGAGCUAGAUGAGGAUAAACGUGCAGAAAGGAAGAAGAAUGUUUUUUCUCAGGUAGGCUUAAUUAAUUGACGGGUUUAAUAUUUCCUAUACAGUCGAGCAAUUAUCUCUUAUUGAUAAGUGACUAAUUUACGUAAUAAUUGUAUGACAUUUUAUAUUAUUUUUAAUCACUUUGGGUAUAUUAUUGAAAGAAAAUGAAUCAUUUUGGCUAUAAUUGGUGAAAAAUGCUUUUUAAGUGGUUAAAUGAAGUUUUUAUCACUUUUCACUUCACCUAAAAGUGUCGAUUUUCGCGUCAAAAGGCAUUUUCACUAUUUAAAUAAAAUUAGUGUGAUUAAAUCGCUCUUAGUUGUAAAAUAAUAAUAAAAAAAAAAAGGGAUGAUUAUAGGAGGAGGAAUGCUAUAAAUUGACUAUGUGAUUUGCUUAUUUGUGAAAUUAGGUUAGGGUGAGAGAUUAAAUUUAACUUGUUAAAUUAGGGUAUAAUUAUCUUUCCUUUACUUGAUGUUAUGAGUAUUUAGUGUAAUUUGAACAAUUGUAUAAUGAUUAUUUUUCAAGUCUUGAGGAAUUAAAUUUGACAAAAGUGCGUAUAUUGUUUCACCUCUUGAAUCAUUGUAGUUGAUUAUGUGUGGAUUGCUUGAGAACAAGCAAUGAUUUAAGUGUGGGAGAGUUUGAUAAGUGACUAAUUUACAUAAUAAUUGUAUAACAUUUUAUAUUAUUUUUAGUCACUUUGGGUAUAUUAUUGAAAGAAAAUGAAUUAUUUUUGCUAUAAUUGGUGAAAAAUGCUUUUAAGUGGUUAAAUGAGGUUUUUAUCACUUUUUACUUGGAUUUUGUGUAUUUUGACAGUUUUGACACAUUUUCGUAUUUCGGCUAUAACUUGAGCUAUAGUGAUCGGAUUGAGAUGAUUCUUGAACCAAUUUGAAGAUAAGAGAUAGAUCUACAACUUUGGUGAAGACAUAUGAAUCCGGUUUGAAGGUUUUCUAGGUCAAAAAGCCGAAUUACAGUAGCUAAUUUCUAUUGGUCGAUGCUGAAACAGGGCAAUUAGCAGUCAAGGGUAUUUCUAUCAUUUAUCAGCUUACACAGAUCCAAAUGAGGUGAUUCUUGAUGCAUUGGAAAGCUAACUCAAGAGCUAAAUCAGUAUUUAUCAUCAAGAAAAGUUCAGUUGAAGUUGACACAAAAUCGGAGCAGAGCUGGAAAUUGAACAAAAGUGCACAAAAUGUCACUGUAGCAAUCCGGCUGGAACUUGGCCGGAUUGUGGUCAGAGAAGGCUGCUCUUUACGUGGAAAACUUAUUUUAGCCUUCAAUAAGUCACAUGCAAUGCCAGACAUGUGAGAACUACUUUGCAGCUGUAAAAGGGUGGUGUAGGCCUCAUUUUCUUGACUUCUUUCAUCUUUAUAUAGCCAAAACUUGCAAGUUUGAAGGGAGAAUAGAGAGACAUACGGGAGACAGCUUGGAGUGCAGAAAUGUAGCUCUUGCAUUUUCUGAGUAUUAGGUUAGCUUAGUGUAGACUAGUAUAGUUCAUCCAUUCUUGUAUGUUGGCUAGAUUAGGACGAAGAUGGGGAUGAAGAAAGACGAGUUGAAGCUCAAGUGACAUGGGUUAUCUCUUCUCCAACUCUUUAUCUUUUGUACUUGAUUCUAAGUUCAGUUAAUAUGCAAGUUCUGGAUUUUGUGUUUAUUAUGUGUUUUUAAAGUUUAUGCCUUGGGUUUGGUUGAACUUUCUAUGAUUGUUAGUAUUUAUUAUUUGGUUAUUUGAUUGCUAUGAUUUGAGCAAGUUAUUUAGCACUUUAGCUCUUUCAAUCAUGAUUAAUUUGGUACCAUUAACUGUGAUUAUCUAAGGUGUUGUUUCUGCAAUGAAAAUUGAGAUUUAACACUGGUUCAAGAAGUGCUAAACAUAGGGAGUACACUCACGAGAGUAGAGGUGCACCUAUGUGGUUUUAGUGAUUCAUUUCAUGUCAUUUCAUUGAAGAAAUGAACUUGUAGCUAAUUUCAUAGCCAUGAGAAUAGGUAUGGAUUAGUUAUAAGUAUAGUUGAUUCACUACGAAAGUAGGUUUUAUAUGCAUAAGGAAAUUACACCAUAACUAGCCUAGAUAGUAGUUCUCAAUGAUCCAAAAAUAGCACUUGCAUGAGUAGUUAGGGAUACCAUAACCUAAGGAGCUUUCAUUUGUUAUUUUGCAUAAGUUCAGUAGGUUUCAUUUCUUGUAAUACAUUGAUAGUCUAAAUAAUAGAGAAGCUUUAGUAGUGCCGAUAAUUGCAAUCUUCCUUGUGGGAUCGACCCUUAAUACCCUAUACUCGCUCACGAUUCGUAUACUUGCGAUAAACUGCAUGUGGGGUAUUUAGGAGUUUAUAAAUAUAAAACUUGAUUAGGAUGAGCUUAAUGUUAUAUGUAUACCCUACGCCCGUCACUUAUGAACUACUACUUCAAGUAGAGUAUUGAUGUUUGAGAAACCUUUGCAGGGCAAUUGAAAAGAAUGCGAUGCGAGCGAUAGAUGAAGCCAUGUCCUGCCUUUGAACACACUCGAACUGUAACUUUGGUGGCGUAAACAUUGUUGGGGGACACGGCUUUUUAUACAGGAUGAUAGCCAACUGAAGCUAGCAUGAUUUUCCCCAGUCAUCCGUCCAUGUAAUAAUACAUAAAUAUUGUUUUCAAUAUUCAGGUAAACGUGAAAUUCUUAAUUCAACUUUUAAACCUUCUCCUUUUUUUCAUUCUUCUUACUAGAGAAGUCCCCUUAAACAAACGAAAAAAAAAUUAAUGAACUUUUUGGAAGUUUACAGGGCAGCAUUUAAGUAUUAAUGCGUAUCGUGUUUUAUUCAAUCACAUUAUCUUGCAUUUGUCAUCACCAUCAUUCAAUCAUGAUAAGUGACUAAUUUAUGUAAUAAUUGAAUGAUAUUUUAUGUAAUUUUUAGUCACUUUGGUUAUAUUAUUAGAAAAAAAUGAAUCAUUUUGACUAUAAUUGCUGAAAAAAUGUUCUUAAGUGAUUAAAUAUGGUUUUGCUCACUUUUUACUUAUAUUUUGUGCAUUUUUGAUAGUUUUGACACAUUUUCGUAUUUCAACUAUAACUUGAGCUACAGUGAUCGGAUUGAGAUGAUUCUUGAACCAAUUUAAAGGACCUACAACUUUGGUGAAGACAUCGAAAUCCAGUUCUAAAGUUUUCCAGGUCAAAAAGCUGAAUUACAUUAACCAAUUUCUAUUGGUCGAAGCUGAAACAGAGUAUUGUGCAGUCAAGGGUAUUUCAGUCAUUUCUCAGCCUACACAAAUCCAAAUGAGGUGAUUCUUGAUGCAUUGGAAAGCUAACUCAAAGAGAUACAAGUUUUAUGUUUUGGUCAAGAGUUAAAUCAGCUUCUAUGAUCAAGAAAAGUUCAGUUGAAAUUGAGGCAAAAUCGGAGCAGAGCUGGAAAUUGCACAAAAGGUCACUGUAGCAAUCCGGCCGGAACUUGGCCGGAUUGUGGUCAGAAAAGGCUGUUCUCUACGCAGACAACUUGUUUUCAACUCAAAAAAGUCAUAGCUAAUGCUAGACAUGUGAGAACCACUUUGCAACUGUAAAAGGGAGGUGAAAACCUCAUUCCUUGACCACCUUUGUCUUGAAAUAGCCAAAAACUUGCAAGAUUGAAGGGGAGAGACAUAUGGGAGAAAGCUUGGAGUCUGCAGAAAUAUAGCUCUUCCAUUUUCUGAGUGUUAGGUUAGUAUAGUAUAGGAUAGUUAGCUAGUUAGUUCAUCCAUCUUGUUUAUUAGCUAGAUGAAGAAGAGGUUGAAGGAUGAAGAAGGCAAGGAAAGAGCUCAUGUGACAAGGGUUGCUUUUCCUUUCCAACUCUUUAUCUUUUGUACUUGAUUCCAAGUUUAAUUAAGAUACAAGUUAUGGAUUUAUAUGUUAUUAUGUGUUUAUAAAGUUUAUGCCUUAGGUUUGGUUGAACUUUCUAUGAUUGUUAGUGUUUAUUAUUUGGUUAUUUGAAGUUAUGAUUUGAGCAAGUUAUUUAGCACUUUAACUCUUUAAAAUCAUAAUUAAUCUGGUACCAUUAAUUGUGAUUAUCUAAGGUGUUGUUUCUGCAAUGAAAAUUGAGAUUUAACACUGGUUCAAGAAGUGCUAAACAUAGGGAGUACACUCACGAGAGUAGAGGUACACCUAUGUGGUUUUAGUGAUUCAUUUCAUGUAAUUUCAUUGAAGAAAUGAACUUGUAGCUAAUUUCAUAGCCAUGAAAAUAGGUAUGGAUUAGUUAUAAGUAUAGUUAAUUCACUACGAAAGUAGGUUUUAUAUGCAUAAGGAAAUUACACCAUAACUAGCCUAGAUAGUAGUUCUCAAUGAUCCAAAAAUAGCACUUGUAUAAGUAGUUAGGGAUACUAUAACCUAAGGAGCUUUCAUUUGAUAUAUUCUUGUAUAAGUUUUGUAGGUUUUACUUGUUAUAAUUCAUUGAUAGUCUAAAUAAUAGAGAAGUUUUAGUAACACCGAUAAUUGUUUAAUCUUUCUCGUAGGAUCGAUCUGAUAUAUACCCUAAACUACUAGUUGACCUGUAUACUUGCAGUGAAAUGGGUGUAUUUCGAAUUUUUUAACUCUUACGUGUAACAAAAACCCGUCAAAUCAUAACGGGUUCUCUAAUAUGUUCGCAAGCAGAAUUCUCUUUGCCGGACUAAAUGGGUGUGUUUUAUAAGCCAUGGGAAUAUUGACGUGUUUGCUCAUCAUAGCAUGAAUUGAGAGUACUUAUACGUUUGAUAUUGGUCGUGCACUAAAAGUAGUAAUUCUUCUUAGAGACAUUACUCUGAAGGAAGAAUGUGCUCUUUGCUAGAAAUGCCUAAAUUUAGACGACUUUUAAGAAAACAACUGUUUUUAUUUUAUUUUUUUAUUUUUUUGAAUAAGCUUACGGGAAUUUAGCGCCAUUAGGUGCCCAUAACUAUAGGUGGCAAAUCAACUCAUUUAACUAAAUGUACCCAUACCCGCCCAUGAAUAUCUUAAAUUUUUGUAUAUGGGUAUAAAUGAGUUACCCAAUAAUACCCAUUUAGUAAAUGGGUAUCAUUGGGUAACCCAUCAAACCCAAUUAACCCAUUUAAAUUUUUCUUCUCCCAAGUCACCUCUCUUCCCCCACCCUUUUUUUUUUCAAAAUUUUCAUUUUGUCAAGAUGUUAACUACUUUUGUUUCAUUUUUAUUAUUAUUUGUUGGUUUUAUCUUAUCAUUUUAUUUUCUCUUAAUUUGUUAACUUGCUCAUUUUUCAGCAUUACCAAUUUAUGAUAAGUUUUAACCUCUUUUCUUAUCUUUUCAAAAUGAAAUUUUAAAUUUAUAUAUGAAAAAAAUGUUUAAGGGUUCAAAAUUUUUGGAUUAACUUUUAUAGUACCUAGUUCAAAUUUUUAUAUUCUUAUUAUUCAAUUAUUAAAUAAUAUGUAAUUUUGUGACAUAGAGUAUGGAUGGAAAAAAAUUGGUAAUUAGGCUUAUUGAGCAUUAUAAGUAAAUAUUUAAAACUAAUGAUGGGUCCAAAGAGCGGUAUAAAUUGAUAACUUAAUUUACAAAAAUGAAUUUACAAAAAAAAUAAAAUAAAUGGGCUAUAAAUGGGUAUUUGGGUUACCCAAUUCAUUUUUUGAUUUACCCAUUUAUACCCAUCUAAUUAAAUGGGUAUAAAUGGAUUGACUCACUUAUACCUAUUAUCCAUUUUACCCAACCUAAACCCGUUCAAAUCACCCAUUUUGACACCUCUACCCAUAACUGAUGCUUCAGCAAUUGAAAUGUUGUUUGGGUGGUUAUGUCCAUCUGAUUGAUUUUAAAAUUCGGGCUGGACCGAAUGGUCUAAUCACUUGAACCAAUACAGUUCGAGUUAUUCUUCCUUUUUUUAAAUUUUAUCCACCACAUUUUUUGGACCGUUUUUUUUUCAUAGUUUUUUGAGCUGUCGUAUCACUCAUGUUCUCUUGACCUGAGUUUGAUACUUAAAAAUUUUAAUUGCGCCAUGAUCUUAUGAGAAUAAAAAAUCAAUUACAUAUGCAUUUAAAAAUGGGCCAGAAAAUGUAAAACAGUCUACAAAAAGAGAAGCAACAAAAAAAACUCGGAUUUUUGGUUCAAAUUAAUGAUGCCACGAUGAGAAUAACAUAUCAAUUAGAUAUAAAUUUAAAAAUAGGCAAAAAAAAGUGAAAAACAGUCUACAAAAAGAGAAAAACAAAAACAAAAUAAAAACUCAGUUUUUCGAUUCAAACCCGAUUUUUGACUUAGUUUAAUCAAUGGCUGUCCAACUCAAUCCAUUAACAAGAACCAAAUAGAAUUUCUGAUUCAGUUGUUGGAAUCGGUUGGUCUCGUUUAAUUCAACAACACUGCUAUAUGGUGAUAGAUAAUAGGUUGUUAUAAAAUAUUAAUUAGAUUAAUUCAAAUUUAGUUAAUGUACUAGGGUUUGGUCAAUCCAAUUAAGGUUAGUCAAUCAGUAAGAAUAAGACCAUGGUCCCCCUGAUAUAUUAAUUAAUUUAAAAUCAAAAAGUUGUUUGAUAAUUUAAUUCAAUAUUUAAACUUAUAAUAAUAAUAAUAAUAAUAAAACACGGUAAGACGGACUUGUUAAAUUAUUAUGCUAUAGUGGUAUCAGUAGUAAACCUGCAGGAAUCAAUACGCCACGGAUGGUAAAUGUACCUGUCAAACAAAAAUUGUAUCUUUUUUUGAAAUAAAAAAUAAAAAAACCACACACACACACACACACACGUGUUACGGUCUUGGUGAGGCUUCGGAUCACUAGUAAGGCUCCAAAAUGCCUGACUUGGGAUAGAGCGCAAAAAGAUACAGCACUUUUAGUAUUCAUUUGGCCCGAUCAGGUGAAACCACUAGGUUUAGAUUUUCAACUACAUAUUUUGGGAGACAAGCUUAAUUUGGAGAGCCAGCGUGUGAUGAGUGGAGAUUGGAAAACUUUGAUUUAUUAACUCUAUGAUUGUCUGCCUACUUAAUUUUUAUAGUAAUUUUUCUGCUAAAUAAUUUUAUAUUAUAUUUUGGGUCGAGUUUACCCGAUACGCACUUUUUUGAGUAAUGACUAUGGUUCCUUAUAUAAAAAAAAUGUCUUGGAUGCAACGAUGGUUUCUUGAGAUUGAUUCCUCAUCAAGCACUUAUAUCUUUUGAGUGGUGGGUACUGUUUCUGCAUAAAACAAUUUAUUAUGCAUAAUAAUAGUUUCUGGAUAUCAAUGAUCUAGAGUGUUUGGAUAGGAGAUUACACGGAAUAAUUUUUUUAAAAAAAAUACUAUAAUAUUUUUUUAAUAUACUGUAUGUGAGAUAAAAAAAUAAUUAAAAAAAAAAUAUUAAUUAUGCAAUUAAAUCAGUAUGUAUAAAUAAAAUAUAAAUAAAGUACAAUCCAAACGUACUUAAUUUGCCGCUAUGUAGGGGCGUCCUCUUGACUUUGUACUUCGUACCCACAGAAAACAAUUAAAGAUAUAACUGCUUGAUUCCCGAGUUGAUAAACGAUUGAGUGUGUUGUAAGUGGUAAUUGCACCGCUUGAUCACAUUACUCUGGUUGUCGAUCUCUUUGAUUGAGAUUGCAAUCUUAUUCGAAUGGCUUUCAUUCUUUGAGAAUAUAUCUUCCUUGUGCAUUUCAAUCUUUACAGUUUCAUAAUUGUUUGGGUUAAUUUCACUUACCUCCCCUGAGGUUUUUGACAAUUCAGAAAGCUCCUUUCAAAUUCUAAAAAUUACAUCUAACUCUCCUAUUUUCACUCUUUAGAUAACAUUCUAGGCCCAAAAGGCUAUGCUUUUUCUCAAAAUUCCUAUAGUGCCCUUGAGUUAUAAUACACAACAAAAAUAUAAAUGAAAAAAAUGAUUUACAAUUUCUAUUUCAUUUUUCUUUACUUGCUAUCACUGUUACCUACCCAUCACAUCUAAACCACCAUUAAAUAAACACUUAUCUUUGUUCUAAUAUUUCUCUUUUACCUAAAAAUUUCUGAUGCAAACCAUUGUAUCAACCAUAAAUGCUACAUCAGAUACUCAAAAGUUUAUCUAUAAUCUUAUAUCAAUAUCAGCUGAUUUUACUUAAUACACAACAAUAUUCAUCAAUAUCCCUAAAUUUCAAUUCCAUGACUACCACCAUUUUAAUACAAAAGAAUCUAAACAAUCACUACUAAUAUCAAUAUCCAAUAUACUUCAUUGGCACAGAGUCCAAAAUCAUUCAAAUUCUCUUUAUAGGAAUAACAUUGAUAAUUGUAAAUAAAAAAUAGAAACACAAUGUAGUUAUAAAUAUAUACCGAGACCACCUUUUUUCAUGACAACCAUAACAGUAUAACCUAUAUUUAGUUCCUAUUCCACUUCUUAUCCUUAAUUUUAUUUUUUAUCAUUGUCACUCUCUUCAUCUCCAUCUAGUUUGAUAUGCAAUCAGCACUCAAUUUGUCAUUUGACAAUUUCAAUUUGUUAAUGCCUAUCAAAAAUUGGAAACAAAAAUGGGCACAAGGAAACUAUUUAAUAAUAAUGAAAAAUCUAGAAUUGAGAAUAGAUACCAAGAUAUGUAAGUAUUGGUGCUUUGGUAUGUAUGGUGAUUUUAUUAGUGGCAAUAAUACAUAUUUGGUUGGUAAUAAUAAAUAAAUGAGUUUGAAAAGACAAUAGAUGUAGAAAAAAGACGAUAGAUAGUUAAAUGGGAAAGAUUAUAGUUUGUAUUAUUGGUUGAUAAUAGAUGAGAGAACUUUAAUAUUUGGUAGAGUUUUUCAAUGAGUUAACAAUUAAUGGAGGGCAUUGUUAUCUUUUUAUCAUACCAAGAGAGGUCUCUGUAAUUAUGUAAAUCUCUAGGGAGUCGAGUGAAAUUGUCAAAAACCUCAGGGAAGGUUUCUGAAAUUAUCCCUAAUUGUUUUGUAGAUUGGAUUUACUAGUUAUGGUCCUAACAUGUUGGUUUUCUCAAGUGAUAGGUCCAAAUUAAAAUCUACAAAUAACACUCACAACCUUAAUAUAAAAUUUUGCAUGAAGUCGCUAUAACCGUGGGACACAUUGCCUGAUAUCUUGCUUACGGUUAUAUUUAAUUUAAGGGUUAAUCACAUUUUAUCCCCUUAAAGAAUACUCUAUUUUUCAGUUUACCUCCUAACAUUUAAUUUUGCUCACUUAACCCCCUUUAGGACAAAAUUGCCCUUGCAUUAUUUUGACUUUUCAUUUACCUUGUUUUCCUUUCUUUUAUUUCUUUUUCUCUUUCUUCUUUAUUUAAUUCUUCCUCUUUCCCACAAAAAUCUUCACCUUAAUGAUUGAAAUUAAAAAAAAGAAAUUGUAGAGAUCUAUCUUCUCCUUAAAUGAUUAAAAAAAAUAUUCAAAUCACUUUCCUAAAAUACAAUUUUUUAGCCUUUCAAUUCUUUUAAUUUUGGGUUUUCCUUUUUCCUUUAUAGUUUCUCAUUUUAUUCCCAAGAAAAUAUCUUAAGAUAAAAUUGUGACCUGAUUAAUAACCAUUAAUUGAAAUUUGUGACAUAUGGCAUCAUACAAAAAAUCAAAAUUAGUUUUUGAUGCCUUUUAAACCUUCACCCAGAUAUAUGCAAUUAAAAACUCAAAACAAAAAUUUUCGUUGAAAUUGAAUUUCUAUUGGGAAGGAUGAAAGAGAGAAGAAAGAGAAAAAGAAAUAAAAGAAAGGAAAACAAUUUCAUCUUAUGAUAUUUUCUUGAGAAUAAAAUGAGAAACUAGAAAGGAAAGAGAAAAACCCAAAAUUAAAAGAAUUGAAAGGCUAAAAAAAUUUUAUUUUAGGAAAGUAAUUUGAAUAUUUUUUAAUCAUUUAAGGAGAAGUAGAUCUCUGCAAUUCCUCUUUUUUAAUUUCAAUCACUAAGGUGAAGAUUUUUGUGGGAAAGAGGAAGAAUUAAAUAAAGAAGAAAAAGAAAAAGAAAGGAAAGAAAGGAAAAUAAGGUAAAUGAAAAGUCAAAAUAAUGCAAGGGCAAUUUUGUCCUAAAGGGGGUUAAGUGAGCAAAAUUAAAUAUUAGGGGGUAAACUGAGAAAUGGAAUAUUCUUUAAGGGGGUAAAAUGUGAAAAUCUCUUAACAUUGUUGUGCACGCAAGGGGAUAAAAUCUCUUAAUUUAAUGGUUAUUGAUUUGCAACGUUGUUGUGCACGCACAAAUUUUCAAGAGAUGUAAAAAGAGAUACUUGAGUUACAAAUUUCGUUUUAUAGCAAAAAACAUGGAAAAAUAAAUGAAUAAUUAGUGUGUAGUUAGCUAAUUUGGUUUAUUUUUUCUUAACUAGCUAUAUUUUCUAAGGAAAACAUUCUGGUAAAUAAAGUUAUGCGUACUGGUGUUAUGCAUAAAUUGAGUUAUAGAAACACUUCAGAAAACCAAAAUAAAGUUAUGGCUAUGUUAUAGAUGCUAUGCGCAUAUUAGGUUGGAUCUUAUUUCUCUUGAUUUCAUAUUAUUGAAAAUGACAAAGAAUAUUAGCAGAAAUGAUUUUGUAGGAUCGAGAUUUUAUUAUGAUUUAACAGUUUCUCGAGGUGAAGGAUGGGCGGGGUGGCACUGGUGAAGAAAGUAUAAGUGAGAAUUCUCAAGAAAUCUAGAGUUCGAGAAUUCUCACUAACAUUCAAAAACAAAAAAAAAUCUCGAGUAAAUAUAUGAUUAAAAAAUUAAUAUUCUCAUGUUAAUCUACUUGUUUAAUCUUGUUUUAGAUUUUAGUCUUUGAUCUGUUUUGUGAGACAAUGUUACUCAUUUUGUAACUUGCAUCCAUCAAAUGUAAUUGUAUUUUUAAUUAGAUAUUCAUUCCAUAAUCCCAAGAGGCAUGUUAAAACUGUACAAUGAAAAGAACUAAACAUUAUUUUUGUUAGAAGUCAUACAUUAAAAAUUUAGAUGUCAAACUGUAGGUCAUAUCAACUUAUAAGUUAGGGUAUUAAAAGACAUUUUUUUCGUAUACCAUUAUUUGUAGGAGAUUAAAAGAUAUUUCUUCUUUUUCUUUCUUCAGUUUUUUUAUUCUUCGUUAAUUAAAAAGUACAGCUAGAUACAAUAACGUGUCAGAUUUUACCCAAAUUGAAUUUAGACUCAAUGUCCUUACCAAGUUCAAUCUACUAAAUACCCAUUUUUUACUUUUAUUCAAUACGUUGAUUGUUGAUAAAUUUUACUAUCAAGUUUAAUUCCCUUAGCCUAAACAAUAUUGACUCAUUUAAGAAUCCUUAAAAAAAUUCAGUGUGGUUCAUUAAGGAAUUGAGAAUAACUUGAAACACUUUCAGAUCUUACUCCAUCACCACCGAAACCUCAGCUCCACCGACACCUCCAUCACCACCGACUGGAAUUCUCCUCUUCUUCCCUCUCAAGUGCGAAGUGUCCUUGUCGAUAAUGUUUUACCUCCCUCUUCAGUUUUACACUUCGCGGUAGCAGUUUUCCGCGACCUGGGUUCGGUGGCAGCAAAAGAGAAACCCAGCAACCAGUAAUGUUGCAGUGAAAGGAAACCAGUCCACCACCACUUGAUCAGCCGUUCCUUUCUUCCACGCCGUUGCCAGUGUCUAUCAUUUCCGAUUACCAGGUAAGGCUCGGACAUUAGGGUCCACCUACCAUAGUGCCAGUCAACAUAAUACUAAAGGACAGCUAAGAUCUCGUGAGAAAAGUUGGAGAAAAGCCAACACUGACGGAAAAGUAGUAAACCUUUGCGGAAAGUGCCCGACAAAUUAAUUGGAUUUGGUCGCCCUGCUUUGGCCAUCAGUCACGACUGAUGGCUGCGGUGGCUGCCCAUCCCUCGAGUGAGGGUGGGCGGCAUCCCUCCACGAUUCCAGCGUUCCGCUCCAAGUCCUUCUCGGAGCUUUUCUCUCCUCAGCAACGAACACAAGUUUUAGCGUCGCACUCAACUCACCGUGGGGAACCAGCGGUCUCCUUCCCCCAUGAUGUCAUUGAAGCUGUCGUGCAACCAUUCCGUUACGCGUUGGUGGGCAAGUUCUCCCGCGGCAGGCCCUGCAUGGAAGAUAUCCGUAAGUUUUCCUGUUCUCUGGACUUGAAAGACACCUUCACUGUUGGCUUGAUGAAUGCUCGGCACGUCCUCAUUCGGCUGCACAAUGAGGCAGAUUUACAUAUCCAGUUCACCUAAUUCUCGAAAGCCCGAUGCGAGUGUUUAAAUGGACACCCACAUUUCAUGUUGAUAGGGAGUCAUCCCUUGUGCCCGUAUGGUUCAGCCUGCCCAAACUUCUAGUUCAUUUGUUCGACAAGCAAUGCUUGUUCCCGAUAGUUUCUUGUCUAGGCCAUCCGUUGUUCAUUGAUUCUGCAACUGCUACGAUGUCUAGACCCAGUGUUGCUCGGGUCUGUGUCGAGAUAGACCUUUUGAAGGAGAUGCCAUUACGGGUGCGGAUCCAACUAGGGGAAGGCCACGGUUUUUUGCAGCCGCUUAAUCUAGAAAGUUUACCGAAAUAUUGCACCCAUUGUCAUCGUCAGGGCCACGAGCAGUCGGGUUGCUGCGUUAAACAUCCUGAACUUCGUGAGGAGAAGGUAGGAUCAAAGAGGGACACUCAACUAGCUGCGAGACCUUCACGGGAGAGUAAAGAUCAAGCAUUUGGCCUGGAGGGUGGAGGAGCCGUUGCUCUCACGAAUGUCGCAAGGGUCGAGCCAUUUCGCGUGGGAGGAGAGCAACCUGGUGCAGGUUGGGAGAGCGUGUUGGAGGUCGGACAGGCUCUUGGUGACGCUGACACGGGCCGUGGACAAAUGACGUCAGGAGUUGAGUGCCCUAUUGUGGGUGUGGAGGUCUAUUUGGAGGGUGGCAGGGGAGAUGGGCUUUUUCCACAGAGCCGGGAGGAGGGAGAAGGAGUACGGUAAGAUGCUGACCUUAGGGUAGUUGCGACCAUGGUGGUGGAGAGCGCUGUCCACGCUACUGCCGACGCCAUUAUCACCGAGCUGGCCACGUGGGUUGCAGAUGAAAAUGACUCCAUGGCUGGUGAAGAGGAUGAUGCGGCGGCGGUUGGGGAGGAUAAAGCUGACGAAGUACCGGAUGGUGUGGCUUUAGACACCACUACUUGUGCUAGUUCGUUAUCUCUACGGGGAUACAAUGGGAGAUGCAAUGGGGGAAAUGGAGGGCAUGGGGUUGCGGAGGCACUACACCUGGAUCAGGUGGCACUCCUACAACAAGGCGGCCAUCGUGUUAGAGGGCGGGGUGUCCGUGGCUCGGUCCCUUCAGAUAGAGAACUCAGGUCGAUAUCUAAUAAACCUCAAACUUCAUUCCAGCUUUUAUCUCAUGAUUAAUGCAUGUUUUUGGAAUAUUCGGGGAGUUUCCAAGCCUCCAAACCUUAGGAGACUCAAAAAAUUAGUUUGCAUGCACAAAUUAGCAGUGGUGGGGAUUUGCGAGCCCAAGUUACUUGUGGCUGAAAUUGAGUCGAUUCAUAUUCGGUUAAACUUCGAUUCUGUAGUGUAUAAUUCCUCAGGAGAGGUCUGGGUGUUCCUUCGGGCCCCCUUUGUUGGUCGAGUAAUAGGAGAAUCUGAUCAGCAUAUCUCUCUGCUCUUGGGACACCCUCGGUUUCCUAUUGAGGUUCUUGUUUCCUUUGUUCAUGCUAAAUGCCAGUUAGCCGAACGUGAAUGGCUCUGGGAGGGUUUGCUGCAAGAUAAGCCAUAGCAAGGGCUUUGGUAUGUGGUGGGGGAUUUUAAUCUUACCUUAUCGGCAGAUGAAAAGAGAGGGGGGAGGCGUUUUCAGCCGAUGGAGGGGUUAGAGUUUUCUCGCUUUAUGUGAUAAGUGCAUAGUUUACGUAUUUUUAGUGUAUUUUAUUAGUUAGUUUUGGUGUGUUUUAAUUAGUUUUAUAGCUAAUUAACUAAGAUUCUAGUGAAAAUAUGUAUUUAGAGGUUUAAGUGUUAAAAAUUGCAUUUCUAUGGAUUUUUAUGGUGAAAACUUCAUGUUUUUGUAGGUUUAAUGAUUCAAUCAUCAAAUGGCAUAAAUUGAGAAGAGAAUUGGAUGAUUGAUAAUGGUUUUAAGUGAUAAAAAGAGAAUAUGAAGUGCAAGAGAUGAAAUGCAAUCAAGUUCUAAAGAAAAGGAGUUUCACAGCUUUGACAUCUUGUGGUAUUUUGGUAAUAUCUCAAGCGACAAUGGUCGGAUUGAGGUGAUUCUUGUACCAUUUUGAAGCCAAGAGAUAGAUCUAUAUUUGGUUGAAGACAUUGAAGUCCAAUUCGGUGGUUUUCACAGUCAAAAAGUCGAAAAACUGAAGUACAUUUUCUAUGGUCGAAGCUGAAACAAGUUUCUGACCAGUCAAGGGUAAUUUGGUUAUUUCUCAGUCCACAGAGUUUGAAAUUAGAUGAUUCUUGAUGCAUUGGAAAGCUAACUCAAAGGGUUACAACUUUUGUGUUUUACACAAAAGCUAGUUCAGCCUCUAACAUCGAGAAAAUAUCAGUUGAACUGGACCAAAAACAGAGCAAGCGAUCCGAACCCAAAUCCAAUAUGAACCGAGCCCUCGUCUGAUCUUCUGGACAAGUGGAUCUGAGACCAUAGGAUCCGUGCUCGGAUCCACUGUAGCAGGCCUCGGAUCCCAAUGAACAGUGAAGGUAAAAAAUGAAGAAAAAUGCGAGGGGUAAUUUGAGUGAUCCGGGCUCGGAUCUAUCCCUCGGAUCACUACUUUUGGUGCACCAACUUGUGUUCUGUUCACACAAACUUUUUGACCAACCUUUCCUGCAAGAUUAUCGGUGGAAACAGCCCAAGACAGCUGCAAAAGAAGCUUUACAAUGCCAUUUUAGCUUAUUUAUGGGCUCAAGACAUGAAAAAACACUUGUCCAUUACAAGAAAUUCCUCUCUAAAUAUAAAGCCUUGAAGAACAUUUUCAUAAUUUUAGGGAGGCUAGAGAAACUCCACAAAAAUGUAGUUCUCACUAGUUUUUCUUAGUUGAAUUAGUUUAGUAGUUGAGUAUAGAGUAGUGUAGUUCAUCCUACUUGUUUAUUAGCUAGGCAAAGAUGAAAAUGGAGAUGAAGAAGGCAAGGAAAAGCUCAUGUGACAAGGGUUACUUUUCCUUUCCAACUCUUUAUCUUUUGUACUUGAUUCUAGGCUUAGUUAAUAUACAAGUUCUGGAUUUUGUGUUUAUGAUGUGUCUUUAAAGUUUAUGCCUUGGGUUUGGUUGAACUUCCUAUGAUUGUUAGUCUUUAUUAUUUGUCUAUUUGAUUGCUAGUAUUUCAGCAAGUUAUUUAGCACUUUAGCCCUUUAAAUCAUGAUUAAUCUGGUACCAUUAAUUGUGAUUAUCUAAGGUGUUGUUUCUGCAAUGAAAAUUGAGAUUUAACACCAGUUCAAGAAGUACUAAACAUAGGGAGUACACUCACGAGAGUAGAGGUGCACUUAUGUGAUUUUAGUGAUUAAUUUCAUGUAAUUUCAUUGAAGAAAUGAACUUGUAACUAAAUUCAUAACCAUGAGAAUAGGUAUGGAUUAGUUAUGAGUAUAGUUGAUUCACUACGAAAGUAGGUUUCAAAUGUUCAAGGAAAGUACACCAUAACUAGCCUAAAUAGUAGUACUCAAUGAUCCAAAAAUGGCAAUUGCAUGAGUAGUUAGGGAUACCACAACCUAAGGAGCUUUCAUUUGUUAUUUUCUUGCAUAAGUUCAGUAGGUUUUACUUGUUAUAAUUUAUUGAUAGUCUAAAUAAUAGAGAAGCUUUAGUAGUACCGGUAAUUGCAAUCUUCCUUGUGGGAUCGACCCUUAAUACCCUAUACUCGCUCACGAUUCGUAUACUUGCGAUAAAUCGCGUGUGGGGUAUUUAGGAGUUUAUAAAUGUAAAACUUGAUUAGAAUGAGGUUAAUGUUAUAUGUAUAACCUGCGCACAUCAUUAUGUAUGAUGGAGAGGUGUUUGACGCAGGAUUCACUGGUCCCACGUUCACCUGGUGUAAUAAUAGGUUAGGGCGAGCACGAAUCUAGAAACGUCUGGAAAGAGUAUUGGUUAAUAUGGCCUGCUUGAACUUUUCCUUAUCAAUCUCAGUCUCACAUUUAGUCCGUGCACCAUCGGACCAUGCCCCGCUCCUGAUAUCCUUUACUCCUAGGGCCAACAUUCGGUGUCGCUCAUUUCGUUUCUUAAACAUCUGGCCGGCCAGGAGGGAUUUUCUUGAUGUGGUCAGGUUGGCGAGUGUCUCUCGGGCCCUACAUCUGUGGAAUAAGGAGACGUUGGGGGAUGUUUUUGAGAAUGUGAAAAAAGGAGAAGCUGCGGUGGCGGCGGCUGAUCUCAAGGUACAAUCUGAUCCAUUCGUCGAGGCCUUUACUGAACUACAGCGGGCAAAAAGCCACUUGAAUAAGCAGUUAGCAAUUGAAGAUCUUUUUUGGAGACAAAAGGCUAGGAUCAAGUGGCUACAACAUGGUGAUCUUAAUUCAAAAUAUUUUCAUUCAGUUGUCAAGCAGCGGAGGAUCCAAUCUUUUACUCACAGGAUUAGGGAUUCUCGGGGAAGUGGGUGACGGACGAUGCAGAGACAGGGAAGGAAGCUAUCGGGUACUUUGGUGACUUAUUCACGGCCGGUCCUAUUGCUGAUUAUCAUCUCCUCCAUGUUAUCCCUAAUGAGUUCAGAUAUUGAUAAUACCAGAUUGGAGGAGGUCCCCUCCUUCGAAGAGGUAUGCAAGGUGAUUUUCGAGAUGGAUGGUGAUAGUGCAGCUGGUCCAGAUUGUUUCACUGGUCGAUUCUUUGUGGCUGCCUGGGAGGUUGUGGGUCAGGAUAUGUAUAGGGCAGUCGUUAGCUUCUUCUGCGGCGCGGAGUUGCCUCGUUUCGUCACGGCGACAUCUAUAGUCCUUCUGCCCAAAACUAUGAAUCCAAAUGACUUUAUGCAAUUUCGGCCCAUUAGUGUAUGUAACUUUCUUAAUAAAGUGAUUUCUCGAAUCUUGGUGGGUAAGCUCUCAGGUGUAUUGCCACGUCUCAUCUCACCGCAGCAAAGUGGAUUUGUCCAAGGUCGAUCUAUUUCAGAUAACUAUUUGCUUGCUCAGGAGCUAAUGUCCGAAAUAGGAAAGAAGUGCAGGGGGCAACCUAGCGUUUAAGUUAGAUAUGGCUAAGGUGUACGACCGGGUCUCUUGGGGGUUUUUUAUUGCCGUGUUGUGACGGUUUGGCUUCGGCGAAAGGUUCAUCAACAUGGUGUGGAGGUUGAUUUCCAAAGUUUGAUUUUCUGUGAUUAUUAAUGGCGUGCCCUAUGGAUUCUUUAAAUCCUCUAGGGGUCUCCGUCAGGGUGAUCCGUUAUCACCGGCAUUAUUUAUCAUCAGUUCGGAGGUUCUGUUCCGAGGCUUGAAUUUUCUUGUCAAUCAAUCCAGUUUCGCGGCGUUUAAGAUUCCUAGGCACUGCUUCCCUAUCACUCAUUUGGCAUUUGCAGACGAUGUCAUCAUUUUUGCUAAUGGGGGUGCGGCUUCCCUAAAGAGAGUGAUGCAGAUACUGGAGUGGUACCAGAAUGAUCCGGGGCAGUUGGUUAACGUGCACAAAAGUGGUUACUUUGUUCACCCUUGUCUUUCCCCGGCUCGGCAAGGGGUCAUUGAGCGGAUCACUAGAUUCCAAAAGAAAGAGCUCCCAGUUCGGUACUUAGGAGCACUGCUGUUUGUUGGUCGCGCAAAGGUUAGUUACUUCUCUGGCCUAUGUCAGAAGAUGCUUGACAAGGUUUUGUCUUGGAAGUCCUGACUUUUGUCGUUCGGGGGAAAAAUUGUGUUGAUUAAACAUGUCAUGUCUAGUAUCCCGAUCCACCUCUUGGGGUUGGGUGUGAUGCCUAAGGGAGUCUUCAAGGUUAUUGAGAGGGUUUGUGCGAACUUCCUUUGGGGAUCAGGUCGGGAAUCCAACAAAUUCCAUUGGCUCCGGUGGAAGGACUUGUGCUUUCCCACUGAUGAGGAUGGGGUGGGGUUGCGGUCGAUUAGUGAUACUUAUAGGGCCUUCUCCUGCAAGCUCUGGUGGAACUUCAAGUAUGGGCUUUCCUUGUGGGCAAGAUUCAUGCGAGCGAAAUACUGUCAUGGGCUUCAUCCUUGUCAAGUCUCCAUAUCUACAUUGGGAUCAGCAACCUAGAGGCGGAUGCUGGACAUUAGGGGAUUUGCGGAGCUACUGAUUGGUUGGAGGCUCUCCGUGGGUCAAUGCGACUUCUGGUAUGAUAACUGGAGGGGGCACGGGGCCUUCCAUCUACGCGUGUAGGUCCAGGAGGGUAUCUCAUUUCAGCAUGUUAUGGAUAAUGGGGGUUGGAUCCAAGGAAGGCUUGCGGAGCUUUUUCCUGCUGACAUGGUGCAACAAGUCCUGGCGGUGGUUUGUCCAGUCGGGGAUUCUCCGGAUAGAAUGGUAUGGACUGCAUCGUCUUCGGGUCAAUUUUCGCUGGCUUCGGCAUACAGUGAGCUCCGCGAAUGCAAGGCAUCCUCUUUUUUGUAUCGACAGCCUUGGCAUCCAAGGGUUCCCCAGAAGGUGUCCUUUUUUGUACUUCGGUUACUGCGGAAUCGUCUCCCCUUGGAUGACGUCCUAGCGUUAUACGGUUUCCACCUGCCCUUGAAGUGUUCUUGUUGCUUAAUUCCACAGAUUGAGUCAGUGGGACAUUUGUUCUCAGAGGUGGGUUUGGCGGUUGUAGUUUGAAAGUUUUUUGGUUCAGUUUGUGGGGUUUUCCCUAAUGCAGGUAAUGUUCGAGGGGUCUUCGGGAGUUGGUGGUUCAAGCGGGUCAAAUCGGAGAGGCUCAAAUUCAUCUUCCGACUCUUGCGUAGUCUUAUCUGCUGGUACAUCUAGAAGGCUAGGAACAAGGCGCGAUUCCAAGGGAUCGAGAUGAACCCGGUUAUUGUUUGUCGGGCUGUUUUUCGGGAUCUUAAAGAUGCCUAUGGCCUGGAGUUCAUGGAGUUGCAGCAGGUGUGGGAUUGGCCUACGUUCUUCGACAGGGUGGAGCAACGGCCUGUUGUCUUUCGAAUGAAGUUGAUUCGUUGGUACUCUCCUCCGCCUCGGUUUGUCAAGAUGAACAUAGAUAGAUGCUCAAAAGGUAACCCUGGGGUGAGUGGUGGAGGUGGGAUCCUUCGGAGCUCUGAGGGUAGAUUGCUAUUUGCGUUCUCGGGGUUCUUGGGGCAAUGUACCAGCUUACAGGCAGAGGCCAAGGCUUUGCUGCUUGGGCUGCAGUUAUGUGUACAAUGAGGCUUCUUGGAGAAUCUAAUUGUUGAAUCAGAUUCGUUGAUGCUAGUACAAACUCUCUAGCAAGAGUCCCAUUGUCCUUGGUCCAUCGAUGGGGAGGUGGAGAAGAUUUUACAUCUAACUCGUAGAGGGGUUCAGGUCGUGCACUGCUACAGAGAAGCUAAUACGGUGGCGGAUGUGCUGUCUAAUGUGGGCUGUGCCCAUAUCGAUAAGAGGAUUUGUGUGUAUGACACCUUCGCGGGCCUCCCAUUCUUAGCUAGGGGUGCUUAUCGUUUAGACAGAUUGGCUUUUCCUUCCUUUCGCAGAUGUAGGCCCUUGCGUCGGAAUUCCAAUGUGUAACACUCCUUUUUAAUUGAAUAAAAGUCCGAGAUUUUUUGGAAAAAAAAAAGGAAUUGAGAGUUUCUUACUUUGAUCUGAGUGGUCCAUUUUUCUUUAAAUAUCCUUUUUUUUCUCAUUAUUCUUUUGUCAUGACUAUACUAUUGCUAAAUAAAUGCUAUUGGUUUGCACUAAUAGCUAGUUGCCCAUGUUCUAAUAGAAACAACUUUUAUAUUUCAUACUUAUAAUUUGAUAAAGUAUUUGGGCUUACUAAUAUUUGUUGCGAAAUUAGAUUGAAACAUAAUUUUCAGUGCUUGUCAAGCCAAAAUUUUCAAACAUGGAGAGAUGUUUAUAGGGAUUAUUCUUACUAAUUUCUUUAUUUUGCUUGAUGUUUGGAGCUUGAUUUUUUUAUUUGUUAUAGAAUGAAAACUGAAAAAUAGUUAACUUAUUCUUACGGGAAUUUUGUCUCAUUUUACCGCUUAAUUUCUAUUGUUUGUAGCAAGAAAUUACUUUUCAUAAUUUUUUUUUGUUUUCAAAAGUCGUUAUAUUUGAAAUUUAUCCAAAAUCGAUUUUCUUAAUUAUUUAUUAAGAUUCUCCGUUUCUCUGAAUCCAUAAAGAUAUGUAUGUAUUUUUAAGUAAAUAUAUGAAUAUAAUUAUAGUAGUACAAGAAUCAAUUUAUUUAUUGUACAUAUCUGAGAUCUUGGCCACUUCGAUUCGAUGCAAUCAAAAUUGAUCCAAACAAAUAUAUCUCUUCACAACGAUUUCUUUGGCACCCAUAAUUUUUUUGUCUGAGCUUUUAGUUAUUGUGGGUACUCAUAAUUAAUUUCGUACCAAGUAGAAAUGAUCAAAAGGGCCUAACAAAUGUAUCACUUCGUUUCAUGAAUUGUCAAUUCUAUAUCUUGGAUUUGGAUUACGAUCUUUGCUUACUUGAGUGGUUUUCGGAUUGACGCGUACUGAACGUCCGCCCAUGAUGAGACUGGAACUAUUGCAAUGGCUCAUGGUUAUAUCACCAAAAGCCAUCUUUCUUUUGGUUAAUCUAUGAGUUUGUGUAAUAUACAUAGCCUUGAUCUACUGUAAAGGAAGGGUAAACUAGAGGUUAAGUUACCUCUUGUGGUUAGUGUCGCGGUGUCGCCCCACACAUCAUAUCCCUCUUAUUACACACACACAUAUAUAUAUACAUUAUUAUUAUUAUUAUUAUUAUUAUUAUUAUUAUUAUUAUUUUGUUAAAAUUAUAAGUAAUUCAAGAAUCAUAAAAUCAGUUAUCAGAUUUCAACUCAAGAAUGUCACAAAAUAAUGCACUAUUGGUGGGGUAAAGAUUAAUAUAUAGCUUACAUAUAGUCUGACUAAUAUAUAGCUUACAUAUAGUCAGACCAAACUCACCAUUGCAUGAGUUGGCUUGGGCGAAUUCAAGUAUUGCUAGUUUAUGAGUUGGAAAGACGUUGAGGAAAAGAAGAGUUCAUAUAUUGGUUUUGGCCAAAGGCAGGGUUUGGACCUAUGGUCAGGAGAUCCAACGGAAUAAAGAUUUUUUUGUAAAGUUUUAACUUAUUGUCAAUACGAGUUAGAGUAUAUAUUGCCGUAGGCUUUAAUUAUUAUGAUGACUAUAUUAUUUAUGAUAAAAAAAAGUUGAAUCUUCUUUUAUUUCACCACGAAGCGAUGUCUAUGUUUGACCUAAAAUAGAUCUAAUACUCUUGCAGAAAUUAUUUACCACAAAACUUGUUAUGAAGAAGAAAAUUUGAUGUAAUUUAAAAAGGAAGGAAUGAACAUUUUAAAAUUUAAAGGGGCAUAAUGUUGUAAAGGAAAGAAACUCUCUAAAAUUCAGGGGGGCAAACAAGGUACAAAACUGAAAAUAUCAUUUUAUAUCAAGCUUAUUGUGUAAUUUUUCAAAACCUGAGGGGGGCAAUUGCCUACCUUCAAGCGUGAAUGGCUCCGCAGUGGUUUUGGUAGGAAUGAACAUUUUAAUAUUUAAAGGUGGGAAAAUCAUUCAAAACGUUCUUCACAUUUUACCAAAUAAUUUUUUUCGACCCUCACUUUUAAAAAUGUAAUUUUACAUCCCUUAUAAAUUCACAAUGGUCAAUUUUGGUCCCUACUUAGGUUUUCAACUAGUUUUUUAUCAGAAUCCACCACGUGCCUUGCACGUGAUUAUAUUUUAAGGGAAAAAUUGUCAAAUCAAAUUUUAUAUAAUUCGAUUCAUAAUCCCUCACAUUUCACAAAAUGAAUUUUUUCGUCCCUUUCAUUUUAUAAAAUGAAUUUUUUCCUCCUUCACAUUUUUCAAAGUGAAUUUUUUCAUCUGUUAUUGAUCAUGUGUGUGAAUAAAUUUUUUUAAAAUUCAUGUAUAUAUCUAUUUGAUUUCACUUGAACAGUACGAAUAGCAUGUGAAAUCAAAUAGAGAUAUAUUACAUACUAUUUAUAUUGCUCAAGUGAAAUCAAAUAGAUAUAUACAUGGGUUUAAAAAAAUUGUUAAUUUUUCACUCAUAUUCAUUUUCUUUUACUUGAAAUUUGAAAAUAAAGAAGACAUUUAAUCCUAAAUAUUAUGAGUAUUUGUAUCGAAUUAAAUUUGGACAGAAAAAAUAAACAAAAGAAAAGUAUGACAAAAAGAAAUAAGUGAUUGGCGCUUUCAAAUUUUAAAACAAUCACAAGGCAAGUAAUUCAUCUGUUGGUCUCAAAAGUGGCGAGUAGAAAUUUCAUAUUUAAACUAAAUAGUAAAAAGUCAGGGAGGUAAUUGAAAAUUUGAAACCUUUGGGUUUUACAUAAUAUUGUUAGAAAUCUCAGGGAAGACUUCUGUGAUUAUCCCAAUUGCGUAUGCCUCCAAUUGUAAAUCUCUUUUUCUUGACUGGCAAACUUUAUAUCCAUGUAAUAUAGGGACUUUCAAGUCAUAUCCUAACCAAGACGAUGCACGAUUGCACAUAAUAUAAUUGAACUUUCACUUUGGGCAGAAUUUAUGCGAGCAAAAUACUGCAGGGGACUUCAUCCUUGUCAGGUGGAAUUGAAGCGGUAUGACUCGGUGGCGUGGAAAAGAAUGUUAAACAUAAAUCGACAAGUGGAACUAUCUAUGGUAUGGUUGGUUAACGCGGGUUCCUGUAACUUUUGGUAUGACAACUGGUUGGGUAGUGGUGCUCUAUAUCUUAAAACUACGGUGUAUCCAGCCCUAACUUUCAAGGAAUUCAUAUCAAAUGGGGACUGGAACAUUAACUUGCUCGGCCAAUAUCUAUCGCAAGAGUUUAUCCAUCCAAUAUUACAACAUCCGAUUCCAGAGGGAGAUUGCCGCGAUGAACUUAUAUGGAGGCAAACAGCAUCGGGAAGGUUCACAUUAUCAUCGGCCUUUCAGGAGGUUCAUCAAGCUCGUAAUUACUCUGUGAUUCAUUCUCAGCUAUGGCAUACUCGGAUUCCAUUGAAAAUAUCUUUCUUCAUGCUGAAAUUGUUAUUGAAUAAAUUGCCGUUAGCAAAUGUUUUGUGGAGGGUGGGUGUCCAAUUGGCAUCAAAAUGCUUGUGCUGCCAAGAGGAAUCAAAUGAGACAUUGGAGCAUGUUUUCUCGGAUGGUCAGGUUGCGAAGGGAGUCUGGAAUUAUUUUGGUAGGAUGUGUGGGGUAACAGGCUCAUCACUACGGACAUGGAUAAUGGUUUGGUGGAUGUCUUCACCUAGGUCUGAGAAAAGACGGUUCCUUUACUCAGUUCUCCCAAGUUUUAUAUGCUGGCAUAUCUGGAAGGCUCGGAAUAAAACAUACUACGAAGGGACUCAGAUGCGAGUUGCAAGAAUUUGUCAUGAUAUUUUGCUAGAUGUGAAAGCGGUAGUAGAAUUUCAGUUAACCAGAGGCUUGCGGUGCAAACGUUUCCUCAAUUAAACGAGUGGACAGCUCAACCGCCAACUUGUUAUACUUUUCAACUGGUGGGGUGGAGGGCGAAAGAGGCUGGAAUGUUAACAUUGAAUACGGAUGGAUGCUCCAAGGGCAAUCCAGGAUUGAGUGGUGGUGGGGGAAUACUAUGUGAUUCAUCGGGAACUCCAUUAUUGGCUUUCUCGGCUUAUUUUGGAGAAACUUCUAGUUUGCGGGCAGAAGCGAUGGCCUUGUUAACGAGUCUCCGAUUGUGCAAUCAAAAGGGAUUUACCAAUGUAAGUAUACAAGUUGAUUCACUAAUUUUGGUUGAAAUUCUUCAAAGACGACUCCAGUGCCCAUGGAUGAUACGAAGAGAGGUCAAACAAAUUUGGGACAUAGUUGAGGAUGCGACGCAUUUUGCUCAUUGCUGUAGAGAAGCUAACAAGGUGGCGGACAGACUGGCAAAUGUGGGUGCUUCUACCAGUGACCAUGACGUCAGCAUUUAGGAUCAUUUCAGUGCAAUUCCAAGAUUGGCGCGUGGGGAAAUUUGAGUAGAUAGGUUAGGCAUUUCGUCUAUCAGGAGGAGAAAAGUAGACUAACCUAUGGGAGGGUUUAGUCGAGAGUUUUAAUUUUAAUUCUUCUGGCAUUUGGGUUUGUUGGCAAUAUGUUUUUCAUCCAUUUGUAAGGGGAAACUCUGUCAAAAGUUUCUAAAAAUAAAAUAAAAUAAAAUAAAAAUAAAAAAAUACUAUAUAUGGGCGAUUGAUCUUCUGUGCAAAAAAAAAAAACUUUCAAAAUUUAGCUUUUUGUAUACUGUAAUCAAAAUUUAGUUUGCUCGUAGACUGUAAUUUAUCGUUCUUCCUCCAUGGGAGGGAGAUCUUCCUUUUCCUUUGUUUCUAUUUUAUAUUUAAUAAAGUCUGUCUUAAGCUAUUCUAGUAAGAGUUUUGUCUCCUCUAAUAUUUUGCUAGUGAGAGUUUUGUUUGUUUUUUUUUUUUUUACUUUUUCCUCAAAUCUAAGAGAUUUUUUAGAUCUAUAUGUUAAAUCUGAAAUUUCUUGAAUCUUCUCAUCAGAUCUUAACAUUGAUUUUGAGUUUGAAUCAGUAGAAUAAAAGAUAUGAGGGAAUAGACAUGCACAGAUAUCUAUUGGAGCAAUUCGUGCAAUUAGUCAGAUCCGAUGGUUUAUGAUUCAUAAUGUAAACUUUUAUAUUUUGUAACUCUGUUAAAUCUAAUGAUUUUUUAGAUCAAAUAUAUCUGUGACAUGUUUUAUAUAUUUUCUACCAUUAGUGUAGAUUGCUUUGUCAAACAAAUUGUGCUGGAUGAUUUUCAACUACUUUAUUAAUAAUAUUGGCUUCUAUUUUAUAUAAAAAAAAAUUAACCUACAUUGGUAUGCUCAUUUUGGAACAUUGACUAGCUUACUCCUACAUGUUCUUGCCACUUUUAGUCGAUUGUCCUAAUUUGCCACUUUAUCGAGAGUUUAAGGAACUUUAUCGAGAGUUAAAGGAACUAAGGGAAAAAUAAUAGUUAAACAGUACUAGUACCAGUCAAAAGUUACCAAGUAAUGUGGUAGGUCACUCUUUGUCUAGUAUUAAGUAGAUAAUGACCGACCCAUCACUAUAAUUUGAUUAUGAGCAAUUUUUUUUUUUUUUUUAGCAACGAGUGAUUGAAAUUAGUACACUGCGUGGCAUAUCAUAUAGCGUACAUGGUGUACCUAAUACCUUCCCAAACUAAGUUAGUUUGCUAAGCGACCAAAUAUUUGGGUUAAUCAUACUUUGCACUCUUUAAUUAUACUCGAAUUCUCAUUUUGAUCCCUAAACUUCAAAAUGGGAUACUUUAAUUCUUAAAUUAUAAAAUUUGUUGUACUAAAGUCACUAAAAUAUAGAAUUUGUCCAUUUUAGUUCCUCAAAUAUGCCCACUUAGGCAUAAAGUCUAUCUCACUUAAUGAUGUUAUUUAAGUGGGACAAAUUUUAUAGUUUAGAGAUUAAAAUGCUCCAUUUCAAGUUUAAGGACUAAAGUAGAAUUUAAGUAUAAUUAAAGAGUGUGAAGUGGAUUUAACCCCAAAUAUAUUUUGGGAAAGUUUGGGUAAGCGUAAUAGUAAGUUUUGAAAAUCAUUAAGAGGGUAUAAUUUUCACCUAGUUCGCAAGAAGGGAGUUGAUUGCUAUAUAUGAAUAUCAAAGAAUUAGGAGUUUUAACAAAAUUACCACCUUACUCUUCAAGGAUGGAAAAGAGAGCAGAUCCUCUGUCCAAUUUUUUGUGUCCAAUUUCCUGUCCAAUGUGAAACUACGUAGUUUCACUUAUUACACUGCUGGUGUGGCAACUAAAAAUAGGUGGCUGUUUGGCUGCCUUAUACUUCUUUUUCUUUCUAACGCCCUGUCAAAUAAUUUCCAUUCACCGUGAAUUCCUCCAAAGCAAAACCACUACAUAUUUCUUGUUGCCAACGUCACCACUACAUGAAAGCGAAGUUUGUUCGACUAACAUCAAUCUUUAGUGUAUGAUGGGGGAUGAACGUUGAGUGCAUCUAAAAAUUCUCACCGUGAGUGUUUCAAUGUCCUAAUGCAUUCCAUUUCUUCCUUGUUAAAAAUUGCUUUGUUGAAGAACUUCCUUUGUCUUCUAGGCGGAAAAUGGUGGCAACAGGUUUUGGGAAUUAUAACAGUAGCAAUAGGAUUUUGGGAAUUGUAACAAAGUUGUGUAAACAAAGGAAACCCAAAAAAGAAGAAAGAAAAAGAAGUAUAAGGCAGCCAAACAGCCACCUAUUUUUAGUUGCCACAUCAGCAGAUGUAAUAAGUAAAACUACAUAGUUUCACAUUGGACAGGAAAUUGGACACAAAAAAUUGGACAGAGGAUCUGCUCUCGAUGGGAAAUGUGUACCAUGGGCGGGCCCAUGAUGAGGUGGAUGAUCACACGUCAUGCCAGAUAACUAUAUGGGACCUACCAUUGAAUUUAACUACGCCUUCUAAUGAUUUAUUACUAAUAAAAAAUAGUGAAGUAGUUUGAAAUUAUUAAAGUUUUUAUAUAUUAUAAAUUUCCAAAAGCACAACUCAAUUUGCAUAACCACAAAAACAUUGAUAGGAAUCUACACUAACUCAUACAUCAACAUGUAUUUUUUGCCUAUUUAUAACCUAACAUAAACAAUCAUGUUAUUUUAAAAAUAAUCAAAUGUAUGUAAAAUAAUGUAAAAUAAACAGUUUUUUAAAAUCAAAAUAUUGUCACAUAAACUUUAAACCGAUGUUUCAUAAUUUUCGUACUCUGAAAAUUCCAUACAUAUUCAUUGGGUUCCAAAAUCAACGUGGGGUAGGUCUGGAUUUUGGUCCAUUAUUUUUCUUCCAAACUCAGUAUAGUUAUGAUCUAGAGCUGAAGAAAUUUAGUGAUUUUGGGGUUAGAUUCACUAGAUUGAGCCUAGUCUCACGCCUGUCCAUUGAUGUGAUUACAAAGCGCGCAAGAAAUAUGGGCGUAAACAAGCUUUAAUAAGCCAAACACCUUGAAGUAAUUUAGUGAUUUUGGGUCUAGAUCUACUAGAUUAAGCCUAGCCUCAUGUCUAUCCAUCGAUGUGAUUACAAAGCGCGCAAGAAAUACAGGUGUAAACGAGGUUUAAUAAGCCGAACACUCUAAAGUUUGUUUAAUUAUUUUAACAAGUUUGAAACUAUAUUUAAGCUUGAUUUGUUUAUUUAUUGAACCGAACUCAAACGAGCUUUUAUUAAGCUAAGCACGAGUCAAGUUUGAGUAGUUUGAAUUAUUUAUAUAUAAAUUCUAAUUUAUGAUAAUCGAGUUAAGUUCAAGUCGAAUUUGAAUGUUGAUAGAUUACAAAAUAUUGUUUAAACUUGGCUUGAUUAGUUGACAAAUUAAUUUCACGAGAAAUCUUAUUGAACGGAACUCAAUUUGACUAUCGAAUAGUUUGGUUCAAGUCUAAUUUAUGAUAAUUGAGUUAAGUUCAAGUCGAAUUUGAAUGUUGACAGAUUACAAAAUGUUGUUUAAACUUCACUUGAUUAGUUGAUAAAUUAAUUUCACAAGAAAUCUUAUUGAACGGAAUUCGAUUUGAGUAUCGAAUAGUUUGGUUUGUAUUUUAACCGUGACAAGAAACAUGCAUCUUUCAAUGGGUCAUAUUCUAGUUAUAGUAUGUUGAAAAACAACCUUCAAAGCAAGUACACUUUAUUUUUGCUCUUGCAAACACCUUCAAAGAGGAGUUGCGAGCUAGAUAAAUAAUAUCUACGAACUGAUGCAUUCCAAAGGACCUGCUUGUUGGAACGUCCUCUUUCAUCUGUUAAUUGUUCUGGUAAGUUGCUUUCCCUCUAUUUCUUUUUUGUGAUAUAUGGUGGAUUGAAUUCUCACUUUCUCACAACACUGCACAACCAUUACAGGGAACUUGUGAUUUUGUCCCCGUUGAUGGUACUAAUGCAAUCAGGCUUCAGCGCAUGGAUAUCAAUAAUCCUCAGAGAAAUAGCAAGAGAGAUCAUGUUGGUGAGGUCCAAGAAAAGAUGUCAAUGCAUGAUCAUUCUCACUCCUUAGCCCACAUGAUGCAUCAGAUGGAUCCACGAACAGCUGUAUUUUUCGUUUUGGAUGAUCUCAAGAUAGGCAAAGUAAUGACGAUCGUUUUCCCUGAUGGAGAUCCUAGUCCUUUGUCCUCUCCUUAUCUCUGGCCUAGAGAAAAAGCUGAUGCUAUCCCCUUUUCAUUGGCAAAACUUCCAGAAAUUCUUCAACACUUUUCAUUUUCUCAAGGAUCUCGAAAGGCCUAGGUGAUGGAAGAUACACUCCGAGCAUGCGAGACUAAGCCUAUCAAGGGAGAAUCCAAGGUUUGUGCAAUUGUGCCACAUCCUACGAGUCAUUGGUAGAUUUUGCACGAAAGAUCUUGGGAUUGAAUACCAAUAUUGAAGUUUUGCCAACGCAUCACCUCGCAAAACCUAAUGCUGCUAGAUUACAGAACUAUACAAUCACAGAAGCUCCUGAACGAAUUUCAACUCUAAAGAUGGUUGGCUGUCACACCAUGCCAUAUC